RNAcentral lists this long non-coding RNA (104795 nucleotides) under Olea europaea (common olive). Its description in RNAcentral is "long non-coding RNA (OEUR_LNC005470)". Lineage: Eukaryota; Viridiplantae; Streptophyta; Magnoliopsida; Lamiales; Oleaceae. The record is from RNAcentral.
UAAAUUUGUACAUGAAUUUCUAUCAACAUGAUGAGCAUUUUUAAUCUGUAAUAUACACAUAUUUAUUUUAGUGCUUAAAUGACAAAAUUCUUUGGUGAUGACAGAUUGUCAAUAAAUUUUAUGACAUCAAGCAACAUUGCAUCAAGAAUUUUGCAGAUACAAGCUGGGAAGAUAAAUGUGUCUUUUGGACAAUUCACCUGAAACGUGAAAUUCCCAAAGCGACUACAAACUUCUCUUGCUUCAAGUAAGUAAGACCAAUAAUCUAUUGAUUUUGAAUGAAUUUGUUCUGUUCAACGAAAAAGAAAGAAACAUUAGUUGUGAAACUACGAUAGUUCCUGCAAUUUUGUCCUUGACCUAUGACCAAUUAGUUAGAUUCGUAAAUGGGUCAAGUAAAUGACGAUGCUAUUCAUUAAUUUUCGUAUUGUUUCAAAAUAUUUACAGACUUCUCAUUUCGAUAAUAAUUUGAAGUUGUCAAUCACUAUAGCUAGACCCAUCUGGAGUGCAAGUAUAUUGCUUAGUACAGGUAGGUGAAGUUUUACUUGAGCACCAAGAAGUACAUUUGGAAUUUAAUUAUGAGUCCUGCUUGGAACAUAAAUACAUUUUGGGUAUUAUUUACUUUCAGCACCAUCAUUAACUUUACCUGAGACAGAGUGAUCUGAAAGCAGAAGUCAAGACUCUGAGAAACUCCAUGGAUAAUCUCAAAAAUAAGCUAUGACCGGUGAAUUUCUGAUUUUUGUGUACCACAUAUUUGUUGAGCGUGCAUUUUUAUCAACAUAGUACCAAUCCCAAGAUGGUGAUUAGGUGUCUAGAAAUCCAGUUUGCUAGGUUGUUUUAACCUUAGAUAUUAUAUCCGGUGGCGUAAUAAGAAAACAAUAUGCAUUCCUUGAAAGCAGAAGUUAAUCUUUAUUUUUCUUGUAAAUUUAUAUUAAUACAAUAACAAACGUCAAUAUCUUUACAUCUAUCCUUUCUUUGAUUUCAAAUUUUAAAAUGACUACUAAUCUUGGAUGUUUUAUUACAUGUUAAACAACAAAAAGUCCAUUCCAAUUUAGCAGUGAAAAACAUUGAAUUGAAAAUAUUGUGUACAAAAAUCAGCACAUAAAAAAUAUUAACAUUACUUUCAAAAUAAACCAUCCCAUACAUUGCAUGGACUGCACACUAGUAAUAAGAAAAAAAGAAAUAAACAUUGGUAUGUUCACUAGUGCACAAGGAAUAAUAAUAUAAGUAAGCAAGAGUUUAGGGCCUGUUUGGGAUAUCUUGUGUUUUCACAAAAAGUCACACUAUGUCAACUUCCUCUAAAAUCUCUUUUAAUCAAACAAAGCAUUUUCAAAAAUUUAUCAAAACAGGUCCAAAAGCAGUUUUUUAAUCUCAAAAGCCACUUCUAAAUUUUCAAUAGACGUGCCCACCAGGCCCUUAACAACUCAAUUUUUUAUACCAUAGCUUUGCAUAUGGUCAGAAGCGGCCCUGAGGACGUGCGAGUUGAGCAACCACACAGGGCCUCAGCAUUAUAGGGGCACCAAAAAAAAAAAAAUUAUAAGUCUAUAUAUAUGUUGAAGUACAUAUUUAUAAUGGUACAUAUUGUUUUAUUAAUUUUAAGAUUUAAACGCCAACUUCCUCUAAAAUCUCUUCUAAUCAAACAAAGCAUUUUCAAAAAUUUAUGAAAACAGGUCCAAAAGCAGUUUUUUAAUCUCAAAAGCCACUUCUAAAUUUUCAAUAGACGUGCCCAACAGGCCCUUAACAACUCAAUUUUUUAUACCAUAGCUUUGCAUAUGGUCAGAAGCGGCCCUGAGGACGUGCGAGUUGAGCAACCACACAGGGCCUCAGCAUUAUAGGGGCACCAAAAAAAAAAAUUAUAAGUCUAUAUAUAUGUUGAAGUACAUAUUUAUAAUGGUACAUAUUGUUUUAUUAAUUUUAAGAUUUAAAAUUUUUAUUAUUAUAUUAAGUAAAAUGGCACAAUAUUUUUGAAAAAAGAGUAAAAAAAAUUAUAUAAUGUUAAUAUUUGUUUAAUUUAACAUAUAUUGAAAAAAAAAAUAUUUUUAUAAUUUAAACUAUCUUGCUUUCAAAAAAUAUUAUAAACUAUCUAUUUUACUUGUCCUAAUAUCAAAUGUCCAAUUACCUUCAUUAAUCAAUUACUAACCUAAAAAGAAAAUAAGUAGCCCAAAAUUUGUUGGAGCCCGUUGUCCACUUGUGAAUGGCUAUUUCAUGAUUUUUUUUUAUUUUUUUUUUAGAAGGGUAAGUUUUUGUUAGAUGAUAACUGAUAGUUGAUUACAUUCAAUUUUUGUAAAAUUUUUUUUACCAAAAGAAACAAAAAUAGCUUUUGAUAUAUUGACUCAUUUGACAAUAUUGGAUGCUUUUCGAAUAUAUUUAUUACUUAUAGAAUACUAUUGUCAACUAUUUUUAUUGUUGCAUUUGUCGAAAAAUGUUCUUCAAAACUAAAACUAUUAAAAUCUUAUUAGCUAUCAACCAUGUCACAAGAACGAGUCCACUUGUGAAUUGCUAUUUCAUGAUGAUGAUGAUGAUGAUGAUAAUUAUUAUUAUUAUUAUUAUUAUUAUUAUUAUUAUUAUUAUUAUUAUUAUUAUUAUUAUGUUUUUUUUUUUUGGGUUCUAGAAGGGUAAGCUUUUGUUGGGUGAUAACUGAUAGUUGAUUACAUUCAAUUUUUGCAAAAAAUUUUUUUACCAAAACAAACAAAAAUAGCUUUUGAUAUAUUGACUUAUUUGAGAAGAUUAGAUUGUUUUUCGAAUAUAUUUAUUGCUUAUAUAUUGAUAACUAUCGUUAUUGUUGCAUUUGUCGAAAAAUGUUCUUUAAAAGUAAAGCUACUAAAAUCUUAUUUGCGAUCGAUCUCUUAUAAGAACGAUUGAAUGUGCUAGUUUUGAUAUUUAUUGAAAAAGAUUUGCUAAAAUAAAUUUGAUUACAAAAGUUUAAUUAGUGUUUGUUUCUAAAAAUGUGAAAACAAUUAUUUUUACAUGAUUUGUUAUAUUUAAAGAUUUACACGUGGUACUUGCUAUUUUUGAUUUCAAAAUUUGCUCAUGUGAAAUUGUACCUAGAGGUUAGUAGUUUGGAUGGUUCUCUAUUGAUGACAUAUAAAUUUUGAUGAAGUUCGAAGAAUGCUUUUGAGCUUUAGUUAUAUAUAUAUAUUUUUAUUCACAAUAUGUAAAAAAAAAAAUAAACAAUUUUUUAAAUGUCAUAUUUUUGGGUUGAAAUGAUAUUAUUGAAUUAUUUUCUUAUAAUAUAUUUUUUAUUACACGAAAGGGGCACCAUUUUAAAAUAUCGCAUGGGGCACCUAAAAUUCCAGGGCCGAUCCUGCAUAUAGUAUCACUAAUCCAAGCACGACCAUGGAUAUUAAACUAAGAGCGUGUCUUGAAAUGGUACUUAUUUCUUAAAAGAGAAAAGUAACUCUUUGUCAAAAUAAGCAACUUACAAGUAUCAAACUGAUCGAUAAAAAAAUAAUUUACUGUGAAACUUAUUUAUUUACAAUCUCACUUUUUAAGCUUUACAAGAUAAGCUCCUCUACUAAAAGCAAUGGCUGACUACUAGAAGUACUACAUACAGAAAAAAACUCACAACCCACACACAAACAUACCAUACUAUUUACUUUUAGCCCUUGUUUGAGCCCCCAUUUUGGGGGAAAAUGUAUACUGAAAAACGAAUUUUUUAAGAAUGUGUGGUUAAAAAGUGAAAAAAGGUUUUCAAAAAUGACCUCUCCAGUCGGGUCAGUCGGGAAAGACAUGAGAUACAAUUUACGUGUAAAAUUAUUUUAUUUGAAAAUAUAUGGUUGAAAAUGAGUUUUGAAAAAAAUGAAUGUUUGGAAAAAUAGGGCCCAAACAAGGGCUUAUAUGUCAUCAAAUCAUAUCCCAUUCUUUCAUCUCGUCCGUAUGUUCCUUUUUCAAUCAUUUACUAAUUCAUUUAUCUAGAGGGCGAAGAUUUUAAUCAAUCAAAAUAUCAGCGGUUUGAUGUUUGAGCUACUAAUUACGCAUAAACGUGACAAUUUUUCAACUGCAUUAGUAAAUAUUAACUCACAUAACAACAUAGUAAAAUUUUGCAAAAUAUCCCCUAUCCAAAAUAAAUAAAUAAAUAAAUAAAGUUACCUGCACAAUAAUGGAGUGUAUUCCUUGGUGGAUUCUAAGCACAUUUCUUCGAAUUUCAAAAUCACUUCAAUCUGUAAUGAGAAGAAUAAAAUUAAGAAACUGCCAAUAAAAUAAGGAUUCUAUAAUUUAGUACCACCAAGACUAUAUAUGAGUUGUCGAUCAAGAAUCAAAAUUGGCAGGCAAAUUCCUGCGACGAAAGCAAAUUCUUGAUGCCAUUUUGAACAAAAAUAAGAUUUUGGGCUUAGAACUGAAGAAACUUGGCUUGAUUACUUAACAAGAAAUUGAACAGACACAUAUCAAGUAAAGCAAAGCUUUGAAGAUCACAAGUUUGAUAAAUUCCUCCUUCCCCCUGUGCUUCUCCUUGGAUGAACUCUACAACCUUUUUUGAUCCCACCUUGCCAGCUUAAUCUCUUCUCUGAUUUACAGUUUUCCUUAAGGCGUUCUCCUCCUUUUUUGAAAAUCGGACUAAGGUAAGAAGAUAAGAUCUAGCAGUAAAGCAAAUAUUGCAUGAUCUCAUGAAGUGGCAUGCUUCUUAAUGAGAUUUAAAAGCCGCCUUUAUAACUUUAAGAAGAUCGUGUCAGUGGAGUCUUAUAUGUAAUCGUCUACAUAAAUAAGGAGACACCAAAGAGAAUGUUAUCAAAGGAAAAUUAUAAUGAGCGAGAGUAUACCAUCUUCUAGGCCCAUAGGUGGCCCAAACCGAGCUAUUCCAAAGGCGGGCCGCACCAGGCCAAAUUUUACACAUCAAGUCAGGACAUAAAGAUUUGAGAAAAAAGUGUGCAACCCCCAAAAAAGGACUAUUUUGCAAGUGUUGGAAAAUUGAAAUUGUUGACUCCAAAAAAUAUUGUCAACAGAUAUCGGUCCCACCCGCGCAUACGUGGGCGAAUGUCCAACACGCUAAGACACGUGGACGGUCUAAAAUGAACGGUUCAAAGGGUGUGGGAGUAGCCCAAUGACGCGGGACGGUGACGUUUGGAAUCCGGCGGGUUGUUCGUGAUCCGAUUGUAUAAUAAUUACCAAUCGGUGUUCGUAAACGUAUAUAUAAAUGUGUAUAAACUCGAUUUGUGUAUUGCAAGUAAAAGAGAGAGAGUUGAGUAAAGUGUAGUUCUUUGUAUUGAUUCUUGCAUUAGCCUUUUGAUAUUACACAAGGGAAGUAUUUAUAGUGGUACACGUGAAAUGGGAGCCCUUGGAUGAGGUGGCACGUGGCUUCAUCUCUUCGAUUCAAACAUCUUAUCCUAGGCAUGAGGUUUGACUUGCUAGCUUGCGGCGCAUUUAUUGCUUGUGCAGAGCCCCCAUACUAGUGACAAGACUUGACUUUUAUACUUAUGACAAACAUUCCAUCAAUCAUUCGAAUAAAAUCUUUGUGUAGGUGAUCUCUUGGGAGAAGUGACCAUGGAGGAUGCUCCUUUGUGGUUUGGAGGCUCCUACAUCGGAUUCGGGGCUUCGGCCAUUUCAUACAAUACUUCCACUUGAGGGCAUUAGCUAACUUCAACCAACUUCAGCAUCAUGGCAUCGGCUCAUAGGCCUCAGCAUGUGGAUCUCGGUUACAUUCACAAGCCUCGGUAAAAGGGAGCCUCGAUCAGUGGACUUCGGCCAUUGUCACCUCGGCAAUAUAUGCCACCUCGGCUGGAGUGCCACGUUGUUCGGCAUGAGUGGGCCAUUGGCCCAGGUGGAUUGGCCAAGUAUGACAAUACACAACAAUAGUCCCCCCCCAAAUCCAAGUAUGGUCAUUUAUGUCAUGGUUGGAGUUAGAGAUGAGGCUAUGUUUAAGAUGAGGCCGAGUGGUUGGAAAACCGAACCUGUAAGGUUUGUUGGCUGAAUGUUGAAGUGGAAGCCGAGGUGGUUGGGAAACCGAACCUACUAGGCUUGUUGGCUGAAUGUCGAAGUUGAAGCCGAGGUGGUUGGAAAACCGAACCUGCGAGGCUCGUUAGCUGAAGUCGAAGUUGAAGCCGAGGUGGUUGGGAAACCGAACCUGCGAGGCUUGUUGGCUGAAUGUCGAAGUUGAAGCCGAGGUGGUUGGGAAAUCGAACCUGCUAGGCUUGUUAGCUGAAUGUCGAAGUUGAAGCCAAGGUGGUUGGGAAACCGAACCUGCUAGGCUUGUUAGCUGAAUGUCGAAGUUGAAGCUGAGGUGGUUGGGAAUGAUUGUGCAUCGAUAGCUAUGCCAAUGAUUUGAUGGCUUGUGCUUGUUUUUGAGGAAAAGUGGCUGACCCGUACGACUUCCGAGGCGCCUGCUGUCGUCGAAUUAAAAACACUAUUAUGAGGACAGCUGGAGGUUCUAGAAGCAGACGCGUUGGAAGGGGUGCGUGGGAAGCACGCUUGAAUCUAAAGCGUAGGUUUGAAAAACCGUUUGAAUUCAACGCCUAGGAUUUGAUCUACAAUGGAGGGUUCAGAUUGACUGAGCUUCGAUCUGACGGCUGGGGUUCGUCUUGGACCUCUAUAAAAGGUGAGAAAAUCCCAUUUUUCAGGACUUUUAAAAACUUGCAAUCUGAUUCUCUAUCAAAUCUUGAACAUUUCGACGUCGAGACUGUUUGUUCUUUCCUUCUUCGGCCUAUCUCCGUUCGCGUAGUUCCUUCCUUAGGUAUUAUUCUUAGAAGAGCCCUUUUAUUUCUAUGGUAAUACUGUGAAAUGGAGUACACCUCGGGUAGGGAGCUGGUGACAGUAGCUUCGUUAGAUUGUGGGGUCAAGGGGGUUUCGAGGUUGAUAGGUAUGUCAUGACCGAGGACCCAAUAGAUUAUACCAAAGAGUGAGGGGCGUCUAGAGUGCCUUCAAGUAUGACGUGGAAGAGGUUGGGAGAGAUCAGGGAGAGAUACAGUGUCCCCCACAGCAUAGAAAUGUUAGUUCCCGAGCCGAACGAGCAGGCCUACUAUCCGAGGCCCGGUUGUGUGGCAGUCAGUGCAUACCUGUUUAAGGCAGGUAUGCGUCUUCCUCUGUACCCCUUCUUUAGGAAGCUCCCACAGUUGUAAAUUUUCUUGUUCUUUUGUUUUGAUAUUGAUGUGCUGACCUGACGCGCUAUGCAGAUAAAUUCAAAAGGAGGGAGUACCCAGCUCCAGACAUGGCUACUAUUCUGAAGGCCAUAACCAUUGUCAAGGCGAGGCCCCUGAAGCCGGGGUCCAAUGGGGCCAAGGAGGCCCGAGGAAGGGUGGAACGCCUUUCGAAGGAUAGCACUCCAAAGGCUUCCGAAGAGGGGACUCCUCAGAGGCAUGAGAAGCCUAAAGAGCCUCGGGGGAAAGAGAAAGUCCCUGCGGAGGCGAAGAGGAGGAAGCUGGUGCACGUCACCAGCUCGUCAGGAAAAUUUGGGACACCAGUGUCCCACGAUGCUAAAUCAACAGGUGAGCCGAAGCUGCUCACAUCUGCCUCCAAAGCCAUCAAAAUAGAGAUGGUCAGAGAGGCCGAGGCUAAGGAGGCCAGAGAGGAGACUGCGAGGAGAGCUGCUGAGGAGAAGGCAGCAAAACAGAAGCCCGUUCUAGAGAAGGGGAAGUCUCCAAGCUUCCUAGCUGGAAGGGAGGAGACCUUGGCUCCAGCCUUAGUGGAGGCUCUUCCCCAAGAGGUCCGGAUGCCACAGAAAACUUUUACCAAUUUUGGACAGAUAGGUGGCAGCUGCACACCUCCUCCUGCGAUGCCACAGACCUGAACCAAAGCGUCUGAACCUUUGGCCUCGCUCUUGAAUGUAGGGAGGCCCUGAGUGAUUUUCAGACAAGGACCCAGUCUUCGGAGGAGAAGAUGGCCUCCCUCGCAGAGGAGUUGAAGGCAGCUAGGGCCGAGGCGGAAGAAGCUAGGGCCUAAAAACUUGAUGAAUUGGCCAAGCUGGAGUCUGCCUUGGCCUAGAUUGAGGCUUUGAAGAGGAAAUCCAUGAGUCACAGUGCGAAGUGGCCUCCUUGACAAAGAAGGUGGAGGUCUCCAAUGAGCACCAGAAAGUGACUGUCGAGGCCCUGGAGAAGGCAAAUCUCUCUUUGGCGAGUGCCCAAUAGGCUUACCAUUUCUUGGAAACCCAAAUUAAGUGGUAUGUGGAUGAUGCCUCCCAUCCCAGAGAGGAGGCUCAACAGGCGAGGGAGGAGGCGGUGCAGGAUUACGUCGCCAACUUCCAUAACACAGAGGAGUAUAAGAGCUUCAGUGCUUACUGGGGAAACUUUGCCUAUGCUGAGGUGAUGGAGCGGGCAGAGGAACUGUAUCCCAAUUUGGAUCUGCCUCAACUCAGGUCUGAAUUUGUGGAUGAGCUACCUCAGACCCCUGCUAAGGAGGUGUAGGGUAAUGAAGCAGCUAAGGUAGAGGAGACCAAUGCCGAUGCUCAAGCUGCCCAAGCCCUAAGUACUGAAGCACCUCUUCCAUCUACCCAGGCUUAGAUUAGUUUUCUUUUCAGUGUCUCAAAUGUAAUGGCUUGAGGCCCACUUUUGUAAUCCUUAUUGAAGAUCAAUAUAAUGCCUUUUUCAUUCUUUGUUGUUUCUUUAUCCAAGUGUGCGCGCCUCGUUAAGCAAAUGACCUUAAAAGUUGACAAAAGCACUAACAACAUAACUUUAACUUGGUACCUUAACUUCAAUCACUUUAAACAACUGGAUUGAAUGACUGUAUGAGCCUUGGACUUAAGCAAAUGAACUUUACUGAAGCGUAAUAACUGUAUGAGCCUCGGAUUUAAGCAAAUGAACUUUCCUUAAGCAUAAUAACUGUAUGAGCCUCGAACUUAAGCAAAUGAACAAUUACAUGAGCUUGGGUCUGUAUGGGCUUCGGAAUGCAAGUGAGAUGGCUUCUCCCAUUGGCGUUCAGCCUUGCCAAAGGGAGGCAUGUGCUAGAGUCUCAGAGUUCAAGCGAGGUGGCCCAGAGGUGGGUCAUGAGCCUUUCCUCCGAGGUUACGACGCAUCCCAGACAUGGUGGAUGGUGCAGCCAUGUUGAGGCUUCUCCCCUUGGCAUUCAGCCUGGCCAUGGGGAGGCAUGUGCUAGCGCCUCGGAGUUCAAGCGAGGUGGCCCAGAGUUGGGACACGAGCCUCUCCUCCGAGGUGACGAGGUAGUACAACACGUCAAUUUAAUCACUGAAUUUUAUUUAACCAUAGAAAUGUUAUAAAGGCUGGGAAAAGUCAUCCAGUAAGAUAGUACAUUUACUGGUAAUAGAUUCUGAGGUGUUCAAUGUUCCAUGGAUGGGGUUGUGCCUUGCCUUUCAUGUCUUCAAUCCAGUAAUUCCCAAGUCGAACUUCUUCUCUGAUUUUGUAUGGUCCUUCCUAGUUUGGGCCUAGGGAAUCGAAACUAGGUUCUUUUGAGGACAAGAAGACCCUCCUGAAUACAAGGUCGUUGAUUCAGAAUGACCUCUUCUUGACUUUUGAGUUGAAGUACCUUGUCAUCUUUCUCUGAUAUGUGCUGAGCUUCAAUUGGGAGUCAUCUCUACUUUCUUCGAUGAAAUCGAGGUCGAACCUCCGAAGCUCAUCGUUGGUUAUCUCGCUAAAGUGCAGACGUCUUGGGGAUGGAAGUUAGACCUCCACGGGGCUCAUCGCCUCAGUUCCAUAUGCCAUGAGGAAGGGCGUUUCCCUUGUUGUGGUCCUGGUGGUGGUUUGGAUCGCCCAAAGGACUUAGGGCAACUCAUCAACCCAGGCCCCUUUUGAUAUAUCAAGCUUCCUUUUCAGGACGUGCUUGAUUGUCUUGCUCACGGCCUCAACUUGGCCAUUCGCUUGUGGGUGGUGAGGUGUGGAGAAGUGCUUCUUUAUGCCAAGCUCUUCGCAUAAUUCUCUAACCUUCUUGUUGUCAAACUGUCUGCCAUUGUCUGAGACAAUUGAGUAGGGAAUUUCAAACCGACAAAUAAUAUUUUUCCAUAAGAACUUGAAGGUGUUGGCUUCAGUGGUUUUUGCCAGUGGUUCAGCUUCGACCCACUUUGUGAAGUAAUCAAUAGCCACAAUUGCAAAAUUUGCCCCUCCUCUACCUUUAGGUAGGGGACCUAUGAGAUCCACACCCCAUUUUGAGAAAGGCUAGGGGCUAGAGAUGACGGUCAAAUCCUGCGAUGGUUGUCUCUGCACCGGAGAGAAGUGCUGGUAUUUAUCAUAUUUUCGUACAAACUCGAGGGCGUCCCGCUUUAGGGUAGGCCAGUAGUACCCCUGCCUCAAUAUUUUUUUGUGCGAGAAGUAGACCUCCGGAGUGGUUGCCGCACACGCCCUCGUGGACUUCUCUCAAUAUGUAGGUAGCUUCUUCUCCUCCGACGUACCGUAAAAGUGGGGAAGAGAAGCUCCUCUUGUAGAGAAUGUCAUCAAUGAAGAGGAAGUGAGCUGACCUCCUUCUUAGCUUGUAAGCCUCAUUCUUGUUAGUUGGCAGUACUUGGUCUUUGAGGUAUGCUAUGAUUGGCUGCAUCCAAGUGGGAGUUCCAGCGAUCUACAUUACAGUUGGGGCCUCGAUCGAAGGCAGGAGGAGGUGCUCAAUAGGUACUACUGUGAGUAGCUCUGAGUCCUUGCUACUAACCAACUUCGAGAGCGCAUCCUUAUGCACAUUUUCGAUGCGAGGGAUCUGGAUCAACUCAAACUUUUCGAAAGAUGGGAUGAGGUUCAUCACCAUUUUCAGAUAGGAGGUCAUCGUUUUAUCUUUGGCUGAGAAGUUACCAUUGACUUGGCUAACAACCAGCUAGGAGUCACUACUGAUGAGUAGCCUCUUUACUUGCAUUUCGAUGGCUAGCCUGAGGCCCGCAAGAAGUGCCUCAUAUUCUGCUGCGUUAUUGGUAGCUUUGAAUUCGAACCUCACCGUCGAGGUGAGUUUGUGACCUCCGGGGCUGAUGAGGACAACCCCGGCACCUGAACCGACAUCCCCAUUUGACCCAUCGACAAAGAGAUUCCAUGUGGGGGGCUCGGCGGGUUCCAUGAUUUCAUCCACCUCGGGUAGGUUGGCGAAUUCAGCCACAAAGUCAGCCAAGGCUUGCCCUUUUAUGGCUGCCCUAGCCUUGAACACAAGGUCAAAUUCACUUAGUUCCACUGCCCAUUUCAAUAACCUUCCUGAGGCAUCGGGCUUUUGGAGUACCUACCUCAGGGGAAAGUUUGUCAGUAUAUGGAUGGUGUGAGCUUGGAAGUAGGGUCUCAAUUUCCUAGAGGCCGUGAUCAAGUCCAAAGCGAGCUUCUCCAUAUUAGGGUAACGGAUUUUCGGUGACAGGAGCACUUUACUUGUGUAGUUUACAGGGAGUUGGGUAGACCCUUCUUCCCGUAUCAAAAUCGAGCUGAUGGCUUCAUUGGAGACGACCAAAUAUAGUUGUAGGAUAUCACCGGGCUUCGAUUUGGAGAGGAGGGGGCCUGUCCCAGGUGCCUUUUCAAGCAUUGGAAGGCCUCUUCACAUUCCUCAGUCCACUGGAAUUUCUUCCCAGCCUUCAGUACUUUGAAAAAUGGGAAGCAUUCGUCUGUAGCUUUGGAAAUGAAGCGGCUAAGUGCGGCCACUCGCCCAGUAAGAUUUUGCACCUCCUUUGGCUUUUGAGGCGAUCUCAUCUUGCAUAGAGCCUUAAUCUUCUUGGGGUUGGCCUCAAUUCCUCGUUGGUUGACCAUGUACCCCAAGAAUUUGCCAAAGGCACACUUGAGGGGGUUGAGUCUCAUCCUAUACCUUCUUAGGAUUUGGAAAGUGCUGUUGAGGUGUGUUAUGUGGUCCUCAGCCUCCAAAGUUUUUACUAGCAUGUCGUCUACGUAGACCUCCAUUGUUCUGCCAAUGAGGUCCAUAAACAUCUUUUUUACGAGUCUUUGGUAGGUUGCUCCGACGUUUUUCAACCCGAAGGGCAUCAUUGUAUAAUAAUAGAGGCCUCAGUCCGUGAUGAAAGAGGGGUGCUCUUCAUUGGCCGGGUGCAUGGGAAUUUGGUUGUAGCCGGAGUACGCGUCCAUGAAGCUCAACAACUCGUGCCCAGCCGUGGAGUCUACUAGUUGGUCAAUCCUUGGGAGUGAAAAGCUGUCUUUCGAGCAAACUUUAUUGAGGUUGGUGAAUUCGAUGCACACCUUCCACUUGCCGUUGUGUUUCUUUACAAAAAUCGGGUUGGAGACCCACUUCGGGUAGGUUGCCUCCCUGAUAAAGUCAUUUUGGAUGAGCUUCUGAACUUCUUCCUUUAGGGCCUCAUACCUCUCAGGAUUGAGGGCUCUCCUUUUUCGUCUAUGCGUGGCAACCUUAGGAUCAAUUUUCGGGUGGUAGCAACUGACCUUAGGGUCUAUGCCUACCAUGUCCUCAUGCUUCUAGGCAAAGACAUCAAGAUUCUUGCUCAGGAAAUCCUUAAUCUUUUCCUUCAAAAUGUUGGAUAGGCAUUUGCCUACCUUCAGCACCUUUGAUGGGUCUCGGGGGUCUACCGAGAAGCUCUCAAGUUCCUCUACCGGGGAUGCUUGAGGCUCGUAUUCCAUUAUGCGGGGUCAACCUCAUCAAUGACUAGCACCUCCGGAUUAGGUGGUGCGUCGAUCAUAUCAACAUCUUCUUGUUCGGUGGGAGCAUCACCUGGGACAUCAGCCAUGACCACAUUAGCUAUGAUUACAUGGAUGUCCCGUGGCUCUACUUUCUUGAUGGAGCUUAGAUAGCACUCUCUCGAGCCUCUUUGGUCUCCUCUCACCGUUGCCACCCCAUUUUCUGUCGGGAAUUUCAUGCAUAGGUGGUGGAUGGGGUGACUGCUCCCAAUUCCUUUAGGGUUGGUCUGCCCAACACUCCAUGAUAAGCCGACCAGCUAUCGACAAUAAAGAAUUCCAUGAAGUUCAUCGUUGUUCGUGGGGAUUCUCCCAUCUCCACUUCAAGUGUUAUCUUUCUCCUCGGAGUGAUGCUAUCUCCGGUAAAUCCAUACAAUGGAGUGGUAGUGGGUGUCAACUGAUGAUCCAAUAUCAUCUUGUCAAAGGCGGAUCCAAAUAGAAUGUUGACGGAGCUGCCGUUGUCAACUAACAUUCGUUUGAGCCCAUUCCGGGCUAUGACAGCCCUCACCACAAGUACAUUGCAAUGGGGAUAAUGAACUCCCUCGGCAUCUUCAUGUGUGAAGACAAUGGGUGGAACCUGGUUUCUUCGGGAGCUACUACCCACAAUGUAGCUUGUCAAAGGGGGGUGUUUAGCCUAUCGAGCAUAAUUCCUUUUGGCGUUUCGUGUUUCACUGCCAACAUACGGACCUCCAAAUAUGGUAUCCACCUCGUGGAUAGGGGCUUCAUCUCGAGCUUGCAGAUUUCUUCUGUGCCUACGCCCUUCCCUGGGCCUCUCUGCAUCAUGCUCCCUUCGCCGUGGGGAUACAUCGCUUUGACGGGGAGCAGCCACCUCACGCCCACGUCAGUUGUCGUGCCUGGGCAGGGGCCUGUUCGCUUGGGGUGAAUCAUGUCUGUCUCUAGCGGGUUCCUAUCGGGAACGUUGUGCAUAGUCUCUGCAAUCCGCUAUGUCAUGCCCGUAGGACCUGUGGUGCACACAGUAUCCUGGGGGGUUCGGAUUUAACCUAUUUCUAGGUCCAGAACCUCGGCCUCGGCCUCUUUCUCGACGGGGUGUCUGCUGGGCCUCCAUCUGAUGGGGGUCAGUAAUCGGGUUGACAUCUUCAUAUGCCAAGGUGGGAACCGCAUUCAAAGUGGUGGUGGCAAGUGCUUAGCCAGAGUUCUCGUUACCGGCCUGGUUUAUUUGGUAGCCCAUCAGGUGGGAGGUCGGGCCUCUACCACGCUAUCUUUGAGGAGGUGGGAGGCCUCUACUUGCCCUGUUCCUAUACUCAAUCAAUUCUUCAUUGAUGAUCUCCCUUCUCAUCAUUUCGAGUAGGGCGUCAUAGGUGGUGGGGUCUUGAUUCUACACGUCCCUCCAGAAUAAGGUAUUCAUGUUCAGACCUCCCUUCAAUGCGGAUAGUGCCUCUUGGUCAGUGACAUGUACGCAGUACGUCAUCUCAUCGGUGAAGCGUGAUAAGACGCUCUUUAGGGACUCCCCAUGUGCUUGUCUCAUGUCCUGGAGACGUUGGAUGGGGGCCUCUCCUUCUUUGCUCACCGCGAACCUCUUCAAGAAUGUUAUCUUGAACUCGGGCCAGCUUCUAAUGCUCCUAGGUGGCAAUCUGCUAUACCAAAUUUCAGCCGCUCCACUAAGCGUUAAAUGGAAGGCUUUGCACUUCAUGGCUGGGGUGGCGCCCCUUAGGCUCAUGUGAGUUUUAUAAGCAUUCAAGUGCUUCUCCGGGUCACCUCUUCCGUCAUACUUUAGUAUUUUUGGUAUAACAUAGUAGCUUGGGACAUGGGCAUUCCUUAGUUCCCUUGAGAAUGGUAGAUUCUCAUCAUCAUCGUCCAAGUCGCAGGACCUCUGCUGUUCAUCAGAGUCGUACUCAUCAGCCUCAUACCCUGGCUGUUGGUGAGAGGUUCCAAGGGAUACCACUAGUCUGUAGAGAGGAGAGAACCUAUAUGCUAGUAGGUUCGCAAGCGCCGCCGUCUGUCCGACCGGCUCGACACCGGGUACCGUGGGCUUCGGCCCGUUGGUAUAUAUAUUUUUGGUAAAAUAAUAUUUUAAAUUAUACUAUUUUAUUAAUUAAAUAAUAUAUUUUUCUCGAAUUUUAUGUGCGAGACAUGUGGAUUCUUUAGAAAUUGGCGGUUGGUGACAGUUUUAACUGCCUGUCCCAAUGGGUUAUCUCUGUUCCAAGACACAACUUUUCGACUGUUGUGUUUUUUGGGCAAAACCUUUCAACUUCUAUAAAUAGAUCACAGAUCCCCAAUUUUUAUUCACUCUAGAAAAUUUAUUCUACUUCCCUUCCCCUACAAUAUUGUCUUUCUGUCCUACAGCUUUCCAUAUAUUUGCAUUUCAGUCCCAAAUAUUAUUUUUGUGCAUUUUAGUCCUCCGAUUCUCGAGAGAUCAAAUAUUAGUAGGUUCGUCGGAUCUUGUAAUUUAGAGUGCUACUAUUACAAGUCAAGGUCGUUGUAUCUUGGUAAACGAGUGCCACAAGACCGUCAGCACCAGUGCGGGACAUUUUCGUCUUAAGGAGAAAGAGUCGAACUCUUGCCUCGACCUUUAUUUAUUGUGCUAAUUUUGUAAAUCGAAAUUCUGCCUGAAUAUUUAUUAGCUAUUUAUUUUCCGCACGACAUUCUUUUAAGAUUUUCAACAAUCUUAAGACGAAAAUUUUUAUUUACGUGCCAAUUUAUAUUUUAAAAUUUUGUUAGACUAUGGCAAGUAACAACACAUCCGUCGUACCUCCAAACAAUGCUCACGGGGAGAAACCAGAAAAAUUCACAAGAGGGGAUUUUAAAAGAUGGCAACAGAAAAUGUUGUUUUAUCUCACAACUCUAAAUUCGGCAAAAAUUCUUGAGUGAAGAUGCUCCAACCGUUGAGGAGAAAGAAACAGAUUCUCAAAAAUGAGCAGAAUUCGAUGCAUGGAGUCAUAGUGACUUCCUGUGCAGGAACUACAUCCUCAAUUGUCUUGACAACACACUAUACAGCGUAUACAGUUCAGUCAAGAUAGCUAAGUUACUGUGGGAAUCAUUGAAAAAGAAGUUCAAAACGAAAGAUGCCGGAUUAAUGAAAUUCGUCAUGGUCAAAUUCCUAGAUUUCAAGAUGAUAGAUUCUAAAACAGUGAUGAAUCAAGUCCAAGAGCUGCAAAUCAUCUUGCAUGAUAUACAUGUAGAAGGUAUGAAGCUUAGUGAGUCAUUUCAGGUCGUCGCUAUUAUCGAGAAAUUACCUCCAAUGUGGAAAGAUUUCAAUAACUACCUGAAACAUAAACGUAAGAAAAUGGGACUUGAAGAUCCGAUUGUAAGAUUAAGAAUUGAGGAAGAUAAUUGAAAUUUUGAGAAGAAGUCUAGAAAGCUUCAUAUGGAGGAUAAAGCCAAUUUGGUGGAGCCAAAUACUAGCAAGAAAAGGAAACACUUAGGUAAUGGCAAGCAAAAAAAUAAGGCUAAGAAAUUCAAAGGAGAUUGUUAUAACAGCGGUAAGCCUGGUCACAUCACAAAGGAUUGCUGACAGAAAAAACAAAAUAAAAAUAACCAAGUACACUCGACCGAGGUGACAAAUUGUCUAAUGAUGUGUCUGAAUUAAUGCUCUCAGCUAUUGUAUUUGAAGCAAACAUGUGGACAAUCCAAGAGAAUGGUUCGUAGACACAGAUGCUACUCGACAUGUUUGUACCGAUAAGGAGAUGUUUUCAUCCCACACUCCUAUCAAUGGAUGACAAUUAUUUAUGGGAAACUCAGCAACAUCCAAAAUUGUUGGUCUAGGUAAAGUAGUGCUGAAGAUGACAUCAGGAAAAGAAGUAACUCUCGUCGACGUGUUGCAUGUUCUUGAUAUUCGUAAAAACUUGGUAUUCGGAGCUUUGUUAAGCAAAAAUGGGUUUAGGCUAGUAUUUGAGUCUGAUAAGUUUAUACUUACCAAAAGUGGCAUGUUUGUGGGUAAGAGGUACUUAGCCAAUGGGCUAUUCAAAAUGAAUGUAAUACCUGUACUUCGUGAUUUUGAUGUCAAUAAAAUUAAAUCUUCUACUUACUUGAUUGAGUCCUCUAACUUAUGGCAUGAUAGAUUAGGACAUGUUAACAUUAAAAUUUAAUGUAAAUUAGUAAGUGUGAAUCUAUUGCCUUCAAUUUCAUUUCAUUAAUAUCAUCGAUGCGAAAUUUGUGUAGAGGCUAAAUUAGCUAAAACGCCCUUUCAUUCAGUGGAAAAGAACUCAAAUCUUCUAGAACUCAUUCACAGUGAUAUCUGUGACUUAAUGUUCAUACAAACUAGAGGAGGAAAAAAGUAUUUUAUUACUUUUAUAGAUGACUGCACUAGGUACUAUUAUGUAUAUUUGCUAAGAAGCAAAGAUGAGGCCUUAGAAACGUUUAAACAGUACAAGAAUGAGGUUGAAAAUCAACUUAGCAAACAAAUAAAAGUUAUUUAUAGUGAUAGAGGUGGAGAAUAUGGGGCACUGUUUGAAGAUUUUUGUUCAAUUUCUUGGAUUAUUCAUCAAACUACAGCACCCUAUUCACCUCAGUCAAAUGGUAUUGCUGAACGCAAAUAUCAUACUCUUAAAGAGAUGAUGAACUCUAUGUUAAUCAAGGGAAAGCAAUCCUCUUAGCAAGCCACAUUCUAAAUAAAUUACCACACAAAGGUAAGAACGAAACUCCUUAGGAGUUAUGGAAAUAGCAUAAACCUUCGUACAAAUACUUGAAAGUGUGGGGAUAUUUGACUAAGGUAGAAGUACCAAAACUUAAACAAAUUAAAAUAGGGCCAAAAACUAUCGAUUGUGUAUUCAUCGGAUAUGGUAAUAAUAGUAGUGCGUAUUAGUUCCUUGUACAUAAGUUCGACAUUCUAGACAUACAUGAAAAUACUAUUAUUGAAGCAAGGAAUGGUGUAUUUUUUGAGGACAUUUUCCCUUGUAAGGAUAGGAAAGAGAUUAGUUCACAAAAAUGAACUUAUGAUGCUACAAUUGGUAAUCAUCAAAGCGAUGAAAAACUAAAACGUAGUAAAAGAUCUAAAACGGCUACAUCCUUUGAUCCAGAUUUGCUAACUUAUUUGUUAGAAAAUGAACCUAAGACAUUCAAUGAAGCUAUGUCAAGUCCAGAAGCUCCAUUCUAGAAAAAGGCUAUCAAUAGUGAAAUUGAUUCUAUUAUACAGAAUCAUACAUGAGAGCUGGUAGAUCUCCCACUAGGUAACAAACCGUUAGGUUGUAAAUGGAUUUUCAAGAGAAAAUUAAAGAUUGGUGGAUCAAUUGAUAAAUAUAAGGCCAGAUUGGUAACUAAAUGAUUCAAAAUAAAGGAAGGUCUUGAUUUUUUUGAUACAUACUCUCCGAUAAGAAGAAUAACAUCUAUUAGAGUAUUAAUUGCAAUUGCAGCAUUGUAUAAUAUGGAGAUCCAUCAGAUGGACGUUAAAACAACCUUCUUAAAUAGAGAGCUAGACAAAGAAAUCUACAUGGAACAAUCUGAGGGGUUCAUUGCUUUUGGACAGGAGAAAAAGGUGUGUAGACUCGUUAAGUCACUAUACGGACUAAAGCAAGCACCAAAAUAGUGGCAUGUAAAAUUUGACAAAACUAUGUUAUCAAAUGGCUUUAAGAUUAAUGAAUGUAAUAAAUGUAUUUAUAUUAAAGCCACACCCAGUGCAUAUGUAAUUGUAUGUCUCUAUAUUGAUAACAUGCUAAUAAUGAGUAGUAAUCAUGAUAUCAUAAUAACUACCAAGAAAAUGUUGACAAAAUAUUUUGACAUAAAAGAUAUGGGUAUUGCAAAUGUAAUAUUAGGAAUUAAAAUCCUUAAGACAUCUAAGGGACUUGUUCUAUCUCAAUCUCACUAUAUUGAGACUGUGCUUAAGAAAUUUCAUAUAUAUGAUGAAAGUCCAGUUAAAACUCCAGUAGACUUAAGUCUACAUUUGGCCAAACAUAAAGGUGAGCUUGUAUCUCAAUUGGAGUACUUUCGAAUAAUAGGUAGUCUAAUGUAUAUCACCAACUGCACUCGUCCGGAUAUAGCAUAUGCAGUGAACAAGCUUCUUAGAUUCACAAGUAAUUCAAAUACUGACCAUUGGAAGGCAUUGACAAGGGUACUUAGAUAUCUACGAUACACCUCAAAUGUUGUAUUACAUUAUAUAAGAUAUUCAGCUGUAUUAGAAGGAUACAGUGAUGCUAAUUGGAUAUCAUAUACAAAAGAAUCAAAAUCCACUAGUGAUUACAUCUUUACCAUCGGUGGUGCGGUCGUAUCUUAGAAAUCAUCUAAAAAAUGUGUAUAGCUUGAUCCGCGAUGGAAUCAGAGUUCAUAGCUUUAUAUAAAGCUGGAGAAGAAGUAGAAUGGCUCCGUAAUUUUUUAGAGGAUAUUCCAUAUUGGCCUAAACAUGUGCCUGCAGUUAGAAUACAUUGUGAUAGUUAGUCAGCUAUCGGUAGAGCACAAAGUAAUAUGUAUAAUGGUAAGUCUCGACAUAUCCAUCGAAGAUAUAAUACAAUUAAGCAGUUGAUCUUGACUGGUGUCAUUUCCAUAGAUUAUGUAAAAUCUAGAGAAAAUCUCGCGGAUCCGCUCACAAAAGGUUUACAAAGAGAUCAAAUGUAUUACAUAUCAAGGGGAAUGGGCUUAAAGCCUACUAAGUAAGGAUCUUUGUAACGACAACCCAACCUUGUUGAUUGGAGAUCCCAAGAUCUUGGUUCAAUGGGACAACUAAGUUAUGAAGAUUCAAAAAGCACUUCGGAGUUUACUCCUACCCAUUCUUAUGAUAAGAGAAGUGCUAGGUUCAAUGGGACAACUAAGUUAUGAAGAUUCAAAAAACACUUUAGAGUUUACUCCUACCCAUUCCUAUGAUAAGAGAAGUGCUAUCUAUAGAAAGUCUUAGGUUAAGAUAUGCUUUUAAUGAUUCCUAUAACUUAAACUAUCAAAGUGGAGUAUGGAAGGUACUCUUAAUAGAAAAUCACCUAUAUAAGUGUGAAGUGGGGCCGCUUCCAUGUUAAUGUUUCAAGGGUUUCAAUUCUCUAAAGCACUUAUGAAAUUCAAGAGUUGUUCUGAGCCAAAAUGAACACAACAGCGAGAACUCGAAAAUAUUAUGGAGGUAAUUAUGUUGUUGUUAUUGUCUUGGUUUACAAUAACGGCUGAGUUCAAGACAUCACGUUCACUGAUUAGCCAAAUAAAUCCAAUAGUAUACUACUAUAGAAGGUUCAAAGCCAUAAGGUACCUAUCCAGAUGCAAUAACUUUCCGCCCGAUCUCUCGUUAGGGUCUGCAUCAUUUAUUGUAUUAAUUUCCAUUCAUGUUGGGGAUUGUUGGAAAAUUGGAAUAAUUAGUUGGUUUCACCAACUUUUAACCAAUUAUUUAAGUGGGUCCUGUUAGUUGGAUAAAUGAUUUAUUUGGUCAAGUGCAUUCUACUCCAUGAGUAGAAUUGAUAUAUGUAUUUAUUCUCAAAACUAAUUAAGGGUGAAUGAGAAAUUAAAGCCAAAAGAUGACCACUUGAAAUUUAAAUAAAUUGAGAAUAAAAAUUGGUGGGAAAUUGGAAAGUGUCAAUCCCACAUAGGAAAAUUAGAAGAAUAGAAAUCACUUUAUAUAAUGACUUGGGUUUGGGCCCCAAGGGGUACCACUAAUCUUUAAAGGGGGAGGACCUACAUGGUAGUAGGUUCAGCUAAAGCCCACACGCGCGCUUCGCCGCCGCCAUCUGUCCAACCGGCUGGCUUCGGGUUGUAAUCGUGGGCUUGGGCUUGGCCCAGUUUGUAACGCCCCGACCCCUUGUGGAUCGGAACGCUACUUACUUUACUAAACUAACUAGUGGUUUAGUCAUAGGAGAAUAUGUUUUAGCGAAAGCUUUGAUUUUUACAAUGAAAAUUUUAAUAACAACCUUUCGAAUGCUUUAAAUAAAACACUGAAUAAAAAAAUAACGGAACAUAAUUUAUUUGAAGAAAACACAACUUGUUCUCGCGUUCAGCGUUAUUCAAAUAUUUUAAAGAAAUAACAUUGAAAACGUUCACAAAAAUAAAUCUAAAUAACUUGUUCACCGGAUUUUCCAUGGGCUCGUUGCACCACUUUCCAUCUUUUCUAUCAUCCAGUCCCAAGGUAGAAUCAUAUCAAUCUGUAGAGAAGAGGUUAAACCCGUGAGUUAAAAAAUUCAAUAGAUAUCAUUGGUGCAUUCGUGAUCAAGCUAUACAUUUCAAAGCUGUAACUUUAGAAACCUUUUCAUAGUAGAAUUUUCGGUAGAAUCCCAAACACGUAGAGUCAUGACUUAACACGACGUCUCGACCGGAAGUACAUGCCGUACCCGGAGGUACCAUUAGACAUGGAGGUGUAUGUCGUACCGGAGGUACCAUUAGACAUACAAACAUUAACAUAAAUCUUCAUUUGCUAGAAAUUUAUAACUUAACACGAAUUAACACUUUGUACCUCUACCUACCUUGUUGAUGCUUUGAACCUUGUUGAGAAAUGCACUCCUUUGAUGUUUCAAAAAAACACUCCGUUGAGAAUUGAUGUUUGGAAAACACUUCUUGAUAGCACCAAAACUUCUAGGAAAAACUAAUUUUCCUCCCUCUCCUUUUUCUUUUUUUUUUCUAGACUUGAAAACUCUCUCUUUUAUGCUUAGAAGUUUGUCUUGGUGUGAAAAAUGUGUAUGCAUUGGUGCCUAUUUAUAGUUGAAAAUCUCACAACCCAGAAUUUGACUUUUCAUAUUCCGCGUACUUCGGUUGAUACUGUACAACUUUUAGUAUUUCUAUCAUAACUUCUUCUCCCGAUAUCUGAUUGAGGUAAUUCAAAGUGCGUUGGAAAGCUAACUCAAAGAGCUACAACUUUUCUUUAGAUAUCAUUUUCCAAAUCGAAUGUUUUCUAUGUUUUAAAUGGGUCUCAAAUGAGACUAAAAAUCUGAAGUAUACUUUAGCCAUCCAAUAUUCAUGUCUUAGUGCCACUAAGGUGUUUAAAAUUAUUUGGGGUUCUACAUAGUUGGUAUAUAUUUUUUUGGUAAAAUAAUAUUUUAAAUUAUAUUAUUUUAUUAAUUAAAUAAUUUAUUUUUAUUAUAUUAUUUAUUUUUCUUCCUCGAAUUUUCUGUGCGAGACAUGUGGAUUCUUCUAAAAACUGACGGUUGGUGACAGUUUUAACUGCCUAUCCAAAUGGGUUAUGUCUGUUCCAAGACACAACAUUUCGACUAUUGUGUCUUUUGAGCACAACCUUUCAACUUCUAUAAAUAGACCACAGAUCCCUGGUUUUCAUUCACUCCAAAAAAUUUAAUCUACUUCCCUUCUCCUGCAUUAUUAUCUUUCUGUCCUGCAGUUUUCUAUAUAAUCGUAUUUCAGUCCUAAAUAUUAUUUUCGUGCAUUUUAGUCCUCCGAUUCUCGAGAGAUCAAAUAUUAGUAGGUUCGUCAGGUCUUGUAAUUUGGAGUGCUACUAUUACAAGUCGAGGUCGUUAUAUCUUGAGAGACAAGUGUCAGGAGACCGUUUGCACCAAUGCGGGUCAUUUUUGUCUUAAGAAGAAAAAGUCAAACUCUUGCCUCGACCAUUAUUCAUUCUAAUUUACUGCGCCAAUUUUGUAAGUCGAAAUUCCGCCCAAAUAUUCAUUCGCUAUUUAUUUUCCGCACGACAUUCUAGAAGAUUUUCAACAAUUUUAAGAUGAAAAUUUUUAUUUACGUGCUAAUUUAUAUUCUGAAAUUUUGUUAGACUAUGGCAAGUAACAACACAUCCGUCGUACCCCCAAACAAUGCUCACAGAGAGAAAUCAGAAAAAUUCACAAGUGUGGAUUUUAAAAGAUGGCAACAGAAAAUGUUGUUUUAUCUCACAACUCUGAAUUUGGCAAAAUUCUUGAGUGAAGAUGCUCCAACUAUUGAGGAAGAAACAGAUUCUCAAAAACGAGCAGCAUUCGAUGCAUGGAGUCAUAGUGACUUUCUGUGCAGGAACUACAUCCUCAAUUGUCUUGACAACACACUAUACAGUGUGUACAGUUCAGUCAAGACAGCUAAGUUACUGUGGGAAUCAUUGGAAAAAAAGUACAAAACGGAAGAUGUCGGAUUAAAGAAAUUCGUUGUGGGCAAAUUCCUACAUUUCAAGAUGAUAGAUUCUAAAACAGUGAUGAAUCAAGUCCAAGAGCUGCAAAUCAUCUUGCAUGAUAUACAUGCAGAAGGUAUAAAGCACAAUGAGUCAUUUCAGGUCGCCGCUAUUAUCGAUAAAUUACCUCCAAUGUAGAAAGAUUUCAAGAACUACCUGAAACAUAAACGUAAGGACAUGGGACUUGAAGAUCUGAUUGUAAGACUAAGAAUUGAGGUAGAUGAUCGAAAAUCUGAGAAGAAGUCUAGAAAGCUGCAUAUGAAGGCUAAAGCUAAUGUGGUGGAGCCAAAUAUUAGCAAGAAAAGAAAACACUUAAAUAAUGGCAAGCAAAAAAAUAAGGCUAAGAAAUUCAAAGGAGAUUAUUAUAAUUGCGGUAAGCCUAGUCACAUCGCAAAGGAUUUCCGAUAGAAAAAGCAAAACAAAAAGGGCCAAGUACACAUGACCGAGGAGACAAAUUAUCUAACGGUGUGUCUGAACUAAUGCUCUCAGCUGUUGUAUUUGAAGUAAACACGGUGGACAAUCCAAAAGAAUGGUUCAUAGACGCAAACGCUACUCGACAUGUUUGUGCCGAUAAGGAGAUGUUUUCAUCUUACACUCUUAUCAAUGGAUGACAAUUAUUUAUGGAAAACUCGGCAAUAUCCAAAAUUGUUGGUCUAGGUAAAGUAGUGCUAAAGAUGACAUCAGGAAAAGAAGUAACUCUCGUCGAUGUGUUGCAUGCUCUUGAUAUUUGCAAACACUUGGUAUCCAAAGCUUUGUUAAGCAAAAAUAGGUUUAGGCUAGUGUUUGAGUCUGAUAAGUUUAUACUUACCAAAAGUGGCAUGUUUGUCGCAAGGGGUACUUAGCCAAUGGGCUAUUCAAAAUGAAUGUAAUGCCUGUACUUCGUGAUUUUGAUAUUAAUAAAAUUAAAUCUUCUGCUUACUUGAUUGAGUUCUCUAACUAUGACAUGAUAGAUUAGGACAUGUUAAUAUCAAAACUUUACGUAAAUUAGUAAGUUUAAAUCUAUUGCCUUCAAUUUCAUUUUAUCAAUAUCAUCCAUGCGAAACUUGUGUAGAGGCUAAAUUAGCUAAAACACCAUUUCAUUCAGUGGAAAGGAACUCAAAUCCUCUAGAACUCAUUCACAGUGAUACCUAUGACUUAAAGUUCAUACAAACUAGUGGAGGAAAAAGGUAUUUUAUUGCUUUUAUAGAUGACUGCACUAGGUACUAUUAUGUAUAUUUGCUACGAAGCAAAGAUGAGGCCUUAGAAGCAUUUAAAUAGUACAAGAAUGAGGUUCAAAAUCAACUUAACAAACGAAUAAAAGUUAUUCGUAGUGACAAAGGUGGAGAAUAUGGGGCACCGUUUGAAGAAUUGUGUUCAGUUUCUGGGAUUAUUCAUCAAACUAAAGCACCGUAUUCACCUCAGUCAAAUGGUAUUAUUGAAUGCAAAAAUCGUACUCUUAAAGAGAUGAUGAACGCUAUGUUAAUCAAUUCUGGUUUACCUGAGAACUUGUUGGGAAAAGCAAUCCUCUUAGCAAACCACAUUCUAAAUAAAUUACCACACAAAGAUAAGAACGAAACUCCUUCUGAGUUAUGGAAAGGUCAUAAACAUUCGUACAAAUACUUAAAAGUGUGGGGGUGUUUGGCUAAGGUAGAAGUACCAAAACCUAAACAACUUAAAAUAGGGCCAAAAACCAUCGAUUGUGUAUUAAGUGGAUAUGCCAAUAAUAGUAGUGCGUAUCGGUUCCUCAUACAUAAGUCCAACAUUCUAGACAUACAUAAAAAUACUAUUAUUGAAGUAAGGAAUGGUGCAUUUUUUGAGGACAUUUUUCGUUGUAAGGAUAAGAAAGAGAUUGGUUCACAAAAACGAACUUAUGAUACUACAAUUAGUAAUCAUCAAAGUGAUGAAGAACCAAGACGUAGUAAAAGGUUCAAAACAGCUACAUUCUUUGGUCAAGAUUUGCUAACUUAUUUGUUAGAAAAUGAACCUAAGACAUUCAAUGAAGCUAUGUCAUGUCCAGAAGCUUCAUUCUAGAAAGAGGCUAUCAAUAGUGAAAUUGAUUCUAUUAUAUAGAAUACAUGGGAACUGGUAGAUCUCCCACUAGGUAACAAACUGUUAGGUUGUAAAUGGGUUUUCAAGAGAAAAUUAAAGACUGAUGGAUCAAUUGAUAAAUAUAAGACCAGAUUGGUAGCUAAAGGAUUCAAACAAAAGAAAGGUCUUGAUUUUUUCGAUACAUACUCUCCGGUAAGAAGAAUAACGUCUAUUAGAGUAUUAAUUGCAAUUGCAGCAUUGCAUAAUAUGGAGAUCGAUCAGAUGGACGUUAAAAUAGCCUUCUUAAAUAGAGAGCUAGACAAAGAAAUUUACAUGGAACAACCUGGGGGGUUCACUUCUCCUGGGCAGGAGAAAAAGGUGAGUAAACUCGUUAAGUCACUAUGCGAACUAAAGCAAGCACCAAAACAGUGGCAUGCAAAAUUUGAUAAAACUGUGCUGUCAAAUGGCUUUAAGAUUAACGAAUGUGAUAAAUUUAUUUAUAUUAAAACCACACCUAGUGCAUAUGUAAUUGUAUGUCUCUAUGUUGAUGGCAUGCUAAUAAUGAGUAGUAAUCAUGAUAUCAUAAUAACUACCAAGAAAAUGUUGACAAAACAUUUUGACAUGAAAGAUAUGGGUAUUGCAGAUGUAAUAUUAGAAAUUAAAAUCCUUAAGACAUUCGAGGGACUUGUUCCAUCUCAAUCUCACUAUAUUGAGACUCUGCUUAAGAGAUUUCAUGUAUAUGAUGAAAGUCCAGUUAAAACUCCAGUAGACUUAAGUCUACAUUUGGCCAAACAUAAAGGCGAGCCCGUAUCUCAGUUGGAAUACUCUCGAAUAAUAGGUAGUCUAAUGUAUAUCACCAACUGCACUCAUCCAGAUAUAGCAUAUACAGUGAACAAACGUAGUAGAUUCACAAGUAAUCCAAAUAAUGACCAUUGGAAGGCAUUGACAAGGGUUCUUAGAUAUUUAUGAUACACCUCAAAUGUUGGAUUACAUUAUACAAGACAUCUAGGUGUAUUAGAAGGAUACAAUGAUGCUAAUUGGAUAUCAUAUACAAAAGACUCAAAAUCCACUAGUGGUUAUAUCUUUACCAUCGGUGGUGCGGUCGUAUCUUGGAAAUCAUCUAAACAAACGUAUAUAGCUCGAUCCAUGAUGGAAUCAGAGUUCAUAGCUUUAGAUAAAGCUGAAGAAGAAGCAGAAUGGCUUCAUAAUUUUUUAGAGGAUAUUCCAUGUUGGCCUAAACAUGUGCAUGUAGUUAGUAUACGUUAUGAUAGUCAGUCGGCUAUCGGUAGAGCACAAAGUAAUAUGUAUAAUGGUAAGUCUCGACAUAUCCGUCAAAGACAUAACACAAUUAAGCAGUUGAUCUCGAAUCGUGUCAUUUCCAUAGAUUAUUUAAAAUCUAGAGAAAAUCUCACGAAUCUGCUCACAAAAGGUUUACUAAGAAAUCAAAUGUACUGCCUAUCAAGGGGAAUGGGCUUAAAGCCUACUAAGUAAGGAUCUUUGUAAUGAUAACCCAACCUUGCUGACUGGAGAUCCCAAGAUCUUGGUUUAAUGGGACAACUAAGUUAUGAAGAUUCAAAAAGCACUUCGGAGUUUACUCCUACCCAUUCCUAUGAUAAGAGAAGUGCUAGGUUCAAUGGGACAACUAAGUUAUGAAGAUUCAAAAAGCACUUCGGAGUUUACUCCUACCCAUUCCUAUGAUAAGAGAAGUGCUAGGUUCAAUGGGACAACUAAGUUAUGAAGAUUCAAAAAACACAAGUGCAAUGAGAGCACACGAAGUAAUAGCAUAGGGUCUAAAACAUGGGAGGAUUCAUAAUGUAACGAUCCGAGCUUGUUCAAGUCGUUAUAUCAUACAUAUUGUCAGCUUUGGAAAAGCAUCUUUACCCCAACGGAUUUAUGUCAUAUCCUCCAGAAUACGAAUCCAAAUCAUCUACUUUGUGAGAGAUUUAAGUUGAAUAUGGGUACCAACUGAGCUCUGUUUUUUGCAACGACCUGAUCUUGUAUCCAAACUGUUAUAUCAUACGUACUGUCCACUUUUAGGAGGACAUCUACCCUUUUACCUCUCACAGAAUUCUGUCACGUCCCCCAAGAUUCCAAACCAAAACAUCUGCUUUAUGAGAGGCUUAAGUAAAAUCCUGGUACCAAUUGAUGGGCACAAGGCUCGAGUCAUUCGUAUUCAAAUCGUUAUAUAAUACGUAUUGUCCGCUCUGUGAGGAAAUCUCUCGUAAGGCAAAGUUUUAGAUUCGAAUUUUUUGGGGGCAUAAAAGAAAGCAAUGAGGGGGUAGUUGGGAUCAAGUAUACUAUAAACGGCUUAAACAAGAGGCUCGAGUUGUUACACAUAAAAACUUAAGUCCCUCUUCAUAAUUUUUACUUGGAAAAUUAAUACAAAAUUCUCUUAUUUUUCUCAUUAAUUUUGAAUUAUUUAAAUAAAAAAAUUUAACAUCUCACUUGAUUCAUUGCACUACUACUGAAACAAAAUCUCCUUGUAAUUAAAUUAACUAUUUUUUAUAAUUCGUAUUAUGGAUUGAUUAGACCUAAUCUCAAACACUAAAUCUUGAUUAGACAGGAGGGAAUUUUAUACCUUCUAGAUGGCUUAGUCAAGAAAAAGCUCCCAUAGCAAUAAUGUUCUGUUUGGACAUCUGGAGUGUGAAACUGAAAGUAACGGGUCUUUCCAUAAGUACAUUGUACAUUUUGUUCAAACAAACAGACUCUAAGUAUUGACUGCAAUGAGUCAAUAGAGAGACGAUACUGAGUUCUUGAAAUAACACCAAUUUCCUUCCUCAGUGAAACAAAGAAGCCAAACCCCAAGAAAAUGGAAAACCUAUUUUCCAUUUCUGUUUUUCCCUAUUUUCUCAUUCUUUCUACAUUAAUGGCAGCAUCAGCCCAGAAACAAAGAUAUGCUAAUAUUUCCCUUGGUUCUUCUUUAAAUAUCGGUACAAAUUCAUCAUGGUUGUCGCCUUCUAGACUUUAUGCUUAUGGAUUUUACAAGAUAACCAAUGGCUAUGUUGUUGGAAUUUUUAUUGCUGGGAUUCCAGAAAAGACUCUAGUGUGGACGGCCAACAAGGAUUAUCCAGUUUUUCCCAGCAACGCCAUUUUGUUAUUAACCGACGAUGAAAGGCUCAUUUUGUAGCAGGAAGAUAGAGAUGACGUAAACAUUGUAAAUCCAGACCAGUCUAUUGCUUCAGCUUCAAUGCUUGGCAGUGGUAAUUUCGUGUUGUACAAUUCGUCUCAGAGUAUCAUGUGGCAGAGUUUUGAUCACCCAACAAACACUCUUUUGCCCGGUCAACGUCUCCUGGCUGGAGAAGAGAUCGUCUCCAGUGCUUCGGAAACGAAUCCUGCGAGAGGGAUUUUCCAUCUCGUGAUGCAAGCUGAUGGGAACCUGGUGCAAUACCCUAUGGAAAUUUUCGGACCCAAUUAUGCUUACUAUGCAUCAGGCACACGGGGAACAGGUAAUAAUGUAUCACUGAAUCGUGAUAAUAAUGGCCAUCUUUACUUGUUCAACGGAAGUGCCAUUAUAAGCAAUCUAACGAGAGGACAACAUCGAAAAAGAAUUAUCAACCUCACAAGAAUUGAUGUUGAUGGUAAUUUUCGACCAUAUUAUUGCUCGUUGGAUCCUCAAGGAAACUGGACUAAAGAAUGGUCAUCCUCGGAAGAUAAAUGCGCCCCUUUGGGUUUAUGUGGGUUGAAUGGUUAUUGUAUUCAUUUGGAUAUAGUUGCGGAGUGUGAAUGUCUUCCUCGAUUCAAUCAUGUUAAUUCAGGCAAUUGGACCACAAGAUGCGAGAGGAACUUUCUCACGGAAGGUUGUAAAGCCAAUAAUCAUAAUGUCAAUUAUGAAAUCGGCUCACUAGAUGACACGGUAUGGGAAGAUGCUAAUUAUGCUAUUUUAGGAGGACUGACAAAAGAAGAUUGUGUAAAAGCCUAUUUAGAGGACUGCAACUGCGAUGUAGCUUGUUUGCAAGAUGGAUACUGUAAAAAGCAAAGGCUUCCAUUGAUAUUUGGAAAAAUAGUGCGGAGUAAUCCAAUUGUUGCUCUUAUCAAGGUGAACACAACAGCACAAACGACUCGAGGAGUUUCGAGUGAUUUGGGCAAAGAAAUCAAGAAAGUGAUUCGUUUAGAUGUCAUAAUUAUAAGCAUUUCACUUUUUGCUUUAGCGGCCUUGAUCCUGGCAAUUUCUGGGAUUUAUGUCAAUAGAAAUCAUGUUGGGAGAUAUAAGAAGAUCUCAGAUGCCGAACUGAUUGAGGGUGUUAAUUUGAGAGCAUUCACCUAUCCAGGGCUUGUGGAAGCAACAAAUGAGUUCAAAGAAGAGCUUGGUAGAGGAGCGUCUGGCAUAGUUUACAAAGGGAUCUUAUCAGACAACAGAAGUAUUGUGGCCGUGAAGAGGCUCGACAAGGAAUUGGAAAAGGGAGAAAAGGAAUUCGAGACUGAGAUGAAGGUGAUUGGAAAAACGUAUCAUCGUAAUCUGGUCAGACUUCUUGGUUACUACCGUGAAGGAGCUAAUUGGCUUCUAGUACAUGAAUACAUGAAAAAUGGAUCACUUGCAGAUAUACUUUUCAAUCAAGAAAAUCGACUGUGUUGGGAAGAAAGAAUUCGUAUUGCUCGUGAAAUUGCAAGAGGCAUCCUCUAUUUGCAUGAGGAGUGCAAGACACAGAUCAUUCAUUGUGAUAUAAAUCCUCAAAACAUACUCAUGGAUGAGCAUAGGUGUGCAAAAUUUUUUGACUUUGGACUGGCAAAGCUCUUAAAGAAAGAUCAGACAAAUACCUAUACAGGGAUUAGAGGAACUCUGGGUGACGUGGCCCCUGAGUGGAACAGGAAAUUGUCUGUGACAAUUAAAGCAGAUGUUUACAGCUUUGGAAUUGUGUUACUAGAGAUCAUAUGUGGUAGAAAAAGUGUCGAUUGGAGCCUCUCCGAGGAUGAAGCUAUUCUUGAAGAAUGGGUUUAAAAUGCUUUCGUGGGUGGGAAGGUAUGUAACUUGGUGGGAGAUGAGGAGGUUGACAAGAGAAAAUUGGACAGAAUGAUUAAAAUAGGUAUUUGGUGCAUUCAAGAUGAACCAUCUCUCCGUCCAUCAAUGAAAAAAGUUCUAUUGAUGUUGGAAGGGACUGUAGAAAUCCCAGUACCUUCGAGUCCUAGUUCCUUCCUUAGUACAAUAUAGUUUUACUUUUUCACCUUUUGUGUUUUAUUGCAUAAAUGCGGUUGCCUUUGUGAAUAUAGUUUGAGUUGGAGAAUAAAUUAAGCAGUCAUGUUCCUGCUUGAUUGAAAGCAGAUGUUUAAAUCAAUCAGAAGAUCACAAGAUAAAGUGGCUGAUUCUUGACUUUUCACUAUUGUUUUCUAUGAUGUUAAAUAAGACAGUAAAUUAACUUAUGCUUUGUCUGGUUUUAGAAUUUUCUUUCUGGUUUUCUAAAGUUCUGUUUUGUGGCUCUUCGAAAAUUGUGGAGAGCCACUUUCUCCCUUAUUAAAAAUUUCAGACGUACGUCUCUCUUAUGUUAUGUAUGUACGUUUAUAUUAUUUUUAUUUAGACAGAAAAGGUUGUUUUAAUUCAAAAAAAAAAAUCUUUUUGUAUUUAGUUAUUAAAUCUUACCCAUAUUUGAAUUCUUAUUAAAUGGACAAACUAAAAUUGAUCUAUAUUUAAUAAAAAGUUGGACUAAUUAAAAGAAUUUAAGAAUUAAACAUUUGAUGCCAACUUUUUUGAAUUUUUAAUAGUAUGAGAAUCUUAUUUUAAAGAACAUAAAAAAUAAAAAAUUAGAGAAAACGUUUCUAAACCAAGCAAGGUAAAGCAUUUAGUUUUUAUUUGGUGGGGAUUAAAUUCAAAUAUUUAGUAGAUUUUUAUAGAAGGUGAUGAAAUGUAUGGUUGAAAAGUUGUAGGUCCUAUAAAAUGUACGAUUAAAAUUAAUUGUUGACUUUGACUUGGAUUAAAAUCUUAAUUUUUAGUAGCACCAAACAAGGACUUAGUAAUUUUUAACUAGCUAUACUAAAUUAUUAUUAUUUUAAAGCAUUUAUUUAUGUUGAUUUGUUAAUUCUUUAGCAAUUGUAUUUUUUUUUAAAUCAUAUUCAAAAAUUUAAUAAAUUGCCUAUAACAGUUAAAGCAGAUGUUUACAUCUUUGGAAUAGUGAUACUAGAGAUCAUAUGUGGUAGAAAAAGUGUCGAUUGGAGUCUCUCUGAGGAUGAAGCUAUUCUUGAAGAACGGGUUUACGAUGCUCUCGAGAGAUGGGAGGUAUGUAAACUGGUGGGAGAUGGGGAGGUUGAUGAGAGAAAGUUGGACACAAUGAUUAAAAUAGGUAUUUGGUGCAUCGAAGAUGAACCAUCUCUCCGUCCAUCGAUGAAGAAGGUUCUAUUGAUGUUGGAAGAGACUGUAGAUAUCCUUCUUUCCUAAGUACAAUGUAAUUUUACUUUUUUGAAUGAUACAAGAUUCUCAAGCAUAUUUUAGUCGAUCGUAAAUUAANNNNNNNNNNNNNNNNNNNNNNNNNNNNNNNNNNNNNNNNNNNNNNNNNNNNNNNNNNNNNNNNNNNNNNNNNNNNNNNNNNNNNNNNNNNNNNNNNNNNNNNNNNNNNNNNNNNNNNNNNNNNNNNNNNNNNNNNNNNNNNNNNNNNNNNNNNNNNNNNNNNNNNNNNNNNNNNNNNNNNNNNNNNNNNNNNNNNNNNNNNNNNNNNNNNNNNNNNNNNNNNNNNNNNNNNNNNNNNNNNNNNNNNNNNNNNNNNNNNNNNNNNNNNNNNNNNNNNNNNNNNNNNNNNNNNNNNNNNNNNNNNNNNNNNNNNNNNNNNNNNNNNNNNNNNNNNNNNNNNNNNNNNNNNNNNNNNNNNNNNNNNNNNNNNNNNNNNNNNNNNNNNNNNNNNNNNNNNNNNNNNNNNNNNNNNNNNNNNNNNNNNNNNNNNNNNNNNNNNNNNNNNNNNNNNNNNNNNNNNNNNNNNNNNNNNNNNNNNNNNNNNNNNNNNNNNNNNNNNNNNNNNNNNNNNNNNNNNNNNNNNNNNNNNNNNNNNNNNNNNNNNNNNNNNNNNNNNNNNNNNNNNNNNNNNNNNNNNNNNNNNNNNNNNNNNNNNNNNNNNNNNNNNNNNNNNNNNNNNNNNNNNNNNNNNNNNNNNNNNNNNNNNNNNNNNNNNNNNNNNNNNNNNNNNNNNNNNNNNNNNNNNNNNNNNNNNNNNNNNNNNNNNNNNNNNNNNNNNNNNNNNNNNNNNNNNNNNNNNNNNNNNNNNNNNNNNNNNNNNNNNNNNNNNNNNNNNNNNNNNNNNNNNNNNNNNNNNNNNNNNNNNNNNNNNNNNNNNNNNNNNNNNNNNNNNNNNNNNNNNNNNNNNNNNNNNNNNNNNNNNNNNNNNNNNNNNNNNNNNNNNNNNNNNNNNNNNNNNNNNNNNNNNNNNNNNNNNNNNNNNNNNNNNNNNNNNNNNNNNNNNNNNNNNNNNNNNNNNNNNNNNNNNNNNNNNNNNNNNNNNNNNNNNNNNNNNNNNNNNNNNNNNNNNNNNNNNNNNNNNNNNNNNNNNNNNNNNNNNNNNNNNNNNNNNNNNNNNNNNNNNNNNNNNNNNNNNNNNNNNNNNNNNNNNNNNNNNNNNNNNNNNNNNNNNNNNNNNNNNNNNNNNNNNNNNNNNNNNNNNNNNNNNNNNNNNNNNNNNNNNNNNNNNNNNNNNNNNNNNNNNNNNNNNNNNNNNNNNNNNNNNNNNNNNNNNNNNNNNNNNNNNNNNNNNNNNNNNNNNNNNNNNNNNNNNNNNNNNNNNNNNNNNNNNNNNNNNNNNNNNNNNNNNNNNNNNNNNNNNNNNNNNNNNNNNNNNNNNNNNNNNNNNNNNNNNNNNNNNNNNNNNNNNNNNNNNNNNNNNNNNNNNNNNNNNNNNNNNNNNNNNNNNNNNNNNNNNNNNNNNNNNNNNNNNNNNNNNNNNNNNNNNNNNNNNNNNNNNNNNNNNNNNNNNNNNNNNNNNNNNNNNNNNNNNNNNNNNNNNNNNNNNNNNNNNNNNNNNNNNNNNNNNNNNNNNNNNNNNNNNNNNNNNNNNNNNNNNNNNNNNNNNNNNNNNNNNNNNNNNNNNNNNNNNNNNNNNNNNNNNNNNNNNNNNNNNNNNNNNNNNNNNNNNNNNNNNNNNNNNNNNNNNNNNNNNNNNNNNNNNNNNNNNNNNNNNNNNNNNNNNNNNNNNNNNNNNNNNNNNNNNNNNNNNNNNNNNNNNNNNNNNNNNNNNNNNNNNNNNNNNNNNNNNNNNNNNNNNNNNNNNNNNAAUCAAUUUAAGUGAAAAACUCAUUUUCGGUUUAUGAGUACACAAUGGCCAAGAAUUUCAUUAUCAACUUAAUUAGAUGAAAUAUAGAUCAUAAUCUCUUACUAUCUAAAAGCAACAAAUCAUCUAUUGAUCAUUCAUAACCUUUAUAUGAUUCUCAAUAUAUCCGAUCGAUGUCAUAUUAGCGUUCCUUGGCAGAACAAUAUUCAACAUCACCAAAGUAUGACUAUCAUAAUAUAAGGCACUAUAAUGAUUUUUCCAUAUCAGAAUAUGCAUUGGUCUUUUGAAAGUUUUUUGAAUUAACUUUGGGGAAAAUUGAGUUCUAGAUAUAUUAGCCCAUAUGAGAUUAUUGAAAGCAUUUGUUUAGUUGGUUAUCGAUUGGCCUUACCAACGGAAUUGUUCAGACUUCACGAUGUGUUUCAUGUUCCCAUGCUUCGUAAAUAUAUUCAGAUCUGUCUCAUGUUUUGGGAUUAAAACCAGUGGAGUUAAAGGAAAAUCUUACCUAUGAAAAAAAAUCAGUUCAAAUAUUGGACAAAAAGGAACAGGUCUUGUGUAGUAAGACCAUUCCUUUAGUUAAAGUCUUACAAAUGAAUCAUGCUAUAGAAGAAGCAACGUGGAAAAGUGAAGAGCAGAUACGUUCUCAGUAUUCACGACUUUUUCAUAAUUGAUCAAUUGAGUUUUGAGGAUGAAAUUAUUUUAAGUGGGUAAGUUUUGUUAUACCUUAAUUCAAAGGGAAAAAAGUUAGUCAAACAUAUAUUAAAAAAAAAAAAGAAACCAAACAAAAAAUAAAAUAAAAUAAUCAUAAAUGCGUUGGAUUGAUUUGGUUUAUAUCAAUACAAUUAUAUCCAAAUCCAUUCAUACACAAAGCACACACAACACACUGAGAAAGAAAACGAGGCAGGAAAGAAAGAAGAAGAAGAAGAAGAAAAGGAAAAAAUAUAAAAGUUCCCAACGUGAAUAGAAAAUAAGUGCUUUCUACUAUUAAGUUUGAAUUCUUGAAUUUCAAAGGUAAGUAAAAAGAUACUUAUUGAACAAUUAUGUUUAAUUUUAGAGUUGUUAGAUUAUUAGUUUCAAUUCGAUUUUAUUGAAAGGGAACUACUAAAUUAAGUAUAUUGAGCUAGGAAAUUAAGUUAAAGAGAAGAAAAAAUAGCUUAAGUGAUUAAAGGUAUUGAGAAAAUUGCUUAAGUAUAAAAAGAUUAGGAUUUAGUAUCGCCUAUUUAAUUAUUGACAUUACUUAAAAUAAUUAAUUGUUAACCUAAAAAUUGUAUCAUAUUUCAAGCGACAAUAUGGAGAUCGGGACAACCUAUCAAUCGAAUUGAUUUUGACGACAUUUUCUGUGAGUCGAAAAACUUAUAUAUUUUCAAAUAUUGAUAAAUUAAUUAUACUAUUACAUUAUGUGCAAUUAUGUGAAUUUCUUGUGCAAUUACAUGAUUAUUAUGAAAAGUUCUUUCACUAUGAUAUCUGUGAAAUCAUAAAAGUUGUACAUGGAUUACGUAUGAAUUGGAAUGUAACAUGUGAUAUUGAGAUCAACCAAAAAGUACCCAUGCAUGAUUAUAUAUUUUUUCUAGUUCACAGAGGAGCUUUGGCCCCUUUCUUUUUAAUCCUACAUGGAGGGUCUUGACUGUGUAGAUAUGGUUCACAGAGUGGGUUUUGACCGUGUCCUAGAAUUGAUUAUUAGAUGUUUUGAGACUCGCUUUCAUCAAUGAAGGGGACCUAAGACAAUGGCGAAAGUUUUUAGCCAGAGGGGCAGAUUACAAAUUUCAGUCAAAUGGUACAUUUUUGUUGGAUUACAUGUGGCAUGAUGAGAUAGUAUUAUAAAUUUGAGUUGAUGAUUAUAUUAUGACAAUGAGAUUAUAUAUUUCAGAAUUAUGAGGAUGUCUCACAUGUGGAUUGUUAUUAUUAUAUACUGUUAUAUUGUAAACUGUUAAAUGAUGUAAACUUGAUUUUCGAUAAAAAACGUAUAAAUGAAAAGAUAUAUUUAUUUUCGAACUUCUCCACUCACUGAGUUAUCAACUCAUAUAUUUUUCACGAUUUUUCUUAUCAGGUAGCAGUUGAGUUUCUAGUCAUCUUUUGGAGUUGAGCCUUUAAUUUUGGAGUUAGAACCAUACGACAGAGUUUGCUAGUAUGAUUCACUUCAUGUAGCAUGUAAUCAAUAUGUUGGGGCAAGUAGAUAACUAUGGGGGUCACUAUGAUGUUUGCGUCCAUAGGUACAUUUCAUGUUAUUUUCGUAGUAAAAGUUGUGAAUUCGGCUUAUCUCUAAUUGUGUUGUGUUAUUGUUGGAAUUUGCACAUAGUGAAUUACAGGUCGUUGAUCCUAUUUACCGAGGAGAUAAUGUUGAAAUGCUGUUAAAAAUAAUUUUGAAAAAUAUGCAUAUUGUAGUAGCCUUGAUGGUGUAUCUGACUUUGGGUUGGUAUCUAUCAUCGGCGCUCGUCACGUUUUGAGUCCACUAGCGUUACUUGAAGCGAGGCGUCUCGUAGACUUAUCCUAAACAAUGUUUGGCAUACAAAUAUUAGUAAAACAUAAAGACUUGAAAACGAAAAUUCAAAUUUCUACAUCGACUUUUGUGGAAUUGAAAUAUGAUCCAUGACUUGAAGUUACAUGGAAGAUACCUUGCACCAAGAUUGAAAGAUCAAACACGAAGACUCUUGAAAAAGACAAUUCUUGCUCACUGUAUACAAAGACUUGUAUUUGACAGUAAUUAUUUUAAAUUUGUUUCUUCUCCAAUCUUGAAGGGAACCAGAGUAUAUUUCUAUGUGUUUUAGAUAGUACUCGACGGUCCAAAGAGAAUUAUUAGUUCAAAAAGUUUGAGAAAUGAACACAAAUGGUCAUCAAUAAGUGAUCAUUUUAACAAUAAAUGUAUCUGAAAAAUAUUUGGUCGAAUGUGGUGAGUUUAAUCACAUAUUUAGUUAGUAAAUUUUAACUGUUUGGACAUAUUGAAAUCAAACUUUAGUCUAUUUUUUUGGUACGAGAACUUUAAACAUAAGACCGCAUAUCGUUCCAUACACAAUAUGUAGAUACUUUUGGCACAAGGUGGACUUGUUUAGUAUUUUUUUGUCUAAAAUGAAAACGACAAUAAAUUAAAAGCUUUAAUUUUUAAUAAAUUUCUGAUUGGUUAUAUGAAAUGCUUAUUAUCAUUCCUUUGGUAUCUUCGGCUUUGUUUGUCUACCUUUUUUCCACAUUCUACCACCUUAUUUUUUAUAUAGUACUUAUGUUUAAUCACAUUCUUCAUUAAAAUAAUAUUACACAUAAAUUAGAAACUUUUCCUUUUUUCUUUAAAUCACACAUUUCAACAUCAAUCACUAUUCCAUAAUACAUUUCUCACAAAUCUCCGAAUCUAUUGUUUUGAGUGCUAUUUAUUUUCCAUCGGUAUCUACGGGAUGAUCACAAGUAGAAAUAUGGUUAGAGCCCUUAUGUAUCUUGAACUUGUAUUAAAUUCAUUUUCUGAAUUUUACCUUUUAAUGCCAAAAAUCCUAAUUACUUUUGUAAUGACAAAUGGAAUGAUAUUAACUCAUUUUUAUUCUUUAUCUAUGUCACGCAGGUCCGAAUUCUAUUGUAACACAAGAUUCCUUUUUUUUGUGAAAUUGAAAGUUGUAAGCUGUGUUUGUGGGAGGAUUGUUGUCUAUCAUCGACCUCUAUGGUAGAAUUAGUCGGGGGCCUGAGAGGCGAUGAUUUACCUUGUGGCGGAUGUUAGCGGUUCGCGUCCGCUUAUCUUCAACUCAUGAACUUAGCCGAUACAAAACUAUAUGAUAGCAUACAAUUUUUUCGAUUCAAUGGUUCAAUAUAUGAUUUCAAGGACGUUGACAUGAUCUACUCCAUUUAGCAGCACCUUAGGAUGUCAUAGCCUCAGAAACCGCUAAUGAAAAAGAGAUGGGAUAAUAUUUGGGAAGUCAAAUAGGCCUUUUGGGGAUAGAUGGAGAGCUAAAUUAAUUGAGCCGCCUCUGACAAGCAAACAAGAGAAUUCAACUUUACAGGUGGAAAAAAUCCUACCCAACAAUAGAAAAGUUGAUAUGCCUUCUUUCUACUUAAAUCAUUCACAAUCAAGACAAACAGUGACCUUGGAAUUAUUUUUCCUAGAUUCAUGUAUGUACACUUUGUUCAAACAAACAAAGCUUAAGCAUUGACUGCAAUGAGUCAUAGCGACUUAGCGAGUACGCUGAUCACUUCAAAUAGCACAUAUUUCCUUCCCCAAUGAAACAAAGAAGCCAUAUCCCAAUAAAAGUGGAGAAUCUAUUUUCCAUGGCUGUUUUUCCAUGUUUUCUCAUUAUUUCCGCAUUAAUGGCAGCAUCAGCCCAGCAACAAAGAUAUUCCAAUAUUUCCCUUGGAUCUUCUUUAACCCCCAGUACAAAUUCAUCAUGGCUGUCACCUUCUGGACUCUAUGCUUUUGGAUUCUACAACGUAACAAAUGGCUAUGCUGUUGGAAUUUUUCUUGCUGGGAUUCCAGAAAAAACUGUAGUGUGGACAGCCAACAGGGAUGAUCCCGUCUCUCCCAGCGACGUGGUUUUAGUAUUAACCAAUGAUGGAAGGCUCAUUUUGCGGCAGGAAGGUAGAGAUGACAAAAAUAUUGUGAAUCCUCUGCCUGUUGCUUCAGCUUCAAUGCUAGGCAAUGGAAAUUUUGUGCUGUACGAUUCGGCUCAGAAUAUCACAUGGCAGAGUUUUGAUAACCCGACGGACACUCUUUUGCCCGGGCAACGUCUAUCGGCUGGAGAAGAGAUCGUCUCCAGUGCUUCGAAAUCGAACCCUGCCAAAGGGAUUUUCAGUCUCAGGAUGCAAGCUGAUGGGAACCUGGUGCAAUACCCUGCGGAACCUAACGUCACGUCGUCUGAUGCUUACUAUUCAACACAAACCUUUGGACAGGGAAGUAAUGUAUCAUUGAAUCUUGAUAAUAAUGGCCAUCUUUAUUUGUUCGAUGGAAUCUCCAUUAUAUUCAAUUUAUCAACGCGACAAUAUCGAACAAGAACUAUCUACCUCAUCCUCAUGAGAAUUGAUGUGGAUGGUAUUUUUCGUGUAUAUAAUCACUCGUUGGAUCGUCAAGGCAACUGGGCUAUAGAAUGGUUCUCCAAUGAAGAUAAAUGUGUCCCAAAGGGUGCAUGCCCGGUAAAUAGUCUCUGUAGUAUGGCGGAUGGGCAUACAGGGUGUGAAUGUCUUCCAGGAUUUUUACCUGUUAUUCCAGGCAAUCUGAGCUUAGGAUGUGAAAGGAAUUUUUCCAUGGAAAGUUGUAAAGACAAGGAUCAAAAUGUCAGUUAUAGAAUGAGAUCCCUGGAUAACACAGUGUGGGAAGACACUGAUUAUGAUAUUAUAGAAGAUAUGAUGACUAAAGAAGAUUGUGAAAAUGCUUGUUUGGGCGACUGCAAUUGUGAUGCCGCUUUCUUUAAAGAUGGAAUCUGCAGAAAGCAAAAGCUUCCAUUGAGAUACGGAAGAAGAUUGCAGGGUGAUUCAAACGUUGCUCUUAUCAAGGUGGGCACACGUUCAUUUUUCACACAGGGAGUUCCAAAUAAUUCAGUUAAUGAAGUCGUGAAAAAACGUCGUCUAGACAACUUCUUAAUCAUCAGAAUUUCGCUUGUUGCUUUGGCUGCAUUGAUCUUGGCAAUUUCUUGGUUUAUGUCCACCGAAAUCAUGUUGGGACCAAUAUGAUUUCCAACAACAGAAAUGUUGAAAUGAUUGAUGACGUUGGUUUGCGAGCAUUUACUUAUGCAGAACUUGUGCAAGCCACAAAUGAAUUCAAAGAAGAGCUCGGUAGAGGAGCAUCUGGCACAGUUUACAAAGGGAUUCUAUCAAACAACGAAAUUAUUGCGGCCGUGAAGAGGCUCGAGAAAGAAUUGGCAAGAAUGAGAGAGUUUCAAACUGAGAUGAAGGUGAUAGGGAAAACAUAUCAUCGUAUUCUUGUCCGUCUUCUUGGUUACUGCUUCGAAGGAUCCGAGUGGCUUCUGGUAUAUGAAUACAUGAGCAAUGGAUCACUUGCAGAUAUACUUUUCAAUCCCGAAAGUCGGCCAUGCUGGGAAGAAAGAAUUAGAAUCUCUCUUGAUAUUGCCAGAGGCAUCCUCUACUUGCACGAGGAGUGUGAGACACGGAUCAUUCAUUGUGAUAUUAAACCUCAAAACAUUCUCAUGGAUGAGCACAGAUGUGCAAAGAUUUCCGACUUUGGAUUGGCAAAACUCUUAAUGCUAGAUCAAACAUACACCAAUACAGGGAUCAGAGGAACAAGGGGUUAUGUUGCCCCAGAGUGGCACAUGAAUUUACCUGUAACAGUCAAAGCAGAUGUUUAUAGCUUUGGAAUUGUGCUGCUAGAAAUCAUAUGUUGUCGAAGAAGUGUUGAUCGAAGACUCUCUGAGAAUGAAGCUAUUCUUCAAGAAUGGGUUUACAACUGUUAUGCUGCCGGAGAGCUGAAUAAACUGGUGGGAUAUGAGGACGUUGACACAAGAACAUUGGACAGGAUGAUUAAAAUUGGUAUCUGGUGCGUCCAAGACGAGCCAUCUAUGCGUCCGUCGAUGAAGAAUGUUCUAUUGAUGCUGGAUGGGACUUUAGACAUUCCAGUACCUCCAUGUCCUAAUUCUUUCUGAAGUUCCAUUUAGAAUUAUUUUUUCCCACAUUCUGCAUUCUGUUUUAUCUUUUUUGUUGGUUUUGUGAAUGUAAUUUUAGUGUGAGAACAAUUAAUCAGUCAGGUUACAGAUUGAUUCGUCAUCAUUACUUGAAUUUUCUUGGAUGUUAAAGUUAAGUUGAAGAUUUUAUUUCGGGUAUUCUGUUGAUUUUAAAAGCAACAUAAAAAUUCCUGAUUUUACUUGUUCUUUAAAACUGAAAUUUUAGGCCUUCAUCAGUGCAACCUUAUUGAACCUAUGGAAACUUCCCUUCUUUUUACUCCCAUAUCUUGUUUACGUUGAUGAUUGACCAACCAAGUUUUGAUAUUUACCUCCAGGAAUCAGCCUGCCUUUCAAUGGUUUAUUUUCAUUUAAAUUCAACUAAACAUUGAAGUCUUGAAAUGAAAUUUGAAAAAGGUUAUUUGUACACGACUUUUUUACCACCUGUUGACAAAACAGUUUUUUCUAAAAAAAAACAAAAAAACAAAAAAACAAAAAAACUGUCCAAUGUGUGGUAUUCUAUCAAAAAAGCUGUCAAAUACAGUGUACAUUAAGCAUGAUUGUUUGAAAAAUACUUCAUGACGGAAAAAUGAAAGUUACAAAAUUUUGAAACUUGUCAAAAUGUCUCCACAUUUAGCCCCUAUUCGGUAGAAAUUAAAAUUUAGAUUUUAAUUUAAAUUAAAGUUAAUAAUUAAUUUUAAUCACGUAUUUAAUUGGUCCAUAACUUUUCAACUACUAGUUUCAUCAACUUUUAUCAAAAUUUAUUAAAAAUCUAAUUUUAAUUUCCAUCAAACAAGAGCUUAAUUGAAGGUAUGACAUUUGGGAUAUUUAUGGAAAUAUCUUUUUAUAUUAUUUCCUUGAUCAUUUGCACCAAAUUAUUUGUUUUAUUGCACUCGUCGUGAUCUUGACCUGGUCAGCUAGGAUCAUUCUCUUUCUUUUUAACCUGGUCAAGAUUUACCCUCUCUCAAUAAGCGUCCGUCACUAAUUUUAAUGUAACAAAAAAUUAUUCAAAUAAGAUAUGAAAAUGAAAAGCGAACACUUGAACAUCAUCUUCUCCACUUAACAUCCAUUGAGGAAAUAUAUUAUAAGGGAAUGAAAGAGGCCGGUCGAUUAAGUAAAAGUCUUUGUUUAACUAACUAUUAAUACCCACACAAAAGUUGUUGUAAUUAAACGCCGGUCCUCUAAUGCUCAUAAGAAUUGACUUAAUGAUAGUAAUGGCUUCUCCAUGCAUGUCAAUGUUUAUAAAAUAAAUAUACAAUGAAAAAUAUCUUUAGGAUUGAUGGCCCACAUUUUGUUUGAUUAAUCGUACAAAAAACUGAUGAUAGGAAAGAUCAAUAUUUUACUUGUAAUUAAGUCUCUAUUUGGUGUAGUUUAAAAACUAAAUAUUUAAGUUAAAGUCAAAUAUUAAUUUUAAUUACACGUUUCAUGUCAUCAACUUUUUUCAAUUUUUUAAUCUUGCAUUUCGUUACUUAAAUAUCUACUAAAAUCUAAUUACUAUGUGAAAUACAGGCAAAAUUAAUAUAAAAUCUAAAUCAAUUUUUUCUCUUGGGGUGCUUUCUCUUUUUCUUAUAAUGAAACUAAUUGAGUUUUUGCUACCAUAUGAUCUCUGUCAAGUUGAUCCAACUUCAGUCAGUACUAGGUCCGUUUGAUUGUGAAGAUGAAAAGAAAAUGAAAUCCAGGAAAUUGAAUUGCCUAGAAAUUAUUUUAUUGGGAAUUGUAAAUUAUUAUGUUUGAUUGGUAUAAUUUUUUACUUGAAAAAUGUUGAAAUAAUAGUAAUUUUUGGUGUUUGUUUAGCUUUGUUUUACAUGAAAAUUGUCAAUUAAAGUGAUAUAAUUUUCUGGUAUUGGAGAUGAAAUUUGCUUCCAUUGCCAAAACAAAAAAUCCCAAGAAAAUCAACUAUCUUUUGGUAUUUGUUUGACUUUGUUUUACAUGAAAAUUGUCAAUUAAAGGGAAAUAUUUUUUUACAAUAAUUCUUAGAAUUUGUUUCCAUUGCCAACAAAAAAAUAAAAAUAAAACGUUAAAGUGACUGGGAUUGGAAUAUUGGUGAGAAUUCCAAUUUAAGGAAAAUAUAGAAAAUGGCUUAUGUGGCAAGAAACUUGGAAAUGAAAUUCUAGGGAAAAAAAAUGCUAUCAAAUAAUGCAAAAGUGGAAGUUGAAAUUGAUUUUCCAUUUUCUAGGGAAAAUUUUCACCUAUCAAACAUAUCCGGCCCGUUUGAUUGCAAAGAUGAAAUUUGGGUGGAAAGAAAAAAAUUUUAGGGAAUUAAAUUGUCUAGAAAUUAUUUUCCUGAAAAUUGUAAAUUAUUGUGUUUGAUUGGUAUAAUUUUCCAUGUGGAAAAUGUUGAAUUAAAAGUAUUUUUUGAUGUUUGUUUGGCUUUGUUUUACACAAAAAUUGUCAAUGAAAGGGAUAAAAUCUACUAAUAUUGGGGAUAGAAUUUGUUUCCAUUGCCAAAAAAAAAAAUCAAGAAAAUCAUCUAUUUUUUGGUGUUCGUUUAGCUUUGUUUUACAUGAAAAUUGUCAAUUAAAGGAAAUUAUUUUUUUUACAAUAAUUCUUAAAAUUUGUUUCCAUUAUCACCAAAAAAAAAAAACACCUAGAAUUCACUUUCCAUGGAAAUUCUUUGCAAUCAAACACUCACAAUUGGCCAAGACGCAAAUUAAUUUCCAUUUUCCAUGGAAAGUGAUGCCUAUCAAACAGAUCAGUUACUUUCGAAUUGGUAAAAUAACAAUGACUCACCAAAUUUUGACUAUUUAUCAGUCGUCUUAUAAUUGAUAGAAAUCAUUAACUAGACCUAAACUAAUUUUAAACGACAUUAAACAUUUUAAAAAAAAUAGGUAUACACACCGACUUCUGAAGGAAAAAAAGAGAUAAAAAAAGAAAAAAAGAAAAAGAGUCAAGUUUUUCAUGAUACACCACCUUUUGUGGAAUUGAAUUGUCCAUUCUACAUGACACGAUCCAUGACUGGAAGUUAUAUGGAAGAUACCUUACAACAUGACUGAAACUCAAUCCAAAUUUAAAAAUAAAUUAAAAAGAAAAAGAACCGAGAUGGAAAUAUGUGCCCAAGUUUAGAAAUUCUAAACUUAUAAAUACUAACAUUAAUUUUCAUUUAAAAAAUAAAUGGAGCAAAAUAAAAUUGAAUAAUGACGAGUGUGUUUUACUCACAUUUAUUCCAUUGUAAACUUGAUCGUGAGCUAGAUUUUACGAGUAUUGAAUGUUUAUAAUAUGUUUAUUAGUUUUGUUUUGUAGAAAUGUUGAGAUGGUGAAAGACACGAAACAAUUCAUUAAAUAAAGCUAUUGGAGUGGACUGAGAAGAAAUAAUGGAAGAAAAAGAGUUAAAGCAUAAGGAGAACGGACGAGGGCUGCCACAACGCCACCAUGUGGACAAAGUUGUGGCGCCGUGACGCCACACAAUGGCACCGAGGCCUCAAAGAAAGCCAAGAGGGAAAUAGAGAGGUGGCGUAUCCCAAGUGCCACGGUGCCGUCGAUGAUUGCAUCUAGAGCGUGUUUUUGGUCCAUUUGAAAGUCCAAAACGCUACUUGCGACACAAACAAGGAGGCAACUAUAAAUACAAGUUACCACAUUUUUUAAGGAAUUUCACACUUUGAGAAGAGGAGAAUACAACUAGAGAAUCAAAGAAGCAAUUCAAUGCAGGAAAACAUCAAGAAAUUCAUUGUUUGAAGCAUUGAUUGGAAGAGGAAAAAGAUUCGGUUCAAAAUGGACUUCUUUUUCUACAUCUUCACUAAAAAUCUGGUGAUGUAUUCAUUAAUGAUCUAUUAUUUUUCCUCUUUCAUUAUGAGCUGUUAAAAUUCUUGUUAGGGUGAACAAUGUAACCUAUUUGGGACCAUUUAUUUCUUUUAUUCAAAAUUCUUGUUCUUUUAUCUGUAUGUGUUGAUUUCUCUAUGAAUUUAAUGUAUUGAAUUAUUUGAUCAUUAAUUUGAUGAUUUUGUGAAUCUUUUACGAAUCAGUAAAUUGGUAUAAUGUGUAGAGAUACGUAUACUGAUUAUUGUGAUCAUAAAUGAAUUCUUAGAACCAAGAUUUCGUUUAACUAAGGUUAAUUUGUAUAGGAAUAUGAAAUUGAAUUAGCUAAAUAGACUCAAUGGGAACUCAAGAGAAAUAAAUUGAAUAUAAUAGGAUAAUUCAAUUGAACACUACAUUAAAUUGUGAAUCUUGAUUUAAGACUUAAAUGUGAUUAAUAGGUGAAAUUGUUUUGUCCUAAUAUUUGUUCAUUAUUUAAUUUUAAAAAUCAAUCAUUGUAUGCAUCUACAUAGUCUUCCUAUUUAGAUUAAAAAUCAAAACAUACAAAUCUUUGUUUGCUUUGUCGAAUUGUAGUUAGAAAUAAAAUAGAUUAAGUGCUAAAGUAUAGCUCUCGUGGAAAAAAUAAUCCGGAUUCAAAGAUCCAUUGUGCUACUUGUUACGACCCGUAUACUUGCGGAUAUAAAAUCGCAACGAAUAACAUAAAUUAAACUUAGCUAACAUCAUCAUUUGCGAAAUUUAUAAAAUCAUAGACAAUUGAGAAAAGAAAAUUACAUAGUCCGCAAUGAUUUAUUUAUAAUAAUUCAAUAAAUUUUCAAAAGGUCUCAAAUUAUCUUAUUAGAGUAUAAAAUUUAACAUUUAACUCGAACAGUACAUAAUCCAUCUCGCCUUGUGUCAUUUAGGUCUCAUCAUUUAAAAAUAUAGUGAUGACGUGGAAUGAGCUGACGCUCAAUAAGAAAACCCUAUGCAUAUGAUAUGCAUAUACAUUACUUAAAAUAAAUAGUUUUUCUGUUAUGUAUCCCCUUUCCUUCCAUUUGUUUAAAAAGACAUUAGGAGCUCACUUGGUGUAUCACCUAACCAAUCAAAAUGUAGUGGGCAAAUAUUAGUUGAAAUUCAAUUCGUCCUAUUGGUGUAUAGCAAAGCGGUUAACAUUAACAUCAUCAUUGAGCAUUUAACAUUGGUUGGAUGCUCCGAUCCCUCACACCCCAUUUCUCACUCACCUUUCAUGGCAUAGAUAUACACCUUGUAAUGAAAAUAUCUGGGAUAAAUAUCUUUAAAAACAUUAUUUGACUCGUGACAUUUGGAAACAAUUAUACAUACGGACAUGUAAAUUAUUAAAUACAUACAAUGUCAUUUAUUUAAACAUAUACACAAAAAUUAUGUGUACAUAAAAUUUUACAUAUGGGCCUCCAUCCAAUUAAAGAUAUAUAUUGCAAAAUUAUUAAUUUGCCAUGUGGGCCAACAUAUGUAAUUAAUUGUGUAUAAAGGUUAUUUUAAAGUUAAGCCCAGAAUUAAAGUGAUCUAAUAUAGAAUUAAGUAAUUGGGCAUAGGACAUUUAAAUAAAGUGUGAGCCGGAUUAUAUAUGUAGAGAUCGGAUUCCUUUAGAAUUAUAUUUCAUGAUAGGUGAAAUAUAUAUAAAAACUAGAUAUAGAGUUAUGAUCCCCAAUUCAUAUCCAACUUCUCAUUCUUUGUGUUAUCCCAUCAACACAAAAAUAUAAGAGAAAGAAUAUUGACGAGGAAAAUACAAAAUCCAAAAUCAAGAAUUAAGAAGAAUAAAUUCAAGAAUCAAGAUUGUGGAUCAAGAAUCAAACUCAAAGGCAAGAAUUUAGAAUCUAAGAAUGCAAAACUCAAAAUUAAAAGUGAAGAAGCCAAAUAUGAAGAGAUUGCAGUAGAUCUUCAAGAUUCAAGAUCCAGAAUCAAGAUCCAGAUAUUAUUCUCAAUGAAUUAAGGUGUGUGGACACUUUAUAAUUUGACAUUGAGGAUCUUGGCAAUAAAAUAAUUAGAUUUUCACGUUAUUCAAAUUUAACGUUUCAUAAAAUUUCAACAAAUGAUAUCAGAGCCUAGUCCAUGUUAAACCAUUGGAAUGGUUAAAAUUCAUAUAUUGAGUUCUGAAAUAUUUUAAUUUAGAAUAUAAAUUUUUAACCAUAAAUUUCAAAAUUCAGAAUUAUUCAAGAAGAAAAUUUUAGGGUUGAAAUUCAUAAUUAAGGUUUUACAUAAAAAUAAAUAAAAAAAUUUUGGAAGUGAAUUUCAAACCCUAUACAUCUAAAUUCUAGGUUCAAGUUAAUUUUUCCAACAUUAAAGAAACAUCGCAAUGCUGUGGCGCCAAAUGCGAUGCUACAACGUCACAAUUCGAAAAAAAGACAGUCCCUAGGCAUGCUGUGAACAUAGCGCUUAUGGCCUAGGCGGUGCCCAAUAUUGGGCACUGUAGCACUCGUUUGCUGCAUAUAAAUUUUUUUUUUUGUUCAAAACAAAUAAUAAUAAUAAUAAUAAUAAUAAUAAUAAUAAUAAUAAGCAAUCAAUUUCAAAUUUUGGUAUUUGAAGUUUUUCCACGUUACUAAUUUUCUAAAAUCGAUUGGUUGAAACAACAUGUUAUCAAAGUAAUCUCUCUUGUCUAAAUUAAUUUAUUUGGAAUAUUAGGAAGUUUGUGUGUACGUAAUUCAUGAGGAUAUUCACCGGCCCAAAGGAAGGUCAAUAUUUAGUAGAAUUAUUUACACACAUGUGGUAAUAAUUAUGUGACAAUUGUAAAGUUUUCUAUUAUGUGAACAUUGAGUCAGUCCAAAGAUAAACUUGAUGUCUGACCAGAUUUAUUGUCAAUAUUUGAUUACUUCACCAAGAAUACCACUUACAAGUUGACAUUUCUGUCCAAAAACUAAAUAUCAAUAUUGUGCUCGGUUUCUUAUGAUGGGGUUCACCAUUAUUUGAAAUUAUUGAUUGUUCAAUACAAAUUCCCAUGUGAACAUGUUAUUUAGGUUUAUGAUCUCUAUUUGGUUAAUUCAUCAACUUCUACAGUAUCUGUCAAUAUCACUAUAAUUCAUGUGUUUGAACCGAAGUUUAAGGAUUGAAAAAAGAAUGUUUGUAUCAUUCUUGACGGCGUGGAUCUAGACCUUGCAUUAAGAAUUGAACAAUCUACUACUCUUAUGGAUAAGGGUUCCACUAAUAUAACGGGACUCGAAUAAGUGUGAUCGUUUAAACUGCAUAAGUCUUAUGAUCAUGAAGCAUAAAAUUCAAAAAAAUUUAGGGACAAUGUGUUCAGUAAGUUAGCUGCCAAGAAAUUUCUUAAAGAAUUAUUUCAAAUCGCUUUGCAAAAAAAAAACGAUAAGGUCAAAACUAGUGCACUUCUAGCAAACUAGGUUUUACUAAAGUAUAAGGCUAAAGAAAAUAUACGAGAGUACAUCAUGGAUGUGUCUCGUCUUGUUUUAAAACCAACGGCAUUAAAGUUUAAGUUAUCUGAUGAUUUGCUCAUGGAUAUGGUUUUGAUUUCUCUUCCUGCACAAUUCGAUUAAUUUAAGGUCAAUUAUAGCUGUCAAAAGGAGAAGUCGACUCUUAAUGAACUAAUUUCAUAUUAUGUGUAAGAAGAAGAAAGUUUAAAGCAAGAGAGAACUAGAAGUACUAACUUGGCAAGUACACGUAAGGACAAGUUAAAUAAUAAGAAAACUGCAACUAAUUCGAUUCAAAAGAACAUCAAACACCUGAAAAUGAUAAAUCAUCUAGCUAUUACUUUUGGGAAAAUUUGGGACAUUUUAGAUAGAUUAUACUAAAUAUCAUGCUUAGCGGGUAAAGAAAGUACACUUUCACUUUGGUUUGCCCCGUGUUUAAUUUAAUUUGAAUACCAAGACACAUUCAGUGGAUAAAUUUUGGUGUCACUACUUAUAUAAGUGUCUAUGCGGGGUUGCCUAAAUUGCCGAAAGCCAAUUGAUGCUGAAAGAUUCAUAUAUGUGGGACGAUGGCAAAUCAGUUAAAGUUGAGGCUAUAAGGAUUUUUAGGUUAUUAUUAAAAACUAGUUAUUAUUUGAAUUUGAAAGAAACACUAUACGAAAUUUGGUUUCUGUUUCUACAUUAAAAAAAAUUAGUUACUCUUAUUCAAUUGGAAAUAGUAAGUUCAGUCUUUUUCUUAAUUCAAAUAUUAUGGAUACCAGACCCUUAUCUAGUUAUGAUAACUUAUAUCUACUUAAUACAGUUGCCUCUUAUAAAGAAGCCUUGCUUGUGAAUUCAUGUGGUAUUAAACAUAAAUUAACCAAUGAGAAUUUCGUUUUGUUUUGACAUAAGCGAUUUAAUUACAUCUUUCAAAAGAGAAUGGAAAAUCUUGUGUUAGAGGGAAUUCUUGGUUCCCUUAAUUUUUCGGACUCAAGUAUUUAAGUUAAUCACAUUAAGGGGGAAAAAAAGAGAUUAGGUACCAAUAGAAUUUCGAACGUCUUAGAACUAAUUUAUAUGGAUAUCUGUGAGCCAUUUCCUUUAACUUCUUAGAUUGAUCGACAGUAAUUUAUUAUGUUAAUAGACAAAUUUUUCUCACUAUGACUAACUAUAUCUCAUCUAUAAGAAAUCUCAAACACUAGACAUGUUCAAGGCUUAUAACAUUGAGAUUGAAAAUCAAAUAAGCAAAAGAAUUAAACAAGUCAUAUCUUUCCAUAGUGGUAGUACUAUCACAGAUAUGAUGCUAAAUUCCUAGAGGAAUGUAGAAUUGUCCCACACUACACCAAAAUCUUUCUAGGUUGAAGCACUAAAGACUACAACUUGAAUUCACAAUAAAGUUUCAAUUAAAGCAAGUGUUAAGGGUUACAAAUUUUAAAGAUCAAACUAUUAAGUCAAUUUCCAAAAUGAAAAGUGCCAAGUUCUUUGAGGAUGUAGAUUUUGCCCAGGGGAGAUAAGGUCAGAGAUUUUAUGUUUGAGGAGGAAUAUAUAAAUAUUUCUUCUGUUGUAAUUGACUAUGAUAUAGAUUAGGGAUAAAUUGUUUCUCCAGAACUUGUUUAAGAAGCAAUUUCAGAUCAAGACAAUAUUAUAAAAUCUCUCAUACACAAUCAAAAGAUUGUUUCAGAAGAACAAACUAAACAACUUCAAGAACAAAUGUCAUUAAGAAAAUCCACUAAAGAAACAAAAAAUGUAAUUCGGAAAAUUUUAUAGUCUUUCCCCAAGAAAAUAAGAAUGGUAUUAUAUUGGUGGAAGAAGAUCUGAUCAAUCAACUUUCAUCAUGCAAUGCAAAGGAAUAAUUCUUAAGAAUAGAUUGAUGCCAUGAAUACUCUUUUAGGACUAUUAUGGCAUUUGAUCUUAAAUUACAUAUAAUGGUUUAUAAAUUAAGGAAAUCCAUAUUUGGGCUUAAGCAGGUUUCUCGUCAAUGGUAUCACAAUGUUCAUCAAAUAAUUAUCUCGUUCGAUUUUUUAGAUGAAUUCAGAUGAUGAUUGUGUAUAUCAUAAGUUCAGUGGGAGAUAGCAUAUUUUCUAAUAUUGGAUGUCAAUGACAUACUAUUUGCCUGCAAUGGUAAAGGACUAUUGAAUGAAACAAGAAAUUUAUGUUAUGAAAUUUUGAAACAAAAGAUUUUGGUGACCCCUCUUUUGUGUCAGGAAUACAAAUAUGUUGGAAUCGUUCUCAAGGUAUAUUUGAAUUGUCACAAAAGAGUUAUACAGGUAAAGUUCUUAAAGGAUUUCGAAUACAGGUAUAUAAACCAGGAGAUAUCCCUAUUACUAGGGGAGACAUCUUUAGUCUCAAUUAAUGCCCCCUUUGCUUGAGCAAUUGGGUGUUUAAUGUAUGCUAAUGUUUGCAUACGUCCGAAUACGGUAUUCAUUGGUUGCAUGCUAGGUAGAUAUAUAAUAACUCUAAGAAGGAUAUUUGGAAAGCAUCCAAUUAAUAUAUUCGAUAUUUUAAAGAGAACUAAAGAUUACGAGAUAUUUUGGAGGAUAAGAAGGUGUUGGAGAAUUUAUUUGGUAGGCAAAGGACAAAUGAUGUGAUUUUGUAGGAAAUAUCAAUUUUCAAGGCGACGAUUCUGGGCGCCUUCUUUACAAGCGUAAACUUGUAACUACUGGAAUCCAAGUUCCAACAUGCUGUGAAUAAAGAGAUCGGUCUCUAUUUUUCUAAUCCUCUCUCUAUUCUUUUGCUCGAUUUUCUACUUCAUAUCAAUGGGUUUUAAGGUGAAGGCUGCGGUGAACGUUGUUUUGGUGAGUUGGCAAUGACCACGGUGGGUGGGAGCAUUUGGUUGGGAAGAAAGGUUCCAUUUUUUUCCUUUCUUUCUUUUUUCAUUUGUUCAUUUUUUUUUAAGUGAAUAGACGGCUUUACCCUCCCCUAUUCUGGUAGAAAAUGGUCAAUUUAAUUUUGGUGGUCAACUGACAAAAUUGUGGAUAGAAACCAUCCAAAAGAGCCUCAUAUGCAACAGUUGGAAGGUUAUGAGUGAUGGCUGCAACAAUUGAAAUGUGUUCAUGAACAGUCUGCUAGUAUUUCAAAAAUUUGGGACUUCUACUGCAAUUAGCCCUAGGUUUUAAUAUGAGUUGUAUUGCAAUUAUUUUAUGGACUUUCCUUAUAAUUAUUACUAAGACUAUGUUUGGGAAGCACUUGUAAAUGGUUUAAUUUAUAAAUAGAUAAAAAUGAGUGAUGAAUAAGUGAAUUGUAAUAGUAUUUAUGAUUACAUUGGUACGUGAGGAUGAAAAUAAAGUUUGACCAUUUAUUUGUGUUUUAGACAAAAUUUGUCAAAUGGAGACUAAGCCCCUGUUAGGUUUAGAUAAAAAUUAGUUUUUAGUAAAUUUUUAUAAAUGCUUAAGAAAUGUGUUGACAAAAAUUGUGGCUCACGUAAAAUAUAUGGUUGAAAACCAAUUUGAAGAAAAAUGAGAUUUAAAAAAUGAGGGUCAAACAUGAGCUAAUUAAUUUUCAGAAACUAUUGUUGUUAAACAUUAUACUACUUUUACUAAUAGAAUAAACAAUACUUUCUCCCAUUUUUAUUAUCUUAUUCUUCUCUUUUCUUUCUUAUAAUUUUGGUUCUUGUUCAAUUGUGUCCAUGUCAAUAAAUUUUCCAAAAUACUCAUUUUUAAAUUAUCAAAAUGGAAAUUGACAACCUGCCAAGAGUGUUAAGUGUACAAAAGUUACUAAUCAAUGAUUGAUAUUUUAUAUGAUAUUUAAAGAAAAUGUUGCGUCCUUAAUCCAUUUCGAGUCGAAAAAGUAACCAGUUCAACUUCAUGAACUAAGCUGAGCACCUCUUUAAUCCCAAAAUUUUCAUGGGCUGCUUUUUUCCUUUUUUCUUUUUUCUUUUUUUUUUCCAAUGAAAACCAAUUGAAGUCCUGUUUGCCACAAAAUUUUUCAAAAAAUUAUUUCAAGUUAGUAUUCUCUAAGAUAAAAAAAAAAACAAAUAAAAAAUAAUUCAUUUUUUACUUAUGAAAAUUUGUGCUAAGCGAGUUUUGAGUUUCUUCACUCAUGUAAUUCAAAUACUCUCCUAGCUUUGAUUGAUUGGUAAAAAGUCAAGUAUUAUGAUUAAAGGAAGAGAAAUUUUGCUUUCUUGGUAAUUGAUACUUUAUUUACUAUUUAAAGAAUUAUCAUAAGUAUCUAUAGCUUAUGCAUAUCAUGACUUAGUAAACAAAUUAUAACUAUUUACACCGUCCUAUAACGAUUUUCCUCUUAAGCAAUCAUUGACUAGACCUAGACCAAGACUUAUUCUAAGUAAUGUUUAACACUGAAAAAUAGUUAAACACAAUGGCGAGGAAUGAAAGACUACAAAAAAUUUAAUCUUUCUAGAUACAGCUACUUUGUGUGAAAUUGAAUUGUGUAUUCUACCCAUAACCUGAAGUUACGUGGAACAUACCUUACAUAAAGAUUGAAAGUUCAAUACCAAAAUUUUAAAUUUUUUUUUUUUCAAAAUAAAAAAGAAGAAGCCAAGAUUGAUACUUUGACUUGGUGGGUUCCAAAUCAAUUUGCAAUUGAAACUAACAAUCUUAAAUUAAUCUGUUUCCAAAUCUUGAUUAGACAUGAGUAAAUUUCUUGGAAUUGGCACUACCAUUUUUAAAUAAUACCUUUGCUAAUGCAAAGAUUACACUCUAAUCUUGAUUAGACUUGAUCGAGCUCAUGUUAGUGUAGAUUAAGAUUAAAUUUUCAGUAAAUUUUGAUAGAAAUUGAUAAAUGUGUGGUUGAAAAGUUAUGAAUUAUGUGUAAUAUGUAUUUAAAAUUAAUUUGUUGACCUUGACUUGAGAUUUUAAUUAAAUUUUAGUUUACACCAAAAGUAGCCUAAAUUUUGUAAGCCAAAUAUUCUGUUAUACUAAAUUCAUUGUACUACUACUAAAGCAAAAUCUCGUUGUAAUUAAAUUAACUAUUUUUUUGUAAUUCGUAUUAUGGAUUGAUUAGACCUAAUCUCAAACACUAAAUCUUGACUAAACAGGAGUGAAUUUUAUACCUUCUCGAUGGCUUAGUCAAGAAAAAGCUCCCAUAGCAAUAAUGUUCUGUUUGGGCAUCUGGAAUGUGAAAGUAACGCGUCUUUCCAUAAAUACGUACGUGUCUUUCAAACAAAUAGACUUUUAAGUAUUGACUGCAAUGAGUUAAUAAAGAGAUAAUACUGAUUUCUUUAAAUAACACCUAUUUCCUUCCUCAAUGAAACGAAGGGGGAAAUAUAUGGAAAUAACAUUUUCAAAAGGGUUACUUUUUCAAAAUGACCCUUAGGCAAUUUACACACCAAAAAUGCGCUCCAUUUGGAUAUUACAUAACAAGGAAUCAUAAUAUAAAACUUUGCUAUUUUAGUCCUUAAAAUUAAAUAUUGAUUGAAACUUGAUAAUUUUUAUUUGAUGAUUUUUUAUUAAUAUUUUUAUUUAUUUUUUUGUUCGCUCUAAGUAGCUCCCCUAAUUGGUAUCAGAGCCAUAGAGAUCAUGGAAAUAAAAAUAAGAAAAAUAGAUAAUUAUUGGUGUUUAGAAGAAGAAAAAAGUAGUUAUAUAUUUUUAAAGCCUAUUCAUAAUAAAUUAAAAAUAAUGAGUUUGACAAUAAUUAAAGAACUUCCUAAAGAAAUAAAGGAACAAAUAUUAGAAAAAUUAAUAAUAGAAAAAAAUAAAAGAUACUUAUACAUAUGAAAAAAUUAUUAAUAAAUAUGAAGAUGAAGAAAAUAAUUUAUAUUAUAAGGAAAAAUAUGAGUACAAUUGAUAAUACACAUCAAAAAUUAAAUAAAUUACUUUUAAAAAUGGAUAAAAUACAAGAAAAAAUAAGAAAUAUAAUGUUAAUACCAGAAGGAAUGAGAAUAUCAAUAAAUAGACAAUUAUUAAAAUUAAAAUGUGAAAGAUUAAGACUUGAUAGCAAAUAUUUUACUAUAGUAAAAGAGGAAUUAGUAGAUCCAGAAACAGUUGAGAGAAGAUUUAGGAAAAUAAUAGAUAAAAAGAAAGAUAAAAGAUGCAAAUUAACCUAUGAGUUAGAAAUAAGGAAAAGUUAAGAUGUCAAUAAAUGAAUACAUGGAAGAAUUGAAAUCAUUAAUAAAAAGUUAAUAAAUGAUAUACAAAAUUUGAGAAAUGAAGUAAAAGAAACAAGAAACGACAUAAAUAUAUUAAAAAUUGAGAUUAGAGAAUUAAAAGAAAAUAAUAAAAAUAAAGAUAAGAAAAUAGAUAAAAAAAACUUAUAGAAAAAAAAAAGAUGACUCGAAUAGGAAAGAAACAUAUAGGGAAAAAAAUAUAGUGAUAGAAACAAGAAGCAUGAAUAAUGAAUUUAGAAAGAAUAUCUUACCAAAAAUACUAGAAGAGGAAGAAGAAUCUAAAGAAAAAUUAUUAGGAAAAUUAAAAGUAGAAGAAAAAGAAGAUGAGUGAAAAAUUAGAUUUGUUAAUAGAAAAUUUUGAUCAAUUAAGUUUAACUGAUAUAAGUGAAUACCAAGUUUUAAUGAAUACUGGAGGAGGACCUAAUCCAGCAGGAACCUCUAAACAGGAAUUACGUAAUACAGAUGAAAAUUAUGCACCCAUAUAUAGUAAAUCAUAUAGACAAUUCUAUGAUAAAAUAAAAGAUAGACAACCACCUAAAGAUAGGUUUGGAUUAAAUGAUAAUUAUGAUAAACUAAUUAAUCAUGAAGGAACAAAACUAGAUUUAAAUUGCAAAAUAGAUACUAAGAAAACCUUAUUAACAUGGGCUGAUUCAAUGAUAUUAUUCUUUUUAUGUAACAAAGAUGACACAUGGAAAAAUACUAAAAGAAUAAUAGAUUUCUUAAUAGCAUCUUUUGAAGGAGAUGUUAGAAAUUGGUAGGAAAGAAUAAUCAAUGAUACAAAAAUAUUAAUAAAAAGAAAUGUACAAACAGCAACAAUCAAAUCAGAUAGACAAGGUAUAGAAAAAUUGAUAGAAUACAUUUCAGAUGAAUUUCUAUGAGAAAAUUGGAUAAGAAAUGCUGAAAAAGAAUCAAUAAGAGAAAAAGAUAAUGUUCGAAUAAAAUUAAUAAACUUAAUAAUAUGUGAUAUGUGUAAAAUUGAAGAAUAUACUUGUAAAUUUAAAAAUUACUAUUAUGUUCAAUUUUACAGCAAUGAAAAUCAAGAAGUAUACCAAGACAUAUAUUAUAAUAAAUUACCAGGUUCAUAGGAAAUAUAUUUUAAAAUAGAAUUUGAAAAAUAUGUUACGGAUAACACUGGAAUACCUAGAAUUUUAGGUUCAAGAAUAAAAUUUUUAUUUGAAAGACUUGCAUAUAUAUGUCAACAAAGACAAUUAAUGAAAAAAUCAAGAAAAUUAACUAAAAUAUGUUCUAAAGAUAUGGAAACCCCUGUACAAUGGGGAAGUAAUCCUGAAAAAAGAGUUGAUAAAAGAAAAUAUAAAAAUAAAAAGUUUAAGAAAUUUAGAAAUUUUAAUAAAAAAAUAUAUAAAACAUAGAAGAAGAUAUUAUAAAAGAAAAAAAUAACCCAUAUAACCAACAGAAAGAUAAAAAGGAAAAAUAAAAGUCAAUUUAAAUGUUGAAAUUGUGGAGAAAUAGGUCAUAUAAACUCUGAUUGUGAUAAAAAUAAAGUAAGAAUAUUACAAAAAGAAUACUUAGAAAUAAAAGAUGAAUUAAGUGAAAUAUCAGAUAUUGAAGAAUAUUAUAAUCAAGAAGUAUAUAGAAGUGAAACAGAUGAUGAAUCAGGAUCUGAAUAAAGAAAUUGAAGAAUUAGAAAGUAAUAAUAUAAAUAUACAAGAAUAUGAAGGAAUAGAAGGAUAUGGAUUAAAAGUUACUUUUGAUAAUAACAAGUUUAGAAAAUUACAAAAAUUAUCAUUAGAAUUAAAAAUAGGAAAAUGAGAAGUAUUUGAUAGAAUUUGGAAAAGAGAAAGUAUAGCAAUAAAUGAAUAUCACAAAAUAGAAAAAAUCAUAGAUGUAAGAAUAACUUAUGGGCAACAUAAAUUAAAUCUUUUAACAAAAAAUGCAGUUGAUAAACUAUUAACAGAGAUUAGUAAAAAACAAAGUAAAAAAAUCCAAUAUAUUUAUUUAACAGGAAUACAAAUAAUGUUUAAAUCAUUAGUUAGAGAAUGAAUAGAUUCACCAUUAACUAUAAAAGAUAGUCAUUUAGGAACAAUAGAAGGAAAUUUAGCAUAUCAAAAAAUUAUGUUUACAUGUUAUCCAAAUCAUUGUGUAUCAUUAAAAGAUAAAAUUUUUAAUGAAGUUUUAGGACUACAUUUUAAACUUCAUAUGGAUUAUAUCAUGCAACCAAGUGAUCAAAUCAUGACUUUAGAAUAUAGAGCUUUAUAUACAUUUACUAAUUCUAGUUAUAGGAAUAUUUAUUCCAAUAAAUCAUAUAUUGAAGCUCAUAAAGAAUGUAAAGAUAUUAAUAAAAUAAUAUAACCAAAUAAACAAAAAAAUUUAAUUCCAGUGGAAUAUGAAUUGAAUGUAACAAAAAAAAACCUGAAAUAACAGAACUAAAUGAAGGAGAAUGUUCUAAUAAUAUUACAUUUAAGGAUGGAAAAUUAAUUAAAAGAUCAAAAAGUUUUAAAAUACCUAAUAAAAACCAGUUAGAAGAAAUCAACAAAAUAAAAGAAGUAAAACUGUAUAGGAAUGCUGGAAACAUGAAAAUAGAAGGAGAAUAUUAUAAUGGAAGAGAAAAUAUAAAUGGACCAAAUAUAUUAAUAGACACAGGAGCUAGUGAAUGUCAUAUAGCUUCAAUUAGAAAUAAAGGCCUAAUAACUCAUAAAAUUGAGUCAUAUAAGUAUGUAAAUUUUGAUGGACAAGUACACAUAACAGAUUUAGAAGUUAAAGUACCAAUAAAAAUAGGAGGAAUAGAUCGUUUAGUACCAUGUUACAUAGAUAAAAGUAUGGAUAUAAACCAUCUUAUACUUUUAGGAAUGAGCUUUCUAAAACAGAUUAGAAGAUUAUAACAUAAAAAGAGAAUGAUUAUAUAUUGUUCAUAAUGGACAAAUUACAUUAUGCAAAAAGAACUAGAUGAAUAAUCAGAUAAGUUUUCCAUUAGUUGUGUAUAUCCAAAUUACUAUUGUAGAAACAAAUAUAACAAUUUGUACUUUACUAGAUACAGGAAGUGAUAUAACAAUAUUUAAAAGUUUUUUAAUUAAAUCAUGGAAUAAUAAUAGUAAUAUAAAAAUAAUUGGAGUUACACGAAAAAGUACUCAAAUAAUAAAUAGUGCCGAUAAAAUUAAUAUAAUUCUUGAAAGUAAACAAGUAACAAUAAAUAAAAUUUAUAAAUAUGAUAAAUUAGAAUGUGAUAUAUUAUUAGAAAAUGAUUUCAUACAACAAUUUCAAUGUUAUAAACAAAAUAAUUAUAUGAUAAUACUACAAACAUCUUGUGGACACUUAUUAAAAAUCGCUAGAGAAUUUAAACCUUACAGAGUUCAGCAAGCCCAGCAUGGUGAUAAAUCGAAAAAAAACCAAUUCCUAAUAAUGAAAUAAAAAAUAAAAGAAUAUCAUAUAAAAAGGUUCUAAAAACGGGAAUAGAAAUGAAUAUAGAAAAAAUUAUUGAACAAUUAGAAAAGAUUUAUGGAGAAAAUUCAUUAUUAUUUUGGAAGCCAUAUCACCCAAAAGUCAAAAUAGAAUUAACAGAAAAUGUUAUAAUAAGAGUAAGACCAAUGAUAUAUACAAUAGAAGAUACACAAGAAUUUAAAAAUCAAAUAAAAAAAUUGUUAGAACAAAAAUUUAUCAGACCUAAUAAUGGACCUCAUGGUAAUCUAGCCUUUAUGGUUAUGAAACACUUUGAACAAGUUAGAAGAAAAGCUAGAAUGGUUAUAAAUUAUAAAGAAUUAAACAAAUAUACUAAAUUUGAUGGUUACUUUCUACCAAAUAAAGAAAUACUAAUAAGUCUUGCAAGAAGAAAACAAUAUUAUUCUAAAUUUGAUUGUAAAUCAGGAUUUUGGCAAGUAAAAAUGGAAAAAGAUAGUAUACAAUAUACUGUAUUUAGCACACUUCAAGGAAAAUAUGAAUGGUUAGUUAUGCCAUUUGGUUUAAAAAAUGCACCACAGAUAUAUCAAAGAAAGAUAAAUAAUAUAUUUAAAAAGUUUAAUGAAUUUCUUAUAGUUUAUAUUGAUAUAUUAAUAUGUUCUAAUAGUAAAGAAGAGUAUAGAAAUCAUUUAAUCCAAUUUAUUAAUGAAUGUAAAAAAGAAUGAAUUGUACUAUCUAAAAAGAAAUAUAUAAUAGAAAAACAAGAGACAGACAUUCUUGGAUUAUCAAUAGAUAAAAAAGGUAUAAAAUUACAGACUCAUAUAUCCAAAAAGAUAGAAAGUUUUUCAGAUAAAUUAGAAUCCAAAGAACAAAUUCAAAAUUUUUUAGGAUGUUUAAAUUAUGCAGAAGGAUUUAUUGAAAAUCUUUCUAAGAAAAGACAUAAAAUCCAAAUUUUACUUAGAAAAAUAAAUAAUAAGGGAUGGAAUGAAGAACAUACAGAAAUAGUUAAAUUAUUAAAAGAAGAAUGAAAAAAUUUACCAAAAUUAAGAUUACAAGAUAAAAAAAUAAUUUGAUUGUUAAUACGGAUGCCUCAGAUAAAUAUUGGGCAGCAAUAUUAAAAACAGAUCUUAAUGAAAUUUGUAGAUACUCAAGUGGAACCUUUAACCAAGUGGAGAUAAAUUAUACUACAUAUUAUCCAAAAAAUUUAUUGUUGAAACUGAUAAUUCUCAAGUUGCAGGAUUAGUCAGGAAUAAGUUACCCUCAGAACCACAAUAGAGAAGACUUCAUAGAUGGCAAGCUUAUUUAUCAUUUUAUAAUUUUGAUAUAGUCCAUAUUAAAGGAGUUAAUAAUUUUCUUACAGAUUUUCUCAGCAGAAACAUAGAAUUUGAUGAUGGAUAAAGUCGAGGCCAUGGAGUUAUACCAAUGUAUCAUACAUAUACAAGAAAGGACAAAUUUUCUUAAGGAAGAAUCUGAAGAUAUAAGUUCUGGAGCAACCCAGAUCUUAGAAAUAUUUAACUCAAAUAUGAAAAUAUUGUUGAUUAUCAUUGCUGAGCAUCAUAAAUAUGUCAUAGAACUCAAAAAUCAAGUUGAUGCUAUUGCAGCACAAUUAAAAAAUAUACUGUUUGAAACAUAUAGGCCAAAGAGCUCAGAAAUGAGUUUUCCAAAUCAAUACCAAACAUGGACAGUUGGAAGCAGCAGUGGACCCAGACGUGACAACAUACCAACUGAUAAUAAAGGAGAUUCCAUUUCUGUAUCAUCAACCAAGAAAGUUAUGAUGUAUGGAGAUAAAAGAGAUACCAAAACAAUCAGCAUCAUAGACUAAGAAGAUAAAAUCCCUUUAGAUCCAAACGAAGAAAAGUAUGUUGAAAUAGUCAAAAUCGCUUAUGAAAUAAAAAUAAGUGAUUCAUAUUUCAUUUCUCCAAGAAAUAAUGUUUAACCCAGAAUAACAGCCAUGGAAAGAGAUGACCCUUCAUUUAUAAAAAACAUGACAGACUAUGGAUUCAUGGAUUUGAUUUAUCCAAGAAAAGAUUUUAUUGAAAUUUCAAAGUUCGAUGACAUAUUUAUUAAAGAAGUUUCAAGAUUUUCCAAAGGAAGGAAGAUAUUUUUAAAAUUCUAUUCAAUCAGUCCAGAAAUGAUGGAGUUGUUUACUAUCCAGUUGAAUACAUAAUCUCAAUUGAAUAUAUUGCAGCCAAUUUCCAAAUUGAUGUUACGGAGAAUAAUAGAAAAAUCCCAACGGUGACAAAAUCAUGGAUCAGACAUAGAAGAGCACUUGGAAUUAAAACCAUCUACAACAUUGUCAAAAACUUGUUUGAUAAAAAAUUCUCGUGCCUAUGCCAAUAUGAGAAUUGGAUGCUGGUAUCCAAUGGAGGAUAUGCAAAAUCAGAAAUUUUAACAGACUAUAUUACAAGAAUUGAUAUACAUCAAUUUCUAGGAUGUUCUACCACUAUAAAAAAAUCCUGCCAGCUAAGAGAGUGCCCCAACUGCAUGUGAAGAAAUAAAAAAAGAAGACAAAGCACCUUUUGACAAAGGUGUAUGAAGGACAAUAAUACUACAUGUGAAGACAUUGAAGAUAAAGAACAAUAAUAGAAAAAGAUGCUCUUUGAAUAGAAAAGUUGAACCAUCAUGUGAAGAUGUAGGCCCAAGGAAGAAAAUAGAGAGGCAAGAGUGCCUUUGCUGAUGUAAUCAAUGAUGUAAUAGAGUCUCAUAAACUUGUAUAAAUGGAAACAUUGCCAUAGAAGAAUAUCAUCUCAUCUUAUCUUGAAUUCUUAAGUUGUAAGCAAUAGCCCAUUCUCAAUUUGAAAAACUAGUUUUUCUGAAAAUCCCUUCAUACCAAAUAGAAAUAUUGUAUCAAUCCUGAAAGAAAUAAAAUUCCAAUAUUUUGAUAUCAAUAUGAAUUUUUAAAUCUUUUUCCCAUAGAUUCUUGAAGGAUCUAAUAGAAAGUUUCCUUCUUAUUUUAACAAACAGAGAGUUUUCCUUUACAGAAGUUUAGAAUUUUAUUCUUUAGAAGUUGAUACAGUGUGAGCAAGUAGCUGAAAUAGUAACAAUUCCGUGAAUGUAGGAGGCCGUUAGGAAAAACAGUUUACAAAUUCAAAGCUCAAAAGUCACUUGGUUCUAAGAAUACAGGUCUAAAUCAAACCUAAGGUAAAACUUUUAAACUUUUGCUAAAAUUAGAAUGAAUCCUUUUAAGAUCUUAAAAGAAUCGCAAGGACAAUUGCAUGAAGAUUAUUUUUGAUAAAUGCUAGGAUAUACAAUCGAAGGAUUAGAUAAUUUAUUAGAAAGAAUGUUAGAAGAAAUAAAGAAUAUUAUAUCUCAACUAAAAAAUACAAAUUUACCAUUUUAAGAAUAUAGUACUUUAAUUAGAAAAUAUGAGAUAAAUGUUGCAGAUUAUUCUUAUUUAUUAGAUCAUAGAAUGAUUUUAUAUUCAAAUUUCCAAAAUAGAGUAAACAUAAGAUAAAAUGUUUAAAAGAUUAGGAUAUAUGGUGCAAUAUAGAAAGAAUCAUUUCAUUAAGGGUAAUAUAGACAUUUCCAUAAAAAGGAAUAGUGACAGGUCAAAUACAAAAAUCUCCCUGAAACGAAGAAGCCAAACCCCAAGAAAAUGGAAAACCUUUUUUCCAUUGCUAUUUUUCCUUGUUUUCUCAUUCUUUCUACAUUAAUGGCAUCAUCAGCCCAAAAACAAAGAUAUGCUAAUAUUUCCCUUGGCUCUUCUUUAAAUCCCAGUACAAAUUCAUCAUGGUUGUCGCCUUCUGGACUUUAUGCAUUUGGAUUUUACAAGAUAACCACUGGCUAUUGCUGGGAUUCCAGAAAAGACUGUAGUGUGGACGGCCAACAGGGAUGAUCCAGUUUUUCCCAGUAACGCUAUUUUGUUAUUAACCGAUGAUAGAAGGCUCAUUUUGCAGCAGGAAGAUAGAGAUGACGUAAAUAUUGUGAAUCUAGACCAGUCUGUUACGUCAACCAGGCCUAGUUCUGGGACCAGGCGAAUGAGACCUACGCCUCAAGCCCAGAUUCCAAGGGGGCCUCAUUUUCAGCCCAGAAUAUUUUUUUUUUUUUUGAACCAAACCCAAUGAUGAAGAAGAGCACCCCCAACAAGUUUAAGCCCAAAUCCAAUACCGUUAGUCUUAAUCCAUUUACCCUACUUAUACAUCCAUAAAUCAUAAUCAAUUAUCCAUCAUUUACCCAAAAUUCCCAAUUUCCCAAUCCCCAAUCAAAAACCCCUUUCUCCCAAACGCUCAUCUGAGUAGUCCAUCCCCUUCGCAGCGUCACCGGUCGCCUCUGUCUCUCUUCUAAACUUCCUCAUUCUGACUUCCAGAUUUCCUCUUCCUUUGAAACAUCCGUCACGGUCCAUGGAGUCGGACACCGUCGUAGUUCACACUGGUUCCAUUUCUGCAAUCAGUAUACUAAUUUGAAUUAAUUUAUUUUGUUGAUGAAACUGUUUUAAUGGUUAUUAGUUUUUAUUAAAUGUGUUAUUUCCCUAAGCUUGACUAAAUGUGCGCCUAUUUUUAAGUAUUGGUGUUUGAUGUUAAGCUUUUGUUUCAGAUUCGUAAGUUAUGAUGAUGAAAUUCUCAAGGGUGUGAUUCUACAGUUUUUGCCGCAAUUCUGCUUCUCAAGUAAGCAGUGGCUUUCCUUAACUUGUUAUUUACGAGAUUGAAAAUGUUUGGAGCCUUGUCGGCUUAUAUAAUUGUAGCUUGAUUGACUUAUAUGAUUGAUUACUGUAGAUCAACUAUGUUAGAAGAAAGAUAGAAUGGAUUGACUACGUUAUCAUUAGAGAAAGAAAUAGUUGAGCAACUAAACUAUUCAGAUUUUAUUAAUAUUUUUGCCUCUAAAACAGUAAGACGAAUAGUAUUUAACUAAUUGCUUGAAAUAUUGUUGGUUUUGGGUUUAGAUAAUAUAAAUUUUUUAUAUAAUAUAUUUGUAUGUUGUUUUAAUGUUAAAUUUUAAGUUAGCAAUAAGUUGUAUAAUAAACCGUUACAUUUACAUUGAUUUCGGGAGGGGGGCCUAAUUUAUAUGCUUUGCCUUGGGCCCCGACAAUCACAGGACCGGCCCUGGCGUCAGCUUCAAUGCUUGGCAGUGGUAAUUUCAUGCUGUACAAUUCGUCUCAGAGUAUCACGUGGCAGAGUUUUGAUCACUCAAAGGACAUUCUUUUGCCCGAUAAUGUCUCUCGGCUGGAGAAGAGAACGUUUCCAGUGCUUCAAAAACGAAUCCUGUGAGAGGGAUUUUCCAUCUCGCAAUGCAAGAUGAUGGGAACCUGGUGCAAUACCCUGUGGAAAUUUUCGGACCUAGUUAUGCUUACUAUGCAUCAGGCACAUGGAACACAUGCAAUAUUGUAUCACUGAAUCUUGAUAAUAAUGGCCAUCUAUUCUUGUUCAACGGAAGAUCCAUUAUAAGCAAUUUAACGAGAGGACAACAUCGAAAAAGAACUAUCUACCUCACGACAAUUGAUGUUGAUAGUAUUUUUCGACUAUAUUAUCUCUCGUUGGAUCCUCAAGGAAACUGGACUAAAGAAUGGUCAUCCUCGGAAGAUAAAUGUGCCCCUUUGGGUUUAUGUGGGUUGAAUGGUUAUUAUAUUCUGUUGGAUACAGCCGUGGAAUGUGAACAUCUUUCUGGAUCCGAUCAUGUUAAUCCGGACAAUUGGACCACAGGAUGCGAGAGGAAUUUUUCCAUGGAAGAUUGUAAAGCCAAUAAUCAUAAUGCAGUUAUGAAAUCAGAUCAUUGGAUGACACGGUGUGGGAAGAUGCUAAUUAUGCUAUUUUAGGAGGACUGACAAAAGAAGAUUGUACAAAAGCCUGUUUAGAGGACUGCAACUGCGAUGCAACUUUCUUGCAAGAUGGAAACUAUAGAAAGCAAAGGCUUCCAUUGAGAUUUGGAAGAAGAGUGCGGAGUAAUCCAAUUGUUGCUCUUAUCAAGGUGAACACAACAGUACAAUCAACUCGAGGAGGUUCGAGUGAUUCGGGCAAAGAAAUCCAGAAAGUGAUUCGUUCAGUUGUCUUAAUUAUAAGCAUUUCACUUUUUGCUUUAGCGGCCUUGAUCCUAGCAAUUUUUGGGAUUUAUGUUCACAAAAAUCAUGUUGGGAGAUAUAAGAAGAUCUCCGAUGUUGCACUGAUUGAGGGUGUUGGUUUGAGAGCAUUUACCUAUUCAAAGCUUGUGGAAGCAACAAAUGAGUUCAAAGAAGAGCUCGGUAGAGAAGCGUCUAGCACAGUUUACAAAGGGAUCUUAUUAGACAACAGAAGUAUUGUGGUCGUGAAGAGGCUCAACAAAGAAUUGGAAAAAGGAGAAAAGGAAUUCGAGAAUGAGAUGAAGGUGAUUGGAAAAACGUAUCAUCGUAAUCUGGUCAGACUUCUUGGUUAUUGCCGUGAAGGAUUUAGAUGGCUUCUAGUAUAUGAAUACAUGAAAAAUGGAUCACUUGCAGAUAUACUUUUCAAUCAAGAAAAUCGAGUGUAUUGGGAAGAAAGAAUUCGUAUUGCUCGUGAUAUUGCAAGAGGCAUCCUCUAUUUGCAUGAGGAGUGCGAGACGCAGAUCAUUCAUUGUGAUAUAAAACCUCAAAACAUACUCAUGGAUGAGCAUAGGUGUGCAAAAAUUUCUAACUUUGGACUAGCAAAGCUCUUAAAGAAGGAUCAGACAAAUACCUAUAUAAGGAUUAGAGGAACUCUGGGUUACGUGGCCCCUGAGUGGCAUAGGAAAUUGCUUGUGACAAUUAAAGCAGAUGUUUACAGCUUCGAAAUUGUGUUACUAGAGAUCAUAUGUGGUAGAAAAAGUGUCGAUUGGAGCUUCUCUGAGGAUGAAGCUAUUCUUGAAGAAUGGGUUUACAAUGCUUUCGUGGAUGGGAAGGUAUGUAAGCUGGUGGGAGACGAGGAGGUUGACAAGAGAAAAUUGGACAGAAUGAUUAAAAUAGGUAUUUGGUGCAUCCAAGAUGAACCAUCUCUCCGUCCAUCGAUGGAGAAAGUUCUAUUGAUGUUGGAAGGGUCUGUAGAAAUUCGAGUAGCUCCAAGUCCUACUUCCUUCCUUAGUACAAUAUAGUUUUACUUUGUCACCUUUUGUGUUUUAUUGCAUAAUUGCAGUUGCCUUUGUGCAUAUAGUUUGAGUUGGAGAAUAAAUUAAGCAGUCAUGUUCCUGCUUGAUUGAAAGCAAAUGUUUGAAUCAAUCAGAAGAUCACAAGAUAAAGUAGUAGAUUCUUGAAUUUGCACUAAUGUUUUCUAUGUUGUUAAAUAAGACAGUAAAUUAACUUAUGCUUUUUUCUGGUUUUAAGAAUUUCUUUCUGGUUUUCUAAAGUUCUUUUUUGUGGCUCUCCGGAAAUUGUAGAGAGCCACAUUCUCCCUUAUUAAAAAUUACAAACGUAUGUCUCUCUUAUGUUAUGUAUGUACGUUUAUAUUAUUUUUAUUUAGACAAAAAGGGUUGUUUUAAUUAAAAAAAAAUCUUUUUGUAUUAAGUUAUUAAAUCUUAACCAUAUUUGAAUUCUUAUCAAAUGGAAAAACUAAAAUUGAUCUAUAUUUAAUAAAAAGUUGGACUAAAAAGAAUUUAAGAUUUAAACAUUUGAUACCAACUUUUUUGCAUUUGUAAUAGUAUGAGAAUAUUAUUUUAAAGAACAUAAAAAAUAAAAAAUUAGAGAAAAGCAAUAUAAAACAUUUAGUUUUUAUUUGGUGGGGAUUAAAUUCAAAUAUUUAGUAAAUUUUGAUAGAAGGUAAUGAAAUGUAUGGUUGAAAAGUUGUGACUCUUAUAAAAUGUGCGGUUAAAAUUAAUUGUUGACUUUGACUUGGAUUAAAAUCUUGAUUUUUAGUAGCACCAAACAAGGGAUUAAUAAUUUUUAACUAGCUAUACUAAAUUAUUCUUAUUUUAAAGCAUUUAUUUAAGUUGAUUUGUUAAUUAUUUAGCAAUUGUAUUUUUUUUUUAAAAAUCAUAUUCAAAAAUUUAAUAAAUCGCCUGUAACAGUUAAAGCAGACGUUUAUAUCUUUGGAAUAGUGCUACUAGAGAUCAUAUGUGGUAGAAAAAAGUGUCGAUUGGAGCCUCUAUGAGGAUGAAGCUAUUCUUGGAGAACGGGUUUACGAUGCUUUCGAGGGCGGGGAGGUAUGUAAACUGAUGGGAGAUGAGAUGGUUGAUGAUAUAAAAUUGGAUAGAAUGAUUAAAAUAGGUUUGGUGCAUCCAAGAUGAACCAUCUCUCCGUCCAUCGAUGAAGAAAGUUCUAUUGAUGUUGGAAGGGACGGUAGAUAUCCCGGCACCUCCAUGUCCUUCUUCUUUCCUAAGUACAAUGUAAUUUUACUUUUUUGAAUGAUAACAAGAUUCUCAAGCAUAUUUUAGUCAAUUGUAAAUUAAACCAAAGACAGAACAGAAAAAUCCAGAUUCUAUCACUGGUUCUUUUAAAACUCCGUCUAGCUCAUUAAAUACAUUAAAUACCUUGUAAUUUUAUGCCUUCAACAAUGGCAAUCUUAUCCCUUGAUUUACUCUAUAUCCUGUUCAUAAACUUCAGCCGAAUAAAACCAUUUGAAGAUUUAAACUUUAGUCAAAUGAAACCAUCAAUUACACUCUAAAAUCAAUCGAAGAUAUUCAUCAUUAAAUUUAUAUCAAACCAAUAAUAUUUCAUUCUAUAUGAAUGCAGUGGAGGCAUGAAUUGAUCACAGAAGUGAAGUGAAUGACCUCUUUGUCAUUUUCACUACAGCCUAUUUGCCAUUCUAACAAUAAAUCUCAUUCGAGCUUGUCAAUUAUUUAAAUGAUUUUUUUCUUGAAACUAUUACUAAAUAGUUUCUGGUUAUUAAGGGUUUUUGGUUUAACUAUUGAGUGGUUUUUCAUUGUAUUGGAACAACUUUAUUUUCUGUGGCUUCUCUACUUUCUUCUUCCCUCCUAUUCUUUCUCCCUCUCUUUUUCUUUCUCCCCCCAAGACAUGGGCUAAGCUUUUUCCUUCUCCCCCCAAAAACACGGGCUAAAUUUUUCUCUCUUCCCGAAUACCUAGACCUAUUCUCAGUACUCACGACUUUUUCCUAAUUGAUCAAUUGAGUUUCGGGGAUGAAAUUAUUUUAAGUGGGUAAGUUUUGUUAUACCUUAAUUCAAAGGGAAAAAAGUUAGUCAAACAUAUAUUAAAAAAAUAAGAAGAAACCAAACAAAAAAUAAAAUAAAAUAAUCAUAAAGGCGGUGGAUUGAUUUGGUUUAUAUCAAUCCAAUUAUAUCCGAAUCCAUUCAUACACAAAGCACACACAACACAUGGAGAAAGAAAACGAGGCAUGAAAAAAAGAAGAAGAAAAGGUAAAAAUAUAAAAGUCCCCAACGUGAUUAGAAAAUAAGUGUUUUCUACUAUUAAGUUUGAAUUCUUCAAUUUUAAAGGUAAGUAAAAAGAUACUUAUUGAACAAUUAUGUUUAAUUUUAGAGUUGUUAGAUUAUUAGUUUCAAUUCAAUUUUAUUGAAAGGGAACUACUAAGUUAAGUAUAUUGAGCUAGGAAAUUAAGUUAAAGAGAAGAAAAAAUAGCUUAAGUGAUUAAAGGAAUUGGGAAAAUUGCUUAAGUAUAAAAUGAUUAGGAUUUAGUAUCGCCAAUUUAAUUAUUGAAGUUACUUAAAAUGGUUAAUUGUUAACCUAAAAAUUGUAUCAUAUUUCAAGCGACAAUAUGGAGAUAGGGGCAACCUACCAAUCGAAUUGAUUUUGACUACAUGUUCUGUGAGUCGAAAAACUUAAAUAUUUUCAAAUAUUGAUAAAUUAAUUAUACUGUCACAUUAUGUGCAAUUAUGUGAAUUUCUUGUACAAUUACAUGAUUAUUAUGAAAAGUUCUUUCAUUAUGAUAUCUGCGAAAUCAUAAAAGUUGUACAUGGAUUACUUGUGAAUUGAAAUGUAACAUGUGAUAUUAAGAUCGACCAAAAAGUACCCAUGAUUAUAUAUAUUUUCUAGUUCACGGAGGGGCUUUGGCCCCCUUUUUUUCAAUCCUACAUGGAGAGGUCUUGACCAGACAUUGGUAUUGACUGUGUAGAUAUAGUUCACAGGGUGGGAUUUGAUCGUGUCCUAGAAUUGAUUAUCAAAGAUUUUGAGAUUCGCUUUCAUUAAUGAAGGGGACCGAAGACAAUGGCGAAAGUUCUUAGCCAGAGGAGCAAAUUACAAUUUCAGUCAAAGGGUACAUUUUUAUUGGAUUACAUGUGGCAUUAUGAGAUUGUAUUAUAAAUUUGAGUUUAUGAUAAUAAUAUGACAAUGAGAUUGUAUAUUUCAGAAUUAUGAGGAUGUCUCACAUCUUGAUUUUUAUUAUUAUAUACUGUUAUAUUGUAAACUGUUAAAUGAUAUAAACUUGAUUUUCGAUAAAAAUGUAUAAAUGAAAAGAUAUAUUUAUUUUCAAACUUUUCCACUCACUGAGUUAUCAACUCAAAUAUUUUUCCCCAGUUUUCUUAUCAGGUAGCAGUUGAGUUUCUAGGCAUAUUUUGGAGUUGAACCUUUGAUUUUGGAGUCAGAACCAUACACAGAGUUUGCUAGUAUGAUUCAUUUCAUGUAGCAUGUAGUCAAUAUGUUGGGGCAAGUAAAUAACUAUGGGGGUCACUAUGAAUUUUGCGUCCAUAAGUACAUUUCAUGUUAUUUUCGUAGUAAAAGUUGUGAAUUCGACUUAUCUCUAUUGUGUUAUGUUAUUGUUACAGGUCACUGAUCUUAUUUACCGGGGAGAUAAUGUUGAAAUUCUGUUAAAAAUAAUUUAGAAAAAUAUGCAUAUUGUAGUAGCCUUGAUGAUGUAUCCAACUUUGAGUUGGUAUAUAUCAUCGACACACGUCACGUUUCGAGUCCACUAGCGUUACUCGAAGUGGGGCGUCUCCUAGACUUAUCCUAAACAACGUUUGGCAUACAAAUAUUAGUAAAACACAAAGACUUGAAAAUGAAAAUGAAAAUUCAAAUUUCUACAUCGACUUUUGUGGAAUUGAAAUAUGAUCCAUGACUUGAAGUUACAUGGAAGAUACCUUGCACCAAGAUUGAAAGAUCAAACACGAAGACUUUUGAAAAAGAAAAUCCAUGUUCACUGUAAACAAAGACUUGAAUUUGACAUCAAUUAUUCUAAAUUUAUUUCUUCUCCAAUCUUGAAGGGAUCUAGAGUAUAUUCCGUAUGUGUUUUUGAUAGAAGUCGACAGUCCAAAGAGAAUUAUUGGUUCAAAAAGUUCGAGAAAAUGAACACAAAUUGUCAUCUAUAAAUGAUCAUUUUAACAAUAAAUGUAUCUGAAAAAUAUUUGGUCGAAUGUGGAGAGUUUAAUCACAUUUUUAGUUAGUAAAUUUUAACUGUUUGGACAUCUUGAAAUCAAACUUUAGUCUAUUUUUUUGGUACGAGAACUUUAAACAUAAGACCGCAUAUCGUUCCAUACACAAUACGUAGAUACUUUUGGCACAAGUUGGACUUGUUCAAGGUUAACAAGAAUUUUUUGUCUAAAAUGAAAACGACAAUAAAUUAAAAGCUUUAAUUUUUAAUAAAUUUCUGAUCGGUUAUAUGAAAUGCAUAUUAUCAUUCCUUUGGUAUCUUAGGCUUCGUUUGUCUACCUUUUUUUCACAUUCUACUGCAUUAUUUUUUUAUAGUAUUUAUUUUUAACCACACAUUUUUCAUUAAAAUAAUAUUACAUGUAAAUUAAAAUCUUUUCCUUUUUUUUAAAUCACACAUUUCAACAUCAACCACUAUUCCAUAUUACAUUUCUCACAAAUAAUGGAGCACAAACAAGCACUUAAAUCAUUCACAAUCAAGACAAACAGUGACUUAGGAAUUAUUUUUCCUAGAUUCAUGUAUGUACACUUUGUUCAAACAAACAGAGCUUAAGCAUUGACUGCAACGAGUCAUAGCGAGUACGCUGAUCACUUUAAAUAACACAUAUUUCCUUCCCCAAUGAAACAAGGAAGCCAUAUCCCAAGAAAAGUGGAGAAUCUAUUUUCCAUGGCUGUUUUUCCAAGUUUUCUCAUUAUUUCCGCAUUAAUGGCAGCAUCAGCCCAGCAACAAAGAUAUUCCAAUAUUUCCCUUGGAUCUUCUUUAACCCCCAGUACAAAUUCAUCAUGGCUGUCACCUUCUGGACUCUAUGCUUUUGGAUUCUACAACGUAACAAAUGGCUAUGCCGUUGGAAUUUUUCUUGCUGGGAUUCCAGAAAAAACUGUAGUGUGGACAGCCAACAGGGAUGAUCCCGUCUCUCCCAGCAACGUGGUUUUAGUAUUAACCAAUGAUGGAAGGCUCAUUUUGCAGCAGGAAGAUAGAGAUGACAAAAAUAUUGCGAAUCCUCGCCUGCCUGUUGCUUCAGCUUCAAUGCUUGACAAUGGAAAUUUUGUGCUCUAUGAUUCGGCUCAGAAUAUCACAUGGCAGAGUUUUGAUAACCCAACAGACACUCUUUUGUCCGGGCAACGUCUAUGGGCUGAAGAAGUGAUCGUCUCCAGUGCUUCAAAAUCGAACCCUGCCAAAGGGAUUGUUGUGGAAGCUCUCUCAAAAGGAUCUUCAAAUGGUGGUUUUCCAGGCUUAGUCCAACGUGCCUUUUUCUACCAACAACCAAUCCAAACGGCUCCAAACCACAACCAAUUGAUUCACUUUGGUUGCUAUUUAAUCUUACCCACGUAGGACAAGAAAGGAUGAUGAUUUAUUGCCACAAAUACUAAGAGAAGACACCGUAAAGGUAUACUAUGAAAGAACCACCAAUUGCACACGUUAUACCAGCAUUCUAGACUCUUCUGGACACCUUUUUUCUCACACAAAAGGGGGCAGUCAGGAUUCUCUUGUUUCUUCUCUCAAAAUCACACAAUCAUCAUAUCAAAGUGGCUAGGGUUAUAGCCAAAUAUAUAUUCUAGGGUUAGACUUUAAGUUGGGCCAAUAAAGGGGUAAAUGGGCCAAGAUUCAAGCCAUCCAUAAGGAAUACAAUUGGGUCAGGUGUAGCUCAUGGACUUGGUUGUUGGAUUUAUUUCAUUCAUCGGCCUAUGCCUAUGAAAUAAUAUUAACCCACGUUAACAUCAUAGCCCGGGAUUUAUUGGGUAUCAAAAACCCAACAAAUCUCCACCUUGAUGCCCAGUAAAUUUGCAAGCAAUCAAAACACACAGUUAACAUUUGCAUAAUCAAGGUAGCCAAUAAAAUUAGAUCACAGACCUUACCUCGUGUUUCCAACUUGAAACACAUACCAUACCUACUCCAUGUACUCACUAAGGCUAAGGUCAUAAAAUACCCAAGUAGAAGCAAAUAUUUAACAGUAAACAAUCAAGAGCAAAUACACAUGCGAUGACGAUAUACUAUAGGAUAACACACAGAGAUCUUUUCAGAAACACGUUCACAUAGAACCAUUGAUUAACACCAAGUCAAUCAAAACCACGGUCAACCACAUAUGCAACACAUGCAUAAAUGACCCUAAGAAAAGAUCUCACCACACUUAUCCUAUCACAUUCCGUGUUGCUCACACCUCGAGAACACAUAUCUCCUCUCAUCGCCCACCACGCUCACUAGACAGAUCACUCAACUCAUGUCUAACUGGUAAGUCACAAUAGAUCCUAAGUCCACGGGAUAAUCCUCUAUCUCCACAUCACUUCUCCCAACCUAUGUGGAUAAUGGGUCUCCACCUAACAGAAGUGAUAGAAGUGUCUCUCUCACACUCCACCUGAUCAGGGUCUCUUUCCAGAUAAAGGAUCCUAGACAUUUGAUCACAUCUCCACUCGUGAUCCAAAUGUCACACUCCACAUCCCUGGUACAAACCACCAUGUACCUCUAAGUGUCUAUACUCCACCUCACCAAAAGACACACAAUGCACUGCUAAUGCAUCCUAACCCACUAUGCAUGCAAGCAAUUACACCAAGUAAUUCUAAUGUCUCAAAUUCAUGCAAAUGCACAUAUCAAACACAUUGAAAUGUAGCAGAUAAUCAUGCAAGAAAUUUUAGACAAUCACACAUAUGUAGAAAGGAUCACACACAGAUACAUAUGCAGUGACUAGGUUUACACUUAAUAAACCUCACUGGGGUCAUAACUCGACCCCUCAACCAAAUUCAUCUCACCUCUCAUCUUUUCCUUCAGCUUAUCUUUCUUCUUGGGACAGUCCCUAAUAAAGUGUCCAAACUUACCACAACUGUAACACCUUCUAUCACUAGACUUGUCUCGUCCCUUGCCCUUCUUCUUACUACCCUCAUCACUCGAGUCGCUACUCGAAUCACUACCAUCUUGAGUUCUACCCAAAUUCAUUUGCUUAAACUUCAUCCUACUCCUCAUCAUAUGUAACUCGCCACUCCUCUUAUCCUCUUUUUCAGCCUUAAUCUCCAUCUCCUUACUCCUAACUGAGUCUAUGACAAUCUCGGUUGUUAAGGUAUCCCUACCAUACUUAAUUGCAUUCUUAACUUCCCUAUAUGAAUCAGGCAUGGAAUUAAGCAGGAUAAUAGCUUUAUACGUUUCAGAUACCUCUUCAUCACAAUUAACGAUGUCUUGAACUAAUUUGUUAAAGACAUCCAGAUUAUCAUCAAGAUCCUUUGAAGGAUCCAUUUUAAAGCUGAAAAAUCGUUCAAGCAAAUACAAUUUAUUAGGAGUUGACUUAAGCAAAUAUAAAUCCUCCAACUUUUCCCAAAGUUGUUUUGCAGAAUCAAGUUUUCCUACUUUUCUCAAAACAGUAUCAGAUAGGUGUAAAAUAAUUGAACUGUAUGCAAGUUCAUCAUACUCUUCUUUUUGUACUUCUGUUAAAUUUGCAGAAAAUUAGCCAUCUAUGGCUUUUGAAACUUUUUGUUGGACCAAAAUACCCUUCAUCUUUUGUUGCCAAAUUGAAAAAUCCCCUUUCCCAUUAAAAAUUCCAACUUCAAAGCGUGAAGACAUUUUUAAAAAACUAGAACAACCAAAAGCACAGAUAGGUCACACAAAGUUAUCCUACGGCCACAAUAUACAUCAUUCUAGAUUUUCAGGGUUUCGUAAGAUUCAUGAUCUUAGAUCAAGGAAAUUUUCGAACGGGUAAAGUCCAGGUGUUCUAAUAGGAAAAUCAAUGCAACACGAAGGUAUGUAAACAAAAGUUCGAAUUUCCACGCAACAAGUCUCACACAGUAACUAUAUGACAGGUAAAGCACAAAAUCAACUGUCAACUUGCAAUCAAAACUCAACACUUCAAAAACAGAGCAAAUAAUUCCUAAAUUUUCUAGCACAAGCAAUGGUUGCCAAGCAAUGACAACCCCCAAUCCUAACGAUCACCCCACAAGAUCAUCUGCUAAUGCUGAAAUUUAAACUAAGUUAAGCCAAUAUACCAGAACGGACUAUCUGAGUCCGUAAAUUAUGAGAGUUGCGAAUUUAUCACUUUAGGACCAUCACUAUUCGUCCUAAAGUCUCUGGAAACUGCAGCAACCAAAAAAUCACGAUCGAGUCCCGAACGCCCGAAGAACAAUGUUGUCCAGAUUCUUCUGCGUACCCUGAAACUAAAAAACGCGCCGACCUGCAAGGUUUACCUCCUCUUGCACAUCACGCCAGUGGUCUCCGUUUCCCCAAACCCCUUCUGGAUUGAUCAGAAAAUGCGAAAAAUGAAGACUAAUUUAAACAGUUUUUGGACAGCUUCUUCAAUCUGAUUUUUGCUGCGUUUCUGCCUAUUUUCUGGACGAUUUCUAGUAAAUAUCACGAGCCAAAACCUUCACCUUGAAGCUCUGAUAUCAAUUGUUGCGGAAGCUCUCUCAAAAGGAUCUUCAAAUGGUGGUUUUCCAGGCUCAGUCCAACAUACCUUUCUCUACCAACAACCAAUCCGAACGGCUCCAAACCACAACCAAUUGAUUCACCUUGGUUGCUAUUCAAUCUUACCCACGUAGGACAAGAAAGGAUGAUGAUUUAUUGCCACAAAGUCUAAGAAAAGACAUCACAAAGGUAUACUAUGAAAGAACCACCAAUUGCACACGUUACACCAGCGUUCUGGACACUUCUGGAUACCUUUUUUCUCACCCAAAAUGGGGCAGCCGGGAUUCUCUUGUUUCUUCUCUCAAAAUCACACAAUCAUCAUAUCAAAGUGGCUAGGGUUAUAGCCAAAUAUAUAUUCUAGGGUUAGGCUUUAAGUUGGGCCAAUAAAGGGGUAAACACGCCAAGAUUCAAAUCAUCCAUAAGGAAUACAAUUGGGCCGGGUAUAGCUCAUGGACUUGAUUAUUAGACUUAUUUCAUUCAUCGGUCUAUGUCUAUAAAAUAAUAUUAACCCACGUUAACAUCAUAGCCAGGGAUUUAUUGGGUAUCAAAAACCCAACAGGGCUUUUCAGACUCAGGAUGCAAGCUGAUGGGAACCUAGUGCAAUACCCUGCAGAACCUAAUGUCAUGUCAUCUGAUGCUUACUAUUCAACACAAACCUUUGGACAGGGCAGUAGUGUAUCAUUGAAUCUUGAUAAUAAUGGCCAUCUUUAUUUGUUCGAUGGAAUCUCCGUUAUAUUCAAUUUAUCAAUGGGACAAUAUCGAACAGGAACUAUCUACCUCAUCCUCAUGAGAAUUGAUGUGGAUGGUAUUUUUUGUGUAUAUAAUCGCUCGUUGGAUCGUCAAGGCAACUGGGCUAUAGAAUGGUUCUCCAAUGAAGAUAAAUGUGUCCCAAAGGGUGUAUGCCCAAUAAAUAGUUUCUGUUCUAUGGCGAAUGGGAAUACAAGUUGUAAAUGUCUUCCAGGAUUUUUACAAGUUAUUCCAGGAAACUAGAGCUUAGGAUGUGAGAGGAAUUUUUCCAUGGAAAGUUGUAAAAACAAGGAUCAAAAUGUCAAUUAUAGAAUGAGAUCCCUGGAUAACACAGUGUGGGAAGACACUGAUUAUGAUAUUAUAGAAGAUAUGAAGACUAAAGAAGAUUGUGAAAAUGCUUGUUUGGGGGACUGCAAUUGUGAUGCCGCUUUCUUUAAAGAUGGAAUCUGCAGAAAGCAAAAGCUUCCAUUGAGAUACGGAAGAAGAUUGCAGGGUGGUUCAAAUGUUGCUCUUAUCAAGGUGGCCACACGUUCAUCUUUCACACAGGGAGUUCCAAAUAAUUCAGUUAAUGAAGUCGUGAAAGAACGUCAUCUAAACAACUUCUUAAUCAUCAGCAUUUCGCUUGUUGCUUUGGCUGCAUUGAUCUUGGCAAUUUCUUGGGUUUAUGUCCGCCGAAAUCAUGUUGGAACCUAUAUGAUUUCCAACAAUAGAAAUGUUGAAAUGAUUGAUGACGUUGGUUUACGAGCAUUUACUUAUGCAGAACUUGUGCAAGCCACAAAUGAAUUCGAAGAAGAGCUUGGUAGAGGAGCAUGUGGCACAGUUUACAAAGGGAUUCUAUCAAACAACAAAAUUAUUGUGGCUGUGAAGAAGCUCGAGAAAGACUUGGCAGGAAUGAGAGAGUUUCAAACUGAGAUGAAGGUGAUAGGGAAAACACAUCAUCAUAAUCUUGUCCGACCAGGGCUGGUCCUGUGGCGAGGCCCAUGAGGCCUACGCCUCAGGGCCAAACCGGAUGGGGGCCUCAUUUUCGCCCAGAUUUUUUUUUUAUGGACUUAAAGUCGAAUGGAAAUUUUUUUUAUCAUUCCCUUUCCCUUCUGUUGCCAUUGCUCCGCUCCCUCCGCCUACCUACGACAUCGACAACGGACCUCCAAGUUUCCAACUGGACAAGCGGCAGCGGGGCAGCGUCCAAGCGAUUAUUGAGCUUUCAUGUAGGGUUUUAUCUUUUCCCAAUUGAAUUAAAACCCCCAAAUCCCUGAAAUCAAAAAAAUCCCCAAAUCGAUUUCUGUUGAAGCUUCACUCUAAAACCCCCCAAAUCCUUCAAAUUUCUCGAUUGGUUUCAAGAAGCCGGCUGCUCUCUCAUAUUCAACUUUUUCAAACACUGCAGUUGGGGGUGGUUCUAGGAUUGGUUCUAGCUCUUAUCCUCGGAAUCGGAUUACAUGUUGGAGCAAGAUUAUUUACCAAAGAUAUUGACGUCCUCUACCUUAUUGGCAUUGGAAUCUAGGUACUCUGUCUGCCGGUCUGCCCUGACAACUUGAACUCACCAUUAGAAAUCCAUUUAGCUAUUUCCAAAAAAAAGAAGAUAAAAUGUGAACUAACUGAUUCUUGUGAUAUCAGUUUGUUGCAGCAACUUGGGUGAGCUAUGAGUAAUUAUAAAUUAAACAUAUUAAAAAACUUGGCUGCUGUAAUUAUAAAUAAUGAAGUACAAAUCUUUUUUAAUUGUUAUUUACAUGCCAACGAUGGAUAUAUAAGACAUUGGCAGCUCAACCAUAAAUAACAAAUUAAAAGGUAAAAUAAAAUCAUGGACACCUUUUCCUUUAAUGCCACAAUUUAUAUACGAUAUAUCUAUAAAAAUAAAUAAUUAAAUAGUAGAUAAUUUCAAUUGAAGACACAGACACUCCACGAACAGUAGAAGUAUAUAUUUUCUGCAGUAGAUGACUGAAUUUAUUUUAACUUUUUUUUGUAUGAUUUUAAGAAUAAGCAGAUUAAAAAACUGAGAGAAUUGACAUCUGAAGAGUUGUAUAUAAGUAUAUUGGUGCCUUUUUCAUAGCAUUAUUCUUAAUAACUUGCAUAUUUCCAGCUCUCAAUGAUCAUCCUAAAGUGGCGUUACCCUUUUGACAACUUGUGAUAAUUAUAAUCGUCGAUUUAUUUUGUGUGGGGUUUAAUAUCGCAAUUUGUUGCAAAAUGGGAACCAUGUAACUAUUAAAAGCAUGUUUCUGUAUGCUCAAACAUGCUCUAAAUGACUUGGUACAUGGACUUCUCUGUCUGUUUCAGAGUGUUUGAUUUAUGCCUGCAAAAAGAUUUUCUCAGUGAUAGGAUGAAGUUUCAGGUUUCCCUCUACUUAUAAGUACCAAAAAGGUCACUAUUCCAACUAGUAAUUCACUUCAACUCACUCAUAACAGGUUGAUCUAAGUGAAGAUUUCCCCUUUGUGAUCCUGGUGGUAUAAGAAGAAGAGUAAAAUAUCAGUACAAAAUUAUUAUUUUUCAAGACAAGUAUAAUUAAAAUUCAGAUCUAUUUUAUUUUAUCAAAUAACUUGAAAUAUAUUAGAAUGUGUUAACUAAAUUAUGUAAUAUUAAUUCAUAUAGACAUCCAUAGUGGAAAAUGCAGUGACUAUUGACUACAAACAAGACAAAUACUUUAAUGAUCAACGUUAGUGAAUUAUGAGCAUGUAAUCGCAAUGAAUACAUUGAAUGCAAAUUUCUAAAUCAAGUGAAUGAUCAAGUGUAUGAUUUGAGGAUGGCAACCUAUAAUUUUAUACUCGCAAUAAAAAUGAAUGCAAAUCAUUAAAUUAUAUGUUUUGCACAUGUGAAUGUGAUAAAUAAGAAUAACGUUAUCCAUAGUCAGCGACUACCAGUAAUCAUUCUAUUUAGUAAGUUAUUAUUUGAUGCCCUGUGUGCAUAAUGUUUCUUAUGUAUUAUGUCACCCUUUAUUGCUCUAAGGAUUAGGGCUCUACCCAUUUAAUAUUUACUGGAGCAACUUGGGUGACCUACCCGUCCACAAUUUAAGUGGACUUUUGUCCACUGUUGAGGAGAGAUACCAAGAUAUUUAAGUUGCUUUCCUCAUUGGCUCUCGGUUGCAUGAUUCUUUGUGGUUCAACUUUGUGCCUCUUGCUCUAGCAUUAUAAAAACCUUUUGCUAGUUUUCUGAAACAAAAACUACUCGAUUUUCUGAAGGAGUGGGGAGCUGGACAUUAAACCAUUAAAGGCUUGAUAUUUACUCCCCUUGCAUUCAAUUAAGUGAAUUGCUUAAGAGUCUGCUGUUUAUUUUUAUAUAUUUUUAAUUUUUUUUCCCUUUGACAGUGAGUUGUAGCAUCUGCUCUGUGCUAUUACUUGGUCAAAUAAGAUUCUAGUCCCUACCUUGGUUUCCUUGUAUAUGCUGCCAGCUGCUUCAACCUGUUUUCUCGACGUUGCUAUCACAAAUUUUCCUUGGAAGCCACAUUUAUUUGGGAGGUAACAUACUAAAAUUUCCUAUGCAUUUUUGCUUUUAGUGCUAAUAUAUUCAAUUUGAUGAUCAUGUUAAUAUACGUAAUAGCGUUUGAUGUGAAAUUUUUGUUUCAGGGUCAGGAGUUGUGAGUCUUGUGACAGUGAAAUUCUUGAAGGUGUAACUCCACAGUUUUCGUUGAAAUUCUACUUGUCAGGUAAGCAAUGGCUUGUCUUAAUUUGUUAUUGAAGAAAUUGAAAAUGUUUGAAGCCUUGUCGGCUUAUAUAAUUGUGGCCUGGUCGGCUUAUAUGAUUGAUUAUUAGAGGAUCAACAAUUGCACAUGCGCACAUAAUAACUAUAUUGAAAACUCUAACUGUGUGAUGAUUUGAGAUAUUUUGUAAUUAUUUUUUAGGUUACUCAUUGGGCAUCAGAUAUAGACUCAUACACCAUGCCUCCUAAAUAUGAGUCUAGUGCUCAAAAGAGAAAAAGGAAACGAAAUGAAAUUUCAUUAAUUCAAAGUCAAGUUGGGGAUAUUGACAAGUACUUUAAAAGCAACAAUGUGAAUACGUUGAAUGAGGAUGAAGUAGAGAUUCAACCUGCAUGUGUUAACGAAGUAGAUGAUAAGGAUGAAGAAGUGAGUGAACCUGCCUACGUUAAUGUAGCAGAUGAUAAGGAAGAAGAGGUAAAGAAACCUGCAUGUGUUAAUGAAGUAGAUGACAAGGAAGAAGAGGGUUGCUUUUCUCUAAAUUUGGAUGAUCCCGGGAAUUGGAAAAUCAUUGAUCAGAGAACAAGGGAUUACUUAGUUGAAAGGGGUCCAAAAAGAGUUGAUGACAUAUCGUUUCCGAAAGAUUGUACAAAUAGGCAUUUUGAUUCUUCACAAUAUAAGCGAUUGCUACGAAAUGGGCAAACAAUUGAUAGACGAUGGCUAGUAUAUUUAAUAUCUAUGGACAAGAUCUUUUGCUUUUGUUGCAAGUUGUUUAAAACACCCAAAAAUGUUACCAGAGUUGGCCAACUUGGUAACGAUGGAUUCAAAGAUUGGCAUAAUUUGCAUCGGUCUAUUAAAAGUCAUGAAGGAAAUGAAGAGCAUUUAUGUUGCAUGACUAGUUGGAUUGAAUUGGAAAAUAGGCUUCAAACAAAAACUGCAAUUGAUAAAGGCGUUGAAUUGUUGAUCGAUGCGAAAAGAGAACAUUGGAGGCAUGUAUUAACAAGGAUAAUCACUAUUGUAAAAAGAGUCGCCAAAAACACAUUGCCAUUUCGAGGAGAUUAUGAGAGGCUAAAUGUUGAGAACAAUGGUCUGUUUUUACAAAUGGUGAAAAUGGUUAGUGAAUUUGAUCCAAUAAUGAAAGAGCACCUUCGACGGGCUAAUGCAAAAGAGAUUCAAUACACGUAUCUUGGCAAAAAAAUCCAAAAUGAGUUGAUACAGUUGUUGGCUAAUGAGGUGAGAAGUGCAAUUGUCAAGAAAGUUAAACGUGCAAAAUAUUUUGCAAUUAUACUUGAUUGUACUCCAGAUGCAAGUCAGGAGGAGCAGAUGUCAUUAAUAGUACAAUUUGUAGAUGAUUCGGUAAAUUUACCUACAGUUGAAGAACAUUGGCUUGAAUUUUUGAAGGUAGAUGACACUACGGGACUUGGACUUACAACCGAGCUUCAAAAGGCUUUGAUCAAACUCGAUCUGGAUAUUGACGACAUUAGAGGGCAAGGGUAUGAUAACGGAUCUAACAUGAGAGGGAAGCACAAAGGUGUGCAAAGAAGAAUACAUGAAAUAAAUCCCCGUGCUUUCUAUACUCCAUGUGGCGCUCAUAGUCUAAAUCUAGCGUUAUGUGAUAUGGUGAAUUGUUGUUCCAAAGCUGUAUCCUUCUUUGGAGUGAUACAACGCAUCUACACUUUGUUUUCAUCUUCUACCAAGAGAUGGCAAAUUUUUAAAGAUAAUGUAAAAGGGUUGACAGUGAAGCCGUUGUCACAAACACAUUGGGAAAGUCAUGUUGAGAGUGUGAAGCCUAUAAUGGAGCAAACUGCACAGAUAAGAGAAGCAUUACUUGAUUUGGCAGAAACUAACGAGGAUCCUAAAGUAAAGAGUGAAGCCGAGUCGUUGGCAACACAUGAACUUCAGAAUUUUGAGUUCUUGCUUGGCAUGGUAAUCUGGUACAGGUUGUUGCAUGCAAUUAAUAUUGUGAGUAAAUUUCUUCAAACUGAAUCCAUGGAUAUUGAUCAUGCUAUCGACCUAUUGCAAGGACUUGUUUCAUUUCUUGAAAAUUAUAGAGAAAUUGGAUUUGCCAUUGCCAUGGAUGAAGCGAUAAAAAAGGCAAACGAAAUGGGAAUUGAAGCUGUAUUUACAGAAAAACGCAUAAUUCGAAGAAAAAAACAAUUUGAUGAAAACUGUAGUAAUGAGGUAAAGCAAUCAGCAGAAGAAUCUUUUAGAGUUGAGUACUUUAUUUUUAUAAUUGAUCAAGCUCUAUCUUCUCUGAGAACUCGAUUUGAACAAUUCAAACAAUAUGAUGUUAUAUUUGGAUUUUUGUUUAAUUUGAAGAGGUUAAGGAGUGAAACUCUAUCAAGUUUUUUGAACUCUUGUAUGAAUCUUGAGAAAUAUCUUGAACAUAAUGGGCUUUCGGACAUCAGUGGAGAUGAUUUAUGUUCGGAGUUACAAGUUUUUAAGAUUUAUUUACCAAAUGAAGCAACAAGAGCAAUUGAAGUGCUACACUAUUUGAAGACAUUGGAUGUUUGUUUCCCAAAUGCUUAUAUUGCUUACAAAAUUUUGUUACCGUACUGGUUACAGUUGCAUCUGCGGAAAGAAGUUUCUCGAAAUUGAAGUUGAUCAAGACCUAUCUCCAAUCAACUAUGUCACAAGAAAGAUUAAACGGGUUGGCUAUGUUAUCAAUAGAAAAAGAAAUGGUUGAGCAGCUAAGUUAUUCAAAUUUGAUUGAUGUUUUUGCCUCUAAAACAGCAAGACGAAUAGUAUUUAACUAAUUGUUUGAAAUUUUUGGUUCGAUGGUUUAUAAUAUAAACCGUUUCUAUGAUAUAUUUCAUGGUUGUUUUAAUGUUAGUUUUUUAAGUUAGCAAUAAGUCACAUAAUACACCUUUGAAUUUUGUCGUGGGGGGCCUAAUUUUCAUCGGCAGCCUCAGGGCCCAUCAAACACAAGACCGGCUCUGUGUCCGACUUCUUGGUUACUGCUUUGAAGGAUCCGUGUCGCUUUUGGUAUAUGAAUACAUGAGCAAUGGAUCACUUGCAGAUAUACUUUUCAAUCCCGAAAGUCGGCCAUGCUGGGAAGAGAGAAUUAGAAUUUCUCUUGAUAUUGCCAGAGGCAUCCUCUACUUGCACGAGGAGUGUGAGACACGGAUCAUUCAUUGUGAUAUUAAACCGCAAAACAUUCUCAUGGAUGAGCACAGGUGUGCAAAGAUUUCCAACUUUGGAUUGGCAAAACUCUUAAUGCUAGAUCAAACAUACACCAAUAUAGGGAUCAGAGGAACAAGGGGUUAUGUUACCCCAGAGUGGCACAUGAAUUUACCUAUAACAGUCAAAGCAGAUGUUUACAGCUUUGGAGUCGUGCUCCUAGAAAUCAUAUGUUGCCGAAGAAGUGUUGAUCGAAGACUCCCUGAGAAUGAAGCUAUUCUUCAAGAAUGGGUUUACAACGGAAAUAUGUGCCCAAGUUUAGAAAUUCUAAACUUAUAAAUACUAACAUUAAUUUUCAUUUAAAAAAUAAAUGGAGCAGUAUAAAUAAAAUUGAAUAAUGACGAGUGUGUUUUAUUCACAAGUUUUAUUCCAUUGUAAACUUGAUUGUGAGCUAGAUUUUAUGAGGUAGAAAUGUUGAGAUGGUGAAAGAUACAAAACAAUUCAUCAAAUAAAGCUAUUGGCGUGGACUGAGAAGAAAUGAUGGAAGAAAGGGCAAAAGAGUUCAAGCAUAAGGAGAACGGACGAGGGUCGCCACAACGCCACCGUGUGAACAAAGCUGUGGCAUCGCGGCACCACACAACAGGCACUGAGGCCCCACAGAAAGCCAAGACCCUACUUGUGACACAAAUGAGGAGGCAACUAUAAAUACAAGUUUCCAUAUUUUUGAAGGGACUUCACACUUUGAGAAGAGGAGAACACAACUAGAGAAUCAAAGAAGCAAUUCAAUGCAGGAAAACAUCAAGAAAUUCAUUGUUUGAAGCAUUGAUUGGAAAAGGAAGAAGAUUUGGUUCAAGAUUGACUUCUUUUUCUACAUCUUUACUAAAAAUCUGGCGAUGUAUUCAGUAAUGAUCUAUUAUUUUUCCUCUUUUAUUAUGAACAGCUAAAAUUCUUAUUAGGACGAAUAAUGUAACCUACUUGGGACCAUUUAUUUCUUUUAUUCAAGAUUCUUGUUCUUUUAUCUGUUAUGCGUUGAUUUUGCUAUGAAUUUAAUGCAUUGAAUUACUUGAUCAUUAAUUCGAUGAUUUUGUGAAUCUUUUAUGAAUCGGGAGGUGAGUUUAGGAUUUAGACCAUAUAGUAAAAUUCGGUAAAUUGGUAUGAUGUGUAGAGAUACGUAUGCUGAUUAUUGUGGUCAUAAAUGAAUUCUUAGAACCAAGAUUUCAUUUAAGGUUAAUUUGUAUAGAGAUAUGAAAUUGAAUUAAUUAAAUAGACUCAAUAGGAACUUGAAAGAAAUAAAUUGAAUAUAAUAGGAGAAUUUAAUCGAACACUACAUUAAAUUUUGAAUCUUGAUUUAAGACUUAAAUGUGAUUAAUAGGUGAAAUUGUUCUGUUCUAAUAUUUGUUCAUUAUUUAAUUUCAAAAAUCAAUCAUUGUAUGCAUCCACAUAUUUUUACUAUUUAGAUUAAAAAUCAAAGCAUGCAAAUCUUUGUUUGCCUUGUCGAAUUGUAGUUAGAAUGAAAUUAGAUUAAGUGCUAAAGUAUAGUUCUUGUGGGAACUAUAAUCCAGACUCCAAGGUCCAUUGUACUACUUGUUAUGACCCGUAUACUUGCAAGAUAUAAAAUCGCAACAAAUAACAUAAAUUAAACUUAACUGACAUCAUCAUUUGUGAAAUUUAUAAAAUCAUAGACAAUUGAUUAAAGAAAAUUACAUAGUCCAGAAUGAUUUAUUUAUAAUAAUUCAAUAAAUUUUCAAAAGGUCUCAAAUUAUCUUAUUAGAGUAGAAAUAUAACAUUUAACUCGGACAGUACUGAAUCCAUCUCGUCUCCUAUCAUUUAGCUCUCAUCAUUUGAAAAUAUAGUGAUGACCUGGAAUAAGCUGACGCUCAAUAAGAAAACCCUAUGCAUAUGAUAUGCAUAUACAUUACUUAAAAUAAAUAGUUUUUGUAUUAUGUGUUCCCUUUCAUUUCAUUUGUUUAAAAACAUUAAUAUUGACAUUAGGAUCUCACUUGGUGUAUCACCUAGCCAAUCAAAAUGUAGUGGGCAAAUAUUAGUUGAAAUUCGAUUCGUCCUAUUGGUGUAUUGCAAAACGGUUAACAUUAACGUCAUCAUUGAGCAUUGAACAUUGGUUGGAUACUCCAAUCCCCACACCCCAUUUCCCACUCACAUUUCAUGGCAUAUAUAUACAUCUCAUAAUAAAAAUAUCUGGGAUACAUAUCUUAAAAAAUAUUAUUUGACUCAUGACAUUUGGAACUUUUUAUUCCUUGAAACUUCAUUUAUGCUUACGGAUUUAUUGACGUGCAUGAAUAUAUCAUGAAAAGCAUUAAUGACAUAAAAGUUAAUAAUCAAAUAUCAAGUUCACAUAAUAACAAAUAUAGGCAAUACAUAUAUACAUUUAAUGAUAUAAUGUACGCAUGAAUCCAAUGGAAGGUUUACUUACCUAAAAUUCGUGAAAAAUAAACUUUUAGAAUAGUAUGUGGAGACAUUCCAAGUCGCUCACAAAGUCAAUGUGCCGAAAUCCUAAUUCACUACCAUUUAUUUAGAAGUUUUGACAAAACUUUCUCUUUAAUUAUGAACUUAUAACAUUGUCCUAUUAGUUUAUUUAAUAGUAUCAUUAUAGAACCUUACUUAAAAAGUGUUAAUUUAAAUAAAAAUUCAAAAGUAAAACCCACUAUAAAAGACAUCAUUAACCAAAAUAAGUACUUGUAAUUCAAUAAUCGCUAAACUAAUAAUCCAUUAUUCUACUAAUUCAAGAAUUAUAUACAUGUGGAUAAGAAACAGUUAUACAUAUGGACACGUACAUUAAUAUAUACAUACAAUGUCAUUUAUUUUAACAUAUACACAAAAAAUUGGGCAUAGGGCAUCUAAAUAAAGUGUGAGCCGGAUUAUAUAUGUAGAGAUCGGAUUCCAUUAGAAUUAUAUUUCAUGACGGGCAAAUAUGGAAUUAUGAUCCCCAAUUCAUAUCCAACUUCUCAUUCUUUGUGUCAUCAACACAAGAAUACAAUAGAAAGCAUAUUGAAGAGGAAGAUACAAAAUCCAAAAUCAAGAAUUAAGAUUGUGGAUCAAGAAUCAAACUCAAAGACAAGAAUUUAGAAUCAAAGGGGACAAAACUAAAGAUUAAAAAUGAAGAAGCCAAACAUGAAGAGAUUGCAGUAAAUCUUCAAGAUUCAAGAUCCAGUAAUAAAGAAUCAUUCUCAAUGAAUUAAGGUAUGUUCCACACUUUAUAAUUCUUUGUAAUUUGACAUGGAGGAUUUUGGCAAUAAAAUAAUUAGGUUUUCAUAAAAUUAAGAUUUAACGUUUCAUAAAAUUUCAAAAAAUGGUAUUAGAGCCUACUUCAUGUUAAACCAUUCGAAUUAAAGGAAGAAUUUUGUGGUUAAAAUUCAUAUAUUGAGUUCUGAAAUAUUUUAGUUUAGAAUAUAAAUUUUAAACCAUAAAUUUCAAAAUUCAGAAUUAUUCAAGAAGAAAAUUUUAGGGUUGAAAUUCAUAAUUAAUGUUUUAUAUAAAAAAAAAAAAAUUUCAGAUGUGAAUUUCAAACCCCAUACAUCUAAAUUCUAGGUUCAAGUUAAUUUUUUUCGGCAUUAAAGAAACACCACAGCCGUGGCGCCCAAAUGCGACGCUGCAACGUCGCGAUUCGAAAAAAGACAGUGCCUAGACAUGCUGUGAACAUAGCGCCCAUGGCCUAUGCGGGGCCCAAUAUUGGACACUACAACGCUUGUUUGCUACAGAUAAAAUUAUUACUAUUUUUUUUGGGGUUAGAAACAAAUAAUAAUAAUAAUAAUAAUAAUAAUAAUAAUAAUAAUAAUAAUAUCAUCAAGGGGCAAUCAAUUUCAAAUUUUGGUAUUUAAAGUUUUUUCACAUUACUAAUUUUCUAAAAUAGAUUGGUUGAAGCAACAUGUUACCAAAGUAAUCUCUCUUGCCUAAAUUAAUUUAUUUGGAAUAUUAGGAAGAUUGUGUAUACGUAAUUCAUGUGGAUAUUCGCUAGCCCAAAGGAAGGUCAAUAUUUGUUAGAAUUAUUUAUACACCUGUGGUAAUAAAUAUGUGACAAUUGUAAAGUUUUCUAUUAUGUGAACAUUGAGUCGGUCCAAAGACAAACUUGAUGUUUGACCAGAUUUAUUGUCAAUAUUUGAUUACUUCACCAAAAAUACCGCUUACAAGUUGAUAUUUCUGUCCAAAAACUAAAUAUCAAUAUUGUGCUCAAUUUCUUAUGAUGGGGCUCACCAUUAUUUGAAAUUAUUGAUUGUUCAAUACACAUUCCCAUGUGAACAUGUUAUUUAGGUUUAUCUUCUCUAUUUGGUUAAUCCAUCUACUUCUACAAUAUCUGCCAAUAUCAAUAUAAUUCAUGUGUUUGAUCCAAAGUUUAAGGGCUGGAAAAGAACGUUUGCAUCAUUCUUGAUGGCAUGGAUCUAGACCUUGUGUUAAGAACUAAACAAUCUACUACUCUUACGAAUAAGGAUUCCGCUAAUAAAAUGGGACUCGAAUAAGUGUGGUCGUUUAAGCUACAUAAGUAUUAUGAUCAUGAAGCAUAAAAUUCAAGAAAAUUUAGGGGCAAUGUGUUCAGUAAGGUAGCUACCAAGAAAUUUCUUAAAGAAUUAUUUCAAAAUGCUUUGCGAAAAAAAUGAUAAGGUCGAAACUAGUACGUUUUUGGCAAACUAGGUUUCAUAAGGCUAAAGAAAAUAUACGAGAGUACAUCAUGGAUGUGUCUCAUCUUGUUUUAAAACCAACUGCACUAAAGUUUAAGAUAUCUGAUGACUUUCUAAUGGAUAUGGUUUUGCUUUCUCUUUCUACACAAUUUGGCUAAUUUAAAGUCAAUUAUAGUUGUCAAAAGGAGAAGUCAUCUCUUAAUGAACUCAUUUCAUAUUGUGUGCAAGAAGAAGAAAGUUUAAAGCAAGAGAGAACUGGAAGUAUUCAUUUGGCAAGUACCUCUAAGGACAAGUGAAAGAAUAAGAAAACUGCAUCUAAUUCGGUUCAAAAGAACAUCAAACACCUUAAAAUGAUAAAUCAUCUAGCUGUUACUUUUUUGAAAAUCUGGGACAUUUUAUAUAGAUUAUACUAAAUAUCAUGCUUGGCGGGUAAAGAAAGUACACGUUCACUUUGGUUUGUUCUAUGGUUAAUUUAACUUGAAUACCAAGACACAUUUGGUGGAUAAAUUUUGGUGUCACUACUUAUAUAAGUGUCUAUGCGGGGUUGCCUAAACUGUCAAAAGCCACUUGAUGUUGAAAGAUUCAUCUAUGUGGGACGAUGGCAAAUCAGUUAAAGUUGAGGCUAUAAGGAUUUUUAGGUUAUUAUUAAAAAUUGGUUAUUAUUUGAAUUUGAAAGAGACAUUAUACGAAAUUUGGUUUCUGUUUCUACAUUAAAAAAAUUCGGUUACUUUUAUUCAAUUGAAAAUAGUAAGUUCAGUCUUUUUCUUAAGUCAAAUAUUAUGGAUACUAGACCCUUACCUAGUUAUGAUAACCUAUAUCUACUUAAUACGUUUACCUCUUAUAAAGAAGCCUUGCUUGUGAAUUCAUGUGGUAUUAAACAUAAAUUAACCAAUGAAAAUUCCGUUUUGUUCUAACAUAAGCGAUUUAAUCACAUCUUUCAAAAGAGAAUGAAAAGUCUUAUGUCAGAACGAAUUCUUGAUUUCCUUAAUUUUUUGAACUCAAGUAUUUAUGUAAUCACAUUAAGGAAAAACAAAAAAAUAUAUAAGGAGAUUAGGUACAAAUAGAAUUUCGAACGUUUUAGAACUAAUUUAUACGGAUAUCUGUGAGCCAUUUCCUUUUAUUUCUCAGAUUGAUCAAUAGUAAUUUAUUAUGUUAAUAGACAAAUUUUUCUCACUAUGGCUAACUAUAUCUGGUCUAUGAGAAAUCCCAAACAUUGGACAUGUUCAAGGCUUAUAACAUUGAGAUUGAAAAUCAAAUCAGCAAAAGAAUGAAACAAGUCAGAUCUUACCAUAGUGGUGAGUACUAUAACAGAUAUGAUGGAUUAGGAGAACAAUGUCCAGGGCUUUGCUAAAUUCCUAGAGGAAUGUGGAAUUGUCCCACACUACACCAAAAUCUUUCUAGGUUGAAGCGCUAAAGACUGCAACUUGAAUUUACAAUAAAGUUUCAAGUAAAGCAAUUAUUAAGGGUUACAAAUUUUAAAGAUCAAACUAUUAAGUCAAUUUUCGAAACGAAAAAUGCCAAUUUCUUUGAGAAUGUAGAGUUUGCCGAGGGGAGAUAAGGUUAGAGAUUUUGUUUUUGAGGAGGAAUAUAUAAAUAUUUCUUUUGUUGCAAUUGACUAUGAUCUAGACUAGGGAUAAAUUCUUGCUUGAGAACAUAUUUAAUAAGCAAUUUCAGAUCAAGACAAUAUUAUAAAAUCUCUCAUACACAAUCAAAAGAUUAUUUCAGAAGAACAAACUCAACAACCUCAAGAACAAAUGUCAUUAAGAAAAUCCACUAAAGAAAAGAAAAAGGCAAUUUGAAUAAUUUUAUAGUCUUUCUCCAGGAAAAUAAGAAUGGUAUUAUAUUGGUGGAAAAAGAUCUGAUCAAACAACUUUAAUCAUGCAAUACAAAAGAAUCAUUCUUAAGAAUGGAUUGAUUCCUUGAAUACUCUUUUAGGACUGUUAUGGCAUUUGAUCUUAAACUACAUAUAAUGGUUUAUAAAUUAAAGAAAUACAUAUGUGGGCUUAAGCAGGUUUCUCGUCAAUGGUAUCACAAAUUUUAUCAAAUAAUUAUCUUGUUUGAUUUUUUAGAUGAAUUCAGAUGAUGAUUGUGUAUAUCAUAAGUUCAAUGGGAGAUAACAUAUUUUUUGGUAUUGGAUGUCAAUGACAUACUAUUUGCCUGCAAUGGUAAAAGACUAUUGAAUAAAACAAGAAAUUUCUGUUAUGAAAUUUUGAAAUAAGAGAUUUUGGUGACCCUCUUUUGUGUCAAGAAUACAAAUACGUUGGAAUGAUUCUCGGGGUAUAUUUGGAUUGUUACAAAAGAGUUAUAUCGAUAAAGUUUUAAAGGAUUUCGAAUGUAGGUAUAUAAACCAUAUCCCUAUUACUAAGGGAGACAACUUUAGUCUAAUUAAUGCCGCCUUUGCUUGAGCAAUUGUAUGUUUAAUGUAUGCUAAUGUUUGCAUACGUCCGAAUAUGGUAUUCAUUGGUUGCAUGCUAGGUAGAUAUUUAAUAACUCUGGGACGGAUAUCUAGAAAGUAGCCAAUUAAUAUAUUCGGUAUUUUAAAGAGAACUAAAGAUCACAUGAUCACAUUUAGAAAAUCAGACCAAUUGGAGAUCAUUGGAUAUUCUAAUUUUGAUCAUGGAAUAUGACGGCAAAAUGUUGUCACUAGGUUGUAUAUUUUGGAUGAAUUUGUAAGACCACUUUAGUCAUUUGUGACAAUAGAAGUAUUGUAUUCUAACAGGAGCUCGAUGAUGUCGAAGUUUAUAGACAUUAAGUUUCCUAGUUGUCGAGAAAAUAAUUUUGAGUGUUCAGGUUUCAAUGGAAUAGUUAGGACAAACUCUAUAAUUGGUAUCCACUUACUAAGGGGCUAUCACCCAAGGUCUUUCAUGAUCGUAUUGCUCAUAUGAGUGUUGCAUCUUUUGAUGAUAUUCCAAUUUAGUAGGAGUUUGUAUUUGGAUGUUGUCUAUUUUGGACACAUAAUUCUAUCCAUGGAUAUUGGUUUAUUUUAGAAAUAAAGAAUCCAGUUCAGUUUUACUCUGAUUAAAGUUUUGGUUUGAUCUCAUAAGGUAGGACCAGUUGGAAAUAGGCAUGUUUAGAUUACAUUACAUAUAAUUUCCUUGCUACACCUCUACACUUGAUUUGUGUCGUUUGAUUGUAUUUAUAUAAGUGACUAUUGAGGGUUUAGUUAUGAUAAUUAUGACAUAUACCGCUUUAAUCCUAUAUUAGCAUAAUUAAUAGACAAGAUUGUUUGCAGAAACCCUUUGGUUAUGAUAACAAAAGUAUUGGGCUCGUAAAGUUAUACACAUUUAUAAGGUAACAUAUGUUUCCCAAGUCGAAAAUUGUUACGAAAUUAUUAAUUUGUCAUAUGGGCCAGCAUAUGCAAUUAAUAGUGUAAAAGGCCAUUUUAGAGUUAAGCUCAAAAUUAAAAUGGUCUAAUAAAGAAUUAAGUAAUUGGGUUUGGAGCAUCUAAAUAAAGUGUGAGACAAAUUAUAUGUGUAGAGACCGAAUCUUUUUAGAAUUAUAUUUCAUGACGAGCGAAAUACAUAUGAAAACUAUAUAUAGGGUAAUGGUCCCCAAUUAUUUGCAACUUCUCAUUCUUUGUGUCAUCCUAUUAAUACAAUAAUAUAAGAGAAAGCAUAUUGAAGAGGAAAAUUCAAAAUCCACAAUCAAGAAUUAAGAAGAAUAAAUUCAAGAUUAUAGAUCAAUAAGCAAAACCAAGAACAAGAAUUAAUGAACCAAAGGAGGCAAAACUCAAGAUUAAAAGUGAAGAAUCCAAACAUGGAGAGAUUGCAGUAGGUCUUCAAGAUUCAAGAUCCAAUAUCAAGAUCCAUUAAUAAAGAAUCAAUCUCAAUGAAUUAAGGUAUCUUCCACACUUUAUAAUUCUCUUGCUCGUUUGACAUGGAGGAUCUUGACAAUAAAGUAAUUAGAUUUUCAUGUUAUUAAGAUUUAAAGUUUCAUAAAAUUUCAAUAAUAUAUGCACACACCUAUACUUAUAAAUAUUUAUUUAACAUAUAUACAUACACACCAUAUAUAUGUAUACUAACAUCUUUAUGCACACAUACCUGUGCAACUUCAUGCAUACAAACUUACAAAUCAAUGUACAAUCAUAUAUAUAUUCUAUAUAUAUAUACACACCAACCCACAUUGAUAUAUGCAUGCACAUAUAUUUAUAUAAGCAAAAGCGUUUAAGAGUAUAUAAAUUUUUCAUCUAUUUAAGUAAUUUGCAAUUGUUUCACACCAUAUCACAUCAAUCUAAAUUUAAAUCUCAAAAUGAUGAAAACGUAGUAUUUAAAAAAAAUAUAGCAAAACUUAAUAGCUUAAAGAGUAGUGUGGGAACUAAUUCUUAGAAAGAGACAAAAAAUGAAACAAGUACUUUCGAGGUUGUAACGUAUUUGUGGCCUUUUUCAUUUGUAGAGUAUCACUAGUACAAUUGCAUUUCUAUAAGGAAUAUUUGUAUCAAUUAACUAAUUCCAAUUUUAGUCACAUUUCCCCAUUUGGCCCCCAUUAAAAUUCAUCAAUUUAUUUUAAAUUUUUCUCUCUCCUAUUUUCAACCACACAAUCUUCAAUAAAAUAAUAUUACACGCAAAUUGAAAACUUUUCAUUCUUUUACAACCAUCCAUUUUUCAAAAAUUAAAAAUUAAAAAAAAUACUAUUCCCUCCAUUAGAAAUCCAAAUAAUGGGGGCCAAACGGAGGCAUAAGGAUAAUGUAUACUAAUUAGAAAAAUUAAAAUUCUACCAUCCAAGUCAAAUCCUACUUUCCUUUUAUGAUUUAUUAACCAAUAAUAAUAAUAAUAAUAAUAAUAAUAAUAAUAAUAAUAAUAAUAAUAAUAAUAACUUCAAACUAAAUAAAUUUAUAAAUAUAUUGAAUUUAAAUUAAUAGGCACGUAGAUUGUCCAGGGCAUCCAUAGCACAUUCCACAAAAAAAAGUGAUUAGUCACGAUGAAGAUAAUUAAAUUGAUUAAACUAUCAAUGCAACAUUAAUACGUAAUCUAAAUAGAAGUAAUAAUCACGAAAAUACCCUACCAGAGUCUUUUCCCACACCUGCAUCCCCUCAGUGGCUACCCCUGACGGAGGGGCUACUCUCACUCUACCUUCCUCAACAAGAGGAGCACACGAAUGAUAUACUAUAUUAUUCUAAUAUAUAUAUUUCUAAAUGCAGUAGACUCAUAGUGGGCUAAUUAUGUUGGGUUCCAAAUAACUUUGUAUUUGAUAGCAAUUGUUUUAAAUUAGUUUAUCUUGACAAGACAAUACGAAAUUCCUUAUAAUUAAUAAUACCGUUCUUUAAUAAAUCCCUUUGAACCUGCAAAGACUAGACUCUAAUAUCUUGAUCACAAAGAUGUAAAUUUUGAUAAAUAUUGAUGAAACAUAUUCUUGAAAAUUUGGAAAAAAGUCAUAGUUCCAGAGGAGGCAAUCAAGUCGAGCAACUCGCCGGCUUGACUAGUGGGACUCAACUCACGGGCAGCUCAAACUCGUUUUGAGAUGAGUCCGAGCUCGAGCCAAGAGGGAAUGCUCACACUCGGCUCACCAUUUUAGAUGAACCGGCUCGUAGGAUUAUCUACUAACUGCUCAAACGAGCAAGUCAUGGACAAUGCCCAUGAGCGGGCUCGGCUAGCCACGAGCCUAUAGUGACUAAAGAGUCACUUCAAACACAAGUGAAUAUAUGAUCAAUUUUUUAUCACUGAUUUUUUUUUCAGCUAUAAAUACCUCACAAUACAAACCAUUUUUCACACAACAAUCAACAAACUCUUUGCAAUUCCAUAAUUUCUUCAUUAUUCAUUAUUACAUACAAAUAUACAAUCUAUUGCACUAUACAUACAUUCAUUAUUGCAUAUACGUUCUAUAAGUUUUAUUACAUUCAAAUUUCAAUUCUAUUACAUUAUUCCCUCAAUUUUAUUCUCUACACUACAUUAUCCAAUUUAUAAAUUUCAUUUUUAUUCUCUACACUACAUUAUAUUACAUACACAUGGAUCCUCGAAAUUUUGUUGAGGGUUUUUUCGAUGGCCACUCACUUAUAAUGCCACAAUUUAAAUUUUUCAAUCAACUUUUCAGUCUCAACGACGUCCCAAUCCCUAGUGAUUUGUCAAGAAUGGGAUUUGAUGAUGCUAACGGAUGUAGUAAUCCAAUUAAUUUGGAUGACAUUGAUGAAGAUGCUAGUGAAGUGAAACUACAAAUUUCCAGUACAAGAAGAAAGCAAAAGCAGAAAAAAGCUACAACGUGUUGGGGACAGUUUAAAUUGAUUUCAACGGGUUGUAACAUAGAUUCUAGUCCUAGAGUUUGAGGCCGUGUGUAAAUAAUGUCGAACACGAUUGGCAUGGUAAAAGAGUAUUGAUACUACUCACUUCAAAUGUCACUACACCAAACAUGAGCUUGUUUAGAUCUUAAACACAACUAGUCUUUGGUACUCGUUCUCGUGGUAGUGGUUCAUCAACAUUAAGCAUAUGGAUGUAUUUGGAGGAAAGAAUUCGUAAUGGAACGGAGAGGUUAAUUGUCAGUGCUGAGUUAUUGCCAAGCUUAGUGGACAACAACCAUUUCACAAUGUUCGUGAAAGAAUAUCUCCAACCAAAAACACUCUUCGUAAUGAUACGCUAGAGUAUUUUGUUAGAACCAAUAACCAAUUGAUUAUUGAUUUACAAAAAUAUGAUGUUAUAGUGUAUACAUUAGAUUUAUGGGAAAAUAUAAAUAAAAAUUAAUAUAUAGUAGCAACUACACAUGACAUAGACCCACUUUGAAUGAUGCAUAAAUUUAUUUUAUUUUAUUUUAUUUUUUUUGCUUUUAAGAUAACUGAAUUUCUUCAUAAUGCUAAUAAUAUUUGCAAUGCUAUCAUGCAAAUUAAUAUGGAAUAUUGUUGUGAAAGUAAAAUUCGUUUGUUUACAUUGAGUGUUAACAAACCUGCUAUAGAUAAAUUUCGUAGAACAAUUAAUCCCCAUUUUGGUGGUUUUUUUUGUUUCAUGUUCAUUGUGUGUGUCAAAUUUUUAAUUUAAAUGUGCAAGAUGGUAGACUAAGUAUCAAAUUGAUAGAAUUAAGGAUAUAAUAGUAUAUAUCACCAUAUCACCAAGUAGGAAAUAAGCAUUUGAGGACCUUGUGCACAAAUUAGCCAAGAUCCCAAAAAAAUCAUAAUUAACGUAGGGUAUAGAUGAAAUUUCACUUACUUAUUAUUAAAAUCAUGUAAAGGAUAUUAACAUUCAAUUAUUGAAUUUUAUAACUCUAGGCAUGUAAAAAGAUGCCAAUGAUUCUAUUUUGAUUGAUUCUGAUUGGAAACUAGCUUAACUGUCGAGUAGUGAUCUUGAAUUAGAAUUCUAAUAUGGAGCUUAGAUAAAUCUAAUUAUGCUUUUUAUGAGUAUGAUCACAUAAAGAAGAAGUGUUUCUAUUCAAUUAGGGUUUGAUAUCUGAAAGAAUUAUUGUAGCGUGGAAAUUUGGUAAGUCUAUAAUUCUGAUGUCCGAGUUACGUACUGAAACAAGAAUUUUGGUAACUUUAUCUAUUCUGACUAGGAGAUUAAAUAUUACGACUCCUCCUUCCGAAAUACUCCUAUAUAUAAUAUUUCAACCAAUGCAAAACCUAACUACAUCAUUCUCAUUCUUUCUAGAGUUUGUUUUCAAUUUUAUUUUGCUUUGAACUAUGGAGGAAAAGAAAAUAAGAAUGAGGGAAUUGACAGAGGAAGAUAUGGUGGGCAUUAAGUCGGAUAAAAACCGAUUUAUGAUUGAUUUUCUGAAGAAUGUUACGAAACGAGCUGCAGAAAUAUAUGACAAUGAAGCAUUGUCAGGUGAAAGUUACGCCAAGAAGGAAAAUAGAGAUGAAAAACCCAGUUCUUCGAAAAGAAUAAUGUUUCCACGGAAGGAGAACGGAGAAGAGGAGAACGAGAAGGAUGAAAAAUUCCGUGCUUGUAAGAAUAAAAUUCGGUUUUCAUUCGACGAAGAAAUAUCGUGGGAUGAAUUUCAGUUCAAGAAACCUACGAAUAGUAAAGAAGAGAGAUCGAGGAAGAAUAAGAAAUUGAAAAGCAUUGCACCAGAGGAAAUCGUUUAUAGUUUGGAAGAAGAUUUUGCUAGAAGGAAUAAUCUCGAUAACAGUACAGUUGACAUCCCAGAAACUUCUGGGGUGAAAAGUAGAAAAAAUAAUAAGUCCAAAAGACGUUGUAAUGGAGGAGAAGAAGAGGAAGUUCGGGUUGUGAAGAAAAGAAUUAACACCGGACCGGAUCCUCCCCCUCCACUACCUGAAGAAUUCAAGGAUGCAAUUCAAGAACUGGCCAAUGGAAGAAGUAUUUCACAGGAGAUAUUGGUGGUACAGAAGGGACUCUAUAAAUCUGAUACAGAACCUCAACAAAGCAGGCUUUCUAUUCCUCUAAAUUCAGUUGUAGGAGAGUUUCUCAAGGAUGAAGAGAAAGCCCAUCUUCUGAAACGCUUCAAUGGCAAGCUGGAGCACAUAUCUGUACCAAUUAUUGAUCCUUUGCUAAUAAGGGACAAAGUAGAUUUGAGGAGAUGGCCGAUGAAGAAAAGCAAUGGGAAGGAGAGCGUAUCCUACAUGCUGACUGGAAAUUGGAUAGAUAUGCUGAACAGGAACGACUUGAAAGUUGGGCACGUGGUGCAACUGUGGUCUGUCCGAAUCGAAGAAGAAUUGGUGUUCUGUCUGGUGAGGUUGCCUGGAAAUUAGAAGCAGCUAUUCUCUGGUUUAUUUUGUUUCAUACGUUUUAGAAAUUAUCACAGCAAUUAUUUGUUAAUAUGAUUAAUUGAUUCCUACAAUUUAUCAGAAUUAAGACUUUUGUGGUGUUACUUUCUGCUAAAUUUUAUGAGUUUAAUGUAUGUUUAGGGCUUGUUUGGCAGGAAUUUUGCUUUAGAUUAUGUUUUUUGUAUAAGAAUUUUUUGAGAAAGUUUCUUCAAGAGUCCAUUUGAUUGUAAAAGUGGAAAAGACAAACCAAUUUCAUAUAAGUUGGAAAAGAAAAAAUCAUCAAAAUCAUAGGAAUUCGAUUUCCACUUAAUUGGGCAAAAACAUGAUUUAAGUGUUUGUACCUUAGAAUUCGAAUUCCACUUCCACUUUCGUAUUAAACAGCCAAAGUAGAAAACGAAUUCUUCGAAUGUGACAUUUUCCAUUGAAUCUAAUGCUAUCAGAUGAACCCAAAAAGAUCUUUUAGUCAGAUAAAGCACAUUUAGAAAAUUAUUCAAAUAUAUUCAAAGCAACUACUUAAUUUCAGAAGUAUCUUUAGACAUUUCAAAAGUUAGCCAAACAGGGCCCAUAGUAUUCUAUUUUUUGUUAGCUUUUGAUCUUGUUAUUAAAUGCUACUCGAUACUUUUAAAAUGGGUCCAACAUUGAAUCAAAAAUGAUAUAAGAAAAAAAAGUUCAACUUAGAACGAGCAGAUUCCUUGUUAUUCAAAUAGAACAGAUCGGGUCAAUCUGAUUUUUAAAACACUGCUUAAUUUAAUACGCAUUUUAGAAAUUACACUUCGAAUUAUUUUCUAUUUUGUUCUUACCGUAAGUUUGACUAACUUUUCACAUAUAUUCUACCAUUAGAGUAAACUUCAACAUUAUUUGAACCAAAACAUUGGAGAUUAUUGUUUGAAGAAUUGGGCUAUUGUUGAUUUUGUCACAUAAAUAAUGAAAAAGUUGUGGGAUAUGGUCAAAAGGAAGAUUGUUAAUUAUUGCUUUGUGACAAGAAUCAAGAUUUUAUGGACCUUUAUGUCUUCCGAUAGUCAAAGUGUUAGAAAAUUGAAUCUUAAAAAGAUAAUUCAUUUUGGACCCAAGAAUAUAUAGUUUUAGCCCCUAUUUUUCAUCCUUUACUUUAUAAUCUUUUCCAUUAUUUUUUUUCUACAGUACUUAUUUUUAAUCACAUAUUCUCUAUCAAACAUUAUUCCGUAAUACAUUUCUUCAAAUUAAUGGAGCUCAAACAUGGCCUUAAUAAAGUCUAAGUUAAAAAAAAGUCAAAAAAAAUUCUAAGUUAAAAUCGAUAAUUAAUUUUAACUACACUUUUUAUGAAAUUCACAAGCAUCAAUUUUCAAUCAUGCAUUUUAUAAAAUUUUAUCAAAAUUUAUUAGCCCUUGUUUGAGCCUCACUAUUUGGUAAAGAAUGUAAUUUGAAAUAAUAGAUUAAUGGAAAAUGAACGGUUAAAAAAUAAGAAAAAUUUUGAAUUUGCCUGUAAUCUUAUUUUAUUGAAAAAUAUAUGAUUAAAAAAAAGAAUAAUUUAUUUUAGAAAUAUUAAGAAUCAAACAAGUUUUGAAUGUUUGAUUUUUAGCUACAUCAUAUAGGAGCUAAAUGGUCAAAUUCAACAAACUUUUCCAAGCUAGCAUUGUUUUUUAACUUUUGAUUUUUCGAGCUACGAGGGAGUAUAAUUGAUUAAUCUCCGGUCCCUAUGCAAUUUUUAUUGUUUGUGACUCAGCAGAAUAUCUAGCUAUGGAAUUUUGAGCCCUUAGUAAUAUUUUGAUUUCCAGUUUGGAUAUAAGUAUCUCAUUGAAGGAACACACUUCCUCUAAUUGCUCAAAUAUAUUUACUUUUGGUUUUGGAAUUAUAUAGUAAAAUCAAACGUGGUUAAAUGUUGUAGUCAUGUAAAGGUGGACGCACUUCGAUUUGGAUAAUUUUUAAACAAUUUUAAAACCAAAUCACUUUAUUUUCUAAGCCAAAAUAUUUUUUUGUGCUUGAUUUGGUUUAAACCGUUGGAAAAAUUGGUUUUAAUUAGUUGGUUUGACCAAUUCUUGACUAAUUAAUUUAGUGGGUCCCGUUAAUCGAAAAUAAGAUUUCUUUGGCCGAAUGUGUUCUACUUCAUGAGUAGAUUAAUAUGGUAUAUUUAUUUUCUCAAAACCAAUUUAGGGUGAAUGAGAAANNNNNNNNNNNNNNNNNNNNNNNNNNNNNNNNNNNNNNNNNNNNNNNNNNNNNNNNNNNNNNNNNNNNNNNNNNNNNNNNNNNNNNNNNNNNNNNNNNNNNNNNNNNNNNNNNNNNNNNNNNNNNNNNNNNNNNNNNNNNNNNNNNNNNNNNNNNNNNNNNNNNNNNNNNNNNNNNNNNNNNNNNNNNNNNNNNNNNNNNNNNNNNNNNNNNNNNNNNNNNNNNNNNNNNNNNNNNNNNNNNNNNNNNNNNNNNNNNNNNNNNNNNNNNNNNNNNNNNNNNNNNNNNNNNNNNNNNNNNNNNNNNNNNNNNNNNNNNNNNNNNNNNNNNNNNNNNNNNNNNNNNNNNNNNNNNNNNNNNNNNNNNNNNNNNNNNNNNNNNNNNNNNNNNNNNNNNNNNNNNNNNNNNNNNNNNNNNNNNNNNNNNNNNNNNNNNNNNNNNNNNNNNNNNNNNNNNNNNNNNNNNNNNNNNNNNNNNNNNNNNNNNNNNNNNNNNNNNNNNNNNNNNNNNNNNNNNNNNNNNNNNNNNNNNNNNNNNNNNNNNNNNNNNNNNNNNNNNNNNNNNNNNNNNNNNNNNNNNNNNNNNNNNNNNNNNNNNNNNNNNNNNNNNNNNNNNNNNNNNNNNNNNNNNNNNNNNNNNNNNNNNNNNNNNNNNNNNNNNNNNNNNNNNNNNNNNNNNNNNNNNNNNNNNNNNNNNNNNNNNNNNNNNNNNNNNNNNNNNNNNNNNNNNNNNNNNNNNNNNNNNNNNNNNNNNNNNNNNNNNNNNNNNNNNNNNNNNNNNNNNNNNNNNNNNNNNNNNNNNNNNNNNNNNNNNNNNNNNNNNNNNNNNNNNNNNNNNNNNNNNNNNNNNNNNNNNNNNNNNNNNNNNNNNNNNNNNNNNNNNNNNNNNNNNNNNNNNNNNNNNNNNNNNNNNNNNNNNNNNNNNNNNNNNNNNNNNNNNNNNNNNNNNNNNNNNNNNNNNNNNNNNNNNNNNNNNNNNNNNNNNNNNNNNNNNNNNNNNNNNNNNNNNNNNNNNNNNNNNNNNNNNNNNNNNNNNNNNNNNNNNNNNNNNNNNNNNNNNNNNNNNNNNNNNNNNNNNNNNNNNNNNNNNNNNNNNNNNNNNNNNNNNNNNNNNNNNNNNNNNNNNNNNNNNNNNNNNNNNNNNNNNNNNNNNNNNNNNNNNNNNNNNNNNNNNNNNNNNNNNNNNNNNNNNNNNNNNNNNNNNNNNNNNNNNNNNNNNNNNNNNNNNNNNNNNNNNNNNNNNNNNNNNNNNNNNNNNNNNNNNNNNNNNNNNNNNNNNNNNNNNNNNNNNNNNNNNNNNNNNNNNNNNNNNNNNNNNNNNNNNNNNNNNNNNNNNNNNNNNNNNNNNNNNNNNNNNNNNNNNNNNNNNNNNNNNNNNNNNNNNNNNNNNNNNNNNNNNNNNNNNNNNNNNNNNNNNNNNNNNNNNNNNNNNNNNNNNNNNNNNNNNNNNNNNNNNNNNNNNNNNNNNNNNNNNNNNNNNNNNNNNNNNNNNNNNNNNNNNNNNNNNNNNNNNNNNNNNNNNNNNNNNNNNNNNNNNNNNNNNNNNNNNNNNNNNNNNNNNNNNNNNNNNNNNNNNNNNNNNNNNNNNNNNNNNNNNNNNNNNNNNNNNNNNNNNNNNNNNNNNNNNNNNNNNNNNNNNNNNNNNNNNNNNNNNNNNNNNNNNNNNNNNNNNNNNNNNNNNNNNNNNNNNNNNNNNNNNNNNNNNNNNNNNNNNNNNNNNNNNNNNNNNNNNNNNNNNNNNNNNNNNNNNNNNNNNNNNNNNNNNNNNNNNNNNNNNNNNNNNNNNNUCACAAGAAGGAUAUGCGAAAGAAAUUCUAAAGAAAUUCAAUAUGGAGGACUGUAAGCCCGUAUGCACCCCCGUCGAAUGCGAAAUCAAGUUGUCGAAGAAUGAUGAAGGUGAAAAGGUAAAUCCAACACUUUUUAAGAGUCUUGUUGGGAGUCUAAGAUAUUUGACGUGCACAAGACCAGAUAUCCUUUUUGGAGUUGGGCUCAUUAGUCGCUAUAUGGAGACACCUACCAUGACCCAUAUGAAAACUGCAAAGAGAAUUCUUCGCUACAUCAAAUGUACGCUUGAUUAUGGCUUAGUCUAUUCAUCAUCUAAUGAGUUCAAACUUGUUGGAUAUAGUCACAGCGAUUGGGGCAGAGAUAGUGAUGAUAGAAAGAGUACGACUGGGUACGUGUUUUACUUGGGCGACACAGCUUUCACUUGGAGCUCAAAGAAGCAAUCGAUCGUAACACUAUCUACAUGUGAAGCUGAAUAUGUUGCACCUACAUCAAGUGUUUGCCAUGCGAUUUGGCUUAGAAACUUGUUGAAGACGCUUGGAGUAUCACAAAAAGAGCCAAUCGAACAAAUCGGCAUUAGCAAUGGCAAAGAACCCAGUAUUCCAUGAUAGAAGUAAGCACAUUGAUACAAGAUAUCACUUCAUAAGAGAAAGCAUUGUAAAGAAAGAAGUGCAGCUGAAAUAUGUAACCUCCCAGGAGCAGAUCGUCGACAUUCUCACUAAGCCACUCAAGCAUGAUGUGUUCCGCAAGUUAAGAACUCCACUUGGAGUAUCAAAAUCAAGUUUAAGGGGGGAUGUUGAGUAGUAAACUUGAUUUUUGGACUAAAUAAUAUGGGCUUAAGGAUUUUGCUUAUAGGCUCAAAUCAAUUAAAAGGUCCAACAUGCAUAGCAUUUCUAGAAGCAUUAUCUAGAAAAAUCUAUAUAAAUAUCUACUAGAAAAAUCUAUAUAAAUAUCUAAGUAAGAUAUGUAGUUUUAUAAAGAAUAUCUAGAGAAUUCUAGGAAAAUAUCUUGAUAUGUGGUCUAGGUUUCUCUAGAAAAUGUGUGGACUAGAAUCUUCUUGUAAACACUAUAUAAAGGGGUUGUAUCCUCCAUUUUGUAACAAGCCAAAAAGUGUGUAAAGUCUUGAAUUUGAGAAAUACAAGUUUCCUUUUUUCACUUCCUUCUUCCUAUUAGUGUUGUCCUCUUAAAAGUCUUAGCUAAUCCAAGUUAGUAAACCCAUCUUUCCUCCAACAGGGUUAUAGCAAAUCAACUGGUUUAGCUCGCACACAUUUAUGUAUGAAAUUAAAAUGGGACCUUGGAUCCUUCUCUGCCGAAUCAAAAAAACCUAACGCCAUUUGCAUUGAGAAUAUUCAUAUUUGCUUCAGGAUAGGGCUCCAGGUACGAGUAUCCAUUGUAGCAUCAUAGCGUUAAUUUAGUUUAUUUCAUCAAUAAUUAAACUAAAAAAUGAAGAGAUGAUUGAAUUAAUGUUGGGCCCGAGGUACGGGGACUCGUACUCUGGUAAAUUCUGAAACUGAUUAAUACACUUACAAUCUUUAAUUUUGCAUGCAAAUGUAGAACACCUUGUGGUACCUUGACAAUCUAGUAAGAAUCUGCACAUUCAAUAGGUUGGGUCUAACAUAUAGAUUGACUAUAUUCAAAGGGUGUUAAUAUUUUGAAAGGAUGAUAUUUAAAUUGUCUAGACAGUCGCAGAAAUUUCUGAUAACAUUAGAAAUACAAAUACCUAUUCAAUCUUAUCUAGGUUGAUUUAUACUAGAUCUAAAAUUUACGACUUCAUAAUCACAAAUUUAUGUAUACAUUUCCAAAUUCAUGGAGGACUUCAGCUUAUUUAAGAAGUGCAGCAUUGGCUUCACCAUCCUUGGCUGAUGCAUCAAUUGCACUCUCAAUUGUCAAAAUCUGUAUGUUUUGUUGCUCAAAAUAUUGAAAAGAAAAUCAAGACUCACGUUAUACAAUAGUUUAUUCUACUCGAAUUAAGCUAUAGACAUCUGAUUAAUCAUCUAAGUGAAACCUCUUCGUUAUUGAUUACUAAGAAACACGAAAUUUGACUUGAGCCCAUUGCCUUUCAUAUUCAGAGAACCUUCUCUUUUUGUAAUCUGAAAGUUUCAUUCAAGGUCAACAAUUUAACUUCAACUAUUUACGGCUGUAUCGUUUUUAUCAUCUGAAUUUGAUUUACAACACAAAAUUGGUGCUUCAAUGGGCGAUUACCGUGUUCUGCUUCGAGAACGGUGCGCUUGAAUGAAUUUUUUGCUUUCAAAAUAGCGUAUUUGUUUUCUAAUCAUGGCACAUUCAAAUUAUAGAUGUUGUGAUCAAAAAUUUGUUUUUGGUUUUGUAGAGUAUUUUUUGCCAUGAGGGCCCAAGUUCUCUCUGUCCAGAAACAUGGAGAUCUUGCAAUAGAUUUUAGGAAUAAUUGCUGCAAAAGUUUCAAAUCUUUGAAACAUUGGCAAACUUUCUCAUAACCUUUCAAUCGUUGUAGCUGUCAACCCUAAUCUUCCAACUAUUGCAUGUGAGGCCUUUUGGAUGGUUUUAAUCCACAAUUCCGUUAGUUAACUAAGGAUGGCAAUGGCUCAACUCGACCCUUUUACCCACGAGCUCGGCUCGUGCUCGUGACAAGCCGAGCUAGUGCUUGUUGCUUGAGGGGCUAGCUUGAUUCGAUACUCGAGCUAGUGAUACGUGGGCUGAGCCGAGCUUGGGUUGGCUAGCUCGCCAAUUUUUUAUUUUUUUAAAAAUGCUGAAAAUAGAUAAAACAAUUGAAAACUAUGUUUUUUUUAAACAAAAAAUAAAUAAACCAAGCAAAAAGAUUUAAUUAAAAUGAUUUUUUUCUUUUUCAUUUUAAAAUAGAUAAAACAUAAAUCCUCCUCCUUUAUCUGGAUUUGGGAUCAGGUACUUAAAUUUUAAGUAUGCAUUGUUAAAAAUUGUACACAAACAACUUGUAAUGUGUACAAUUUUUUAGAGACAAUUAAAAACAGUACUAUAAAAUAACUAAUGUAACUAAAUAUCACUUACUUGACGACAUACAAUUUUGGCAUAUUUAUCUUGUGUUCUGAAAUGAACGUCCUACCAAUUCUUAAUACACAUUAAUGCUUUCAAAAUAUCUUCUUUCAAUCGGCUCCUCACCUCAGACAAAACCCUUUUACCUAUACUAAAAGCAGACUCCGAAACUACAUUGCUAACCAGAGAUAUCAGUAAAUCUUUUACAAUUGCGAAAACUACUGGCCAUCGUCGUUCGUACUUCCACCAGAAUUCAAUAACAUCUUCGGAACUCUUUUUAAUUGUUUUAUUGGUAUGCAUAUUUUUAUUAAAAUAAUCAAUUAAUUUAGUAGGCAAUGUAUUCAUACUUCCCUCCGAUGUUUGGUUAGAUGUAGAUACAAUAGACAAAGUAUUACUAGAUGGAUAUGAACCUAUUGCAUUUAAAUCAUACCCAUACGUGUUAAUACCUUGAAAUAAAUUAAAUAUUCCAGCAUCAUCUUCUUCAAGUUCAGCAGAAGGAGUGGGCACAAAGGGUACUCGACUAAUAUAUGUACCCAUUCGUUCAGCAUGUAAUUCAUACAUUUCACAUAAAGUUUGUUCUAAAUUUCAAUAUGUGGUAAGUGCACUAAAAUUUAAAGCUUUAGAAAUUUGAUCAAUUAUAUAUUUAGUUCUUGAUAAAUUAUAUUCAGGGUCCAUGAUGUAUGCUAAAGGAAAUAAUACUGAUAAGUCUUCCCAAUAUUUUAUAAACUUCAAUUCCAUAGAGUAUAUAAUUGCAUUAAAAUCGAGAUUAUUUUUGUAUUUAUGAAAGGUUCUUGCAAUUAUAUAAAGACGUUUGAGCAACAUACAACAAUGAGACAGUAAACUCCAGAUAAAAUAUUUGUACAAUCAUAAAAACUUGUCAAAAUUUUUUUAACUUUUAAAGCUAAAAGCCAAUCGGAUUCAUUUAGAAUAGUGUCGUCAUCGUUUCUAAUAUGCCUAUUGUUGUAAAACUCAGUUAUUAAAUGUUUAAAACCUUCGUAUGACUUUAAUAUAAGUAAGUAGAGUUCCAUCUUUGACCUACGUCAAUAACAAAUGUUUUAGCAUUCGUCACCCCAAAUUCGACACAAAAUUUCUCAAAUGCUUGUUUUCUAUUAGGGGAGAUCGUGAUAUGUAUUAGUGCAUUCAUAAUUCUUUAUAUUUCAUAUUUAAUAUGUUUCAAAUCAUCUUGUACAAUUAAGUUUAAAAUAUGGCACAUAUAACGAAUAUGAAACAAAUAACCAUCAAAAUUAGGCUACAAUACUUUACACAAUUUAUCGAUAACUAUUUUAUUAACACUAGCUUUGUCGAAUGCAAAAGAAUGAAUUUUGCUUUCGCAACUAUAUUUUUUAAUAAUAGUGAUAAUCGCAUUAUAUAUAUUAUUAGCGUUAUGUGGAAAUUUGAUAAUUUUAAAAAGUAAUAAUUUUUUUAUGCAUACAUCUAAGUGGGUCAAUGUAUUGUGCAAUUACAGCUAUAUAAACUCUUUUAUUAAUCAUCUCCCAUAUAUUCGAAGUUAAAGAUAUAACACCACCAUAUUCUUGCAAAUCCAAAAUUAAAUUUUUUUUGUUUUAAAAAAUUGUGUUUGAACGAAGAGUGUUUCGACUUACCCUAAUGUACCUCGGUUGAAGAUAUUAUUUUACAUAUGAGACAAAAUGUUGGUUGUCCGCUAUUGCAAGAGGUAACUCAGCACCAGCAAUAAGUUUCAUGUUCGAGUAUUCUCCUCUAAAUACAUCCACGUGGUGAGGAGCGAAGUUGUAGUACCGGCGCCUGAACUACCAAAUUGCAGUUGUGUUUGAUUCGGCUUGAAGAAGAAGUCCAUGUUUGGCCGUACACACUUUGUAGUGGCGGUUGAGGUGGGUGGUACCAAUGUCUUUUUUCCAUACCAAUCGUUGUUGGCAAUAUUUACAUACUUCUUUAGAUUCUGGGACUCCAUCAACAAUACGGCCUAUCGAAAUCAAUUAGAAGUGAUCCCAAUAUUUUGGCUUUUUUUCCCCUUUCGCUUCAUUUUAGCAUCAGGAAUGUUUAAUUCGGAUUCCUUCUCCUCUUAUUCUUCUUGGGCUUCGAGAAAAUCGAUGUCAUCCAAAUCAAUUGGAUUAUUGGCUCGCACCCAAAUGUAGAAUAUCUUUAGGAAUUGAUAUUUCAUUUAUACCGAAAAAUUGAUUAUGAAAUUGACUUUGUGACAUCGCAAGUGAUUCGCCUUCGAAAUUGAACAAGCACUCGACAAAUAAGUGUAGUUCCAUUUUAAUUUGUGAAUUGUAAUGAUACAAUAUAGAUUAAUAGAUGAUAUAAGAAAAUGAUUGAAUUGUAAAAAUGAAUUGAAAUUGAAAUUGAAAUUGAAGAUGAUUAAAUUGUAAAGAUGAAUCUAUAUAUGACUAUAUUUUAUAAUUGUAGACUAAGUGAUGUAUUCAAUUGAGAUUUUUAAUGAUUUUUUGAGAUUUAAAAAGUUUAGGGGUAUUCAAUUGAGACUCUUUAAUAGUCAUGGUGUAUUCAAAUGAGACUUUUAUAGAUUUUUAAAAAGUCUCUAAAAAUUACGAUGUAUUCAAUUAAAACUUUUUUAAAAGUCUCUAUAAGUUUUGGGGUAUUCAAAUUUUAAUGACUUCUAGAGAUAUUUAUAAAAGUCUAUGGAAUACUAACUUUUAAACAGAAAGUACUCAUAUAAAAUCUUAAAAUUUGUCUCUCAUAAAUCACGAGAUUUUAAAAAAAUAAUAAAAAAAUUGUUUUUUUCAAUAUUUCUUUCCUUUAACCUUCCAUGGAUGUAUGAUUAUAAUUUAUUUUUUUCUAUUUAUUAUAUUCUAUUUAUCUUUCUUUCUCUCUUAUUUGUAGUUUCUAUGAAAAGAUUAAAUUGGAUUCUUGUAUUUUUUUUCUUUUUUAAUUCAUUCUUUUAUUAAAUUAAAAAAUUUUAUAUGAAAAAUUUAUAAUUAAUUUUAAAUAUAUCGAUUUUUAUUUAUUUUUAAAAGUAUACUAUGCUGAUAAUAUUGAAUCAUACAUAUAUAUCUACAAUAUAUUAAAAGUUGGGGUGGUGAAGAAACUUUUAAAUACCAAAUUUACCCUUACAUAUUCAAAUAUAUGCCAACUAUACCCUCAUUAUUGAAAUAUCAAUUUAAUUAGUAUCUAUCAUUUGGUUUAGAAUUAAUAUAAUAUAAAGAGUGAAAUAUUUAAUCGAUAUUUAUUAUUUUGGAUUGGAAUUAAUAUAAAGAGUGAAACUAACAUUCAGUUAUAUCCAAAAAAAAUAAAAAUAAAAAAACAAAAUCUGCGACUUACCAUUCAAUUGCAUUCUUACAUUUAUUUUCCACCAACAAAUCAAUUUUUUUUUUUCAUCAACAAUACUCUUAUUAAUCUUCAUGAUUUUAUAUCUUAAUUCAUACAAUGAGUUUUUAUUUUUCAUCAACAGAGCAAUUUCUAAUCUUCAUGCUUUAUAUUGUAAUUCAUCCAUUAAGUUAUUAUUUAAUUAAGGUUACAAAUAUUUUAAAGGUUGCAUUAAUAUAUUAAUGGGGAUAUUCAAUAAAUAAAAAAUAAAUUACACACGAAAAUCCAAUUGAAAAUUCAAUACCUAACAUUCAAUUGAAUUUUUUUCUUUACAAUUUUUAAUUUUCAUCAACAAAGCCCUUAUUACCAAUUUAAUUAAUAUUUAUCAUUUGAUUUAAAAUUAAUAUAAGUGGUGGAAUAUUUAAUUGAUAUUUAUCAUUUGGGUUGGAAUUAAUAUGAGUGAAACUGAUAUUCAAUUAUUUAAAAGAAAAAAAAAAUCAACGAAAAUUUAGUGACUCAUCAUUCAAUCGAGUAUUUUGUUAUAACAAUUUUUAUUUUUCAUCAACAAAACACUUAUUAAUCUUAAUGAUUUACAUUAUAAUUCAUCCAUUGAGUUUUUAUUUUCAAUUAAUAAAGCAAUUUUUAUUUUUCAUCUAGAAAGCCUUUUAUUAAUUUUCAUGAUUUACAUUAUAAUCCAUCCAUUAGGUUAUUAUUUAAUUGAGGUUACAAAAUUCAAAGAUUACAUCAAUGUAUUAAUGAGGUAACAAAUGUGCUAAGUGUUGCGCACACACACACACACACAACAUUUAUGUAUGUACAUAUAUGUAUACAUAUAUGUGUGUGUGUGUGUGUGUGUGUGUGUAUAUAUAUUGUAAUCAUACCAUUACAUUUUAGUUUAUUCAACAUUUUCACAUUAUAUACAUAAUUUUAUAAAAACUUUUGUGUAUAUAUAUACUCAAUUGUAAUUUUUCCUUUAACAAUAUCAAUUACCCCUAUUAUUUUAAAAAAUGGUAUUAGUAAUUCAAAAAUAGUAUGUAUAUCAUUCUUCGAUAUAUAAGACGUGCAACGCAUAUGCUUACAACUAUAUACAUAUAUAUGCGUGCGUGUGUGUGUGUGUAUUGUAAUCAUACCAUUACAUUUUAGUUUAUUCAACAUUUUCACAUUAUAUACAUAAUUUUAUAAAAACUUUUGUGUAUAUAUAUACACACAAUUGUAAUUUUCCCUUUAAAAAUAUCAAUUACCCCUAUUAUUUUAAAAAAUGGUAUUAGUAAUUCAAAAAUAGUANNNNNNNNNNNNNNNNNNNNUAAUAAUAUAAAUAUUAUAUAAAAUUAUAUAUAUAUAUAUAUAUAUAUAUAUAUAUAUAUAUAUAUAACUUUGAUUAUUAUUUAUUUAAUUAAGGUUUUAAAUUUUUAUUUUUUCAAUUUUUUUUAUUAUAUAGGAAGAAGAAGCCUAAGAAAAAUGGGAAUUGUGGGAACCAACACUUAUGUGAAAAUUUCACAUUAGAUCCACAUGAAUUCUAUUUCAAAGUCUUUCGAAUUUCACAAAAGUCUUUAAAAAUUUUAAAAUGAGAAUCCAUAGAAGUUUAUGAAAGACUUCCACUAACUCCAUAGAAAUCUAUAAAAUAUCCACGAAUCCACAAAAGUCAUCACUUAAAAAAGUCCAUCAAAAUCUUAAAAAAUUCCAAUUGAAUACAUCCUCCUAAUUGAGAGUUGAGACUUGAGACAAAUCAAUUAUGGUCACAAGAGAGAUUGAAAGGUAGAUGGUUAAGAUUUAAGAGAGUUGAAUCAGUUGAUGAAAACUCUUGGGACAAUUGGGGGCUAUUUAUAGAAGAGGGGGAUGAGGAAAAAAAAGUUAUUUAGUGACCGAAACGAUCACUUUCUAAAACAAAGUGACCGUUUUGAUCACUAUUCAUGACAAGAGACGUGGCUCGUCAAAAGGGGCCGAUCCACUUGGCUUGGGCUCUUUUUUUACUAGCCUGAGCCACCCCUAUAGUUAACCACCAAAAUCAAAAUUGACCAUCUUUUUACCAAAAUUGGGGAGGGUAAAACUGUAUAUUCACUUAAAAAAACCAAAACAAAAAUAAAAAGUAAGUAAAUGGAUUCUUCCCCAGUCAACAUUCUUUCCCAACCAAAUGCUCCCAGCAAUUGCCAUCAGCCGGUCACCACAAUCCACACAAAUGAAGGCCCACAGCAACUUCCACCACCACCUUAAACUGCUAAAUGCCGCCAACCAAUAACCGAAAAUCAAACACCAAUACAGCUAUAAUGCCUUUUUUCUGUUUUCCGUUUUUGUUUAAUUUGUUAUUAAUUGUAUACACUGCCUGAACCAAUAUAUCCAUCAUUUCAAUUCAAAAUCAAAGAUUUCCUUGAACACGGGGAGCCUCUGUGUAUUAAUUUGGUCAUUCCUAAUUGUUGAAAGGGCAAGAAAGUGGUUGUUUUUACGAGAUAUUUUGGAGGAUAAGAAGGUGUUGGAGAAUUUAUUUGGUAGGCAAAGGACAAAUGCAGUGAUUUUGUAGGAAAUAUCAAUUUUCAAGGUGACGAUUCUGGACACCUUCUUUAGAAGCGUAAACUUGUAACUACUGGAAUCCAAGUUCCAACAUGCUGUGAAUAAAGAGAUCGGUCAAUGUAUUUCUAAUCCUCUCUCUAUUCUUUUGC